GGGAGACCGACCGAACGGGACCGGUCCAGCGGCGAACGGAGGUCGGACGGCGGCGGGAGGGCAGCCGGAAAACCGGGCAGCGGGAGGCUCGGGUGCGGAGAGGAAAUCGGGAGGGAGAGAGAAAGAAAAGAAGAAGAAAUGGGUUGGGCUCGGCCCAGCCGACCCAACACCCCUUUUAACCCAAAAUUCCAAAAUAAAAACACCCCGAAAAAUAAUACCCGAAUAAAAAUUACCUUUUACUAGCUAAAAUUUACCAUUUUUACCGUAGUCGUAUUUUCCUCAUACGAAUAAUCCUCCGCACAUAAUCGUCCCCGAAACCCCUCUAGGGACCAAUUAAACUAUUUACUCAUGAUCAAGACGGUAAAAUUCUUAUUAUCAUCACGCUAGUAAAUAAGGUAAAAAUAUAAGGGUCGGGAUGUGACAACACGAACAUGAACAAUAAACAACAUAGACACGAGACAAGGACAUAUAGUGGUUCACUAUGCCAUCGGAGGACAUAGCUACGUCCAUUUUACAAUCAACUAUCAUGGCCAAUAGGCAUUUGUGGAGUGAGUAAAGAUUUCUUUUUUCUACACAUGGGAAGCCUUCCUUUUAUAGCUAAAGAAGGUGCCCACAUAUUACAUAUUUCCAAUGUGAGACAAACUACACAUAACUAUUAUCAUGGUGUCUUCUUGUGGAGCUUGGAGGAACACCUUCCCGAUGUGGUACCAAUGAUCUUUCACCAUGGCGAGGUAGGAUAUACAUCGUAUAUACAAGUUUCCUGACUGGUCUAUGAGCGGGGAAGAUAGUUCUCAACUAGCGACUACAACGAACACCUAACCACUUGAUUACUUCCACGUCUUGAGCGUGGGAUUAAUCGCUCAAAGUGUUUAGGCUUUGGGUACCUUGGCGGCAAUUGAAGGACGCGAACACCUAACCACUUGAUUUCUUCCAUGUCUUAGACGUGGGAUUAAUCGCUCAAAGUGUUUAGGCUUUGCGUAGAUUUUACCGCUCCACAUGGCAUUUUUCAAGAGUAUCAAGAAGGACACAUACAUCAUCCUUGAAGAUAUCGAGGACAUUGAAAGUGAUGGCACCACCUCUCAUCUAAGCUGGCUCGUCAUGAUUUCACCUUUGUGAGCUUUAUUGACGUUUCUUUAACCAAAUAUCUCACAGCCGGCCGUCUUUGUUGGUUCUUCUCCGUGAGCCUUGGCAACGCUCACUGAACCACAUGUUUCAUUGCCAAUGAUUAAAGAUUACCCUCCGUGAGCCUUGUCGAUGCUCACCGAGCCACAUGUCCUUCCGACAGUUCAAGUCACAUCUCUGGUGAAUGACUCAUUAGGUGAUUGAAGAAUGCAGACAACAUAAAUGCUUGAUUCGUUCCACUGUUUGAAAGUAAAAGGAAUCACUUAAAGUGUUUAGGCUUUGCGUACACACCAACAAACAACAAAAGGAAGAACGCGGAUAACCUAAACGCUUUAUUUCUUCCACUUUCUAAAAGUGGGAGGAAUCACUCAAAGUGUUUAGACUCUGCGUAUUUUUCAACCGCGAAAGGAAGAAUAUAAUUCCAGAGAUUCCGCAGAGUUAUCCUCUUUCAAGUUUUGUAUGUCUCUUCUUUGACUUGGGAGACACCUCGAGCAAACUCAUUUGCUUGUUUUGAUAUGGCAAUACUCUAAACAACCCGAGCAAACUCAUUUUUUUUUUUUUUUGCUUUGUUAUGACUGGACUCAGAAGCAUCUUCUAAGCUGCCUACGUACUCUUAUGAGAAAGAGAUCAAGUCAUGACGUAGUUCAAGGAUUUUUCUUGGGUGCCAUACGCAACCUAUGCUCGUGCGGGCAGGAGUCGUUUUUUUUUGUUGAUUUUUUUGGUGAUUCGUAGUUUAUGCUUGUGCGGACAAAGAGCGUGGUGACUUUUCAGUGGUCUACAUGAGUCUCAGCAGGUUGCAUGCCCCCAGCAAAGGCGUUGACGACACUGCUUCGAGUUGUUCAAAGAUGAUGGUAGCAUAAUUUGACUGAGCCGCAUCAUCUUCAAUGUCUAAGCUGAUCUUUCCUUGUUGUGCGAGCUUCAUGAUGAGGUCUUUCAAGAUGAAGCAUUUCUCCACCGGAUGACUAAUGCCACGGUGGUUCUUGCAGUUUUUUGGUUCAUUGACGUGAUGCAUCUCUUCUGGACGCUUGCAGUCUGGCAAUUUGAUUAGUUCUUUUUCAAGCAAGUUUUCCAACAUCUCAACAACAUCGGAAUUUAGAAAAGGGUAACUUUUAGCUUCCAACUCUCUUAGAGUUCGCCUCCUUGCUUGAUCUUGAGUCGAAUGAAGCUUGUUUCGGUCAUUUGAUUUGACUCGAGUCGUAAUCUUUGCAGGAGCUGACUAAUUGUGAAUGACUCCAUAACACGCUUGUGACUAUGUGGUUCAAUGACUUCACCUUCUCUUUGGCCAUGACUAGCCAAGCUGAGUUCCAUGUCAUGAGCUCGAGUGGCAAGUUCUUCGAAGGUGCGAGGAUUUAUUCCUUGAAGAAUGUACAACAAGCCCCAAUGCAUGUCUUGAAUGCACAUCUCCACUGCUGAUAAUUCUGAGAGUCAGUCUUUGCAGUCGAGACUUAGUGCACGCCAACGAUUGAUGAAUUCUACAGCAGACUCGCCCUUUCGUUGUUUGGUGUUGGUGAGCUCUAACAUACUCACCAUGUGACGUGUGCUGAAGAAGCGGUUCAAGAACUCUUUUUCCAUUUGCUCCCAGCUGUCAAUGGAUUCAGGCUCCAAGUCUAUAAACCAUUCAAACGCCGUGUCUUGGAGUGAGCGAACAAAUUGCUUCAUAAGAUGAUCACCAUCGGUGCCAGCGUUGUUGCAUGUUUCGAUGAAAUGUGCGAUGUGUUGCUUGGGGUUACCUUUGCCAUCGAAUUGUUGAAAUUUGGGAGGUUAGUAACUAGUGGCGUAGCCAGAAACCACAAGUAGAAUGGUCAAAAAUUUAAAUAAUAAUGUCACAUAAAAUAAAAAUAUAAUUUUAUGAAUAAUAUAAAAAAUUAUAAAUCAUUAGAAUACUUCGAAAACAAAAUAACAAAUCUCAAUCACAAUAAUUACAAGUAGAAUCUUCUAAAACAUCCAUAGUUGCAAGUUUUUGAUUAUGAAAGAUGUCAACGACAUGAAAAAAAAUAUUGAAGGACAACAAAAAGGAAUACGCAAAACUGCUUAUAGAGGUAUAGGAGAAAUCAAUCACAAUAAUUUCUUUAUUACAUAUUAAUUUAAAAGACAAAAAACUAGGAUUCUGUUUUAAUUGAUUAGGAUUAGGAAUGUUUAGUAAAAAAUAAAGAGACUCACACGUGAUAGGAGUUUUUUUUCCUUGACAAACACGCGUGAUAGGAGUUGAACACUACUAAUUGCUGUAAUUAAUAUUUUUUGUCAAACUCUUUCUCUUAUUGGUUAGAUUUUAGAAGGGUCAAAUUUAAUCCAGCAUCACAUAUCCAUAAAAAAAAUUGACCAAUCAGAUAACACUAUAACCUAAUCUAAAAUCUGAGGGGCGUCAGCUGACUUCCCUCGUCCCCCCUUAGCUACGCCACUGUUAGUAACCAGUUGGCAUCCUUAAAUUGUCUAGCCGUUUGGCUUGGAAUACGUCAGUGUGUCUCGAGAUGAACCACCAUAUUAAGCUUUGAUUGUGUUGACAAUCAUGUCUUGAAGUUGUUGAACUGACAAUGAAGCUAGGAUGAAAUUUGAUUCUCCUUUUUGCUCGGAAGAUGAUCCACCAGACGUGUCUUUCUUAUCGCCAUGCAAGUUAUUCUCCGAGUCAUUGUCAUGGUGAACUUCUAGCUUCUCCAUGAGCGAUGCAAUUUCUACAUUCUUCUGUUUAAUGGUUUUUUGAAGCUUCUUCACUGCUUCAGUCAACUAGGCUAUUUGGGCCGCUUGUUCUUCCACGUUGGUCGCUCCUAUCACCAUGGCUUGUAUGGUGUAAGAGUCAUCUUCUAGAAUCGCUUCAAUUUGAUUGUCAAGAGGCAAUUCCAAGUGUGGACCUAUCUUUGAAUCAACUUCAGCUGUGGGUGAAGAAGAAUGUUUCCUCGAGUUGCUUGACGAUGUUGAACGUCUUUACUUCAUGAGGUUUGCCCCAUUGUUGUCCAAGCUUCAAUCGGCUGAAAAUGAUUUGAGGAAUGAAUGUCGAAUGUUGUGAGUUGAAAUGACUCACAAUGAGCAGCAUGACCGCUAAGGUUUCUACAGCUUUUCAAAGUAGCUACCUUGUUGGUCUUGUUUUUCGAUUUGAUUUGCACCAUCUUUGAAGCCAUAUGAUGAGGAUGGUGAUAUUUUCGGAGAAUAAGAUGAGAGGCAGAGAUUGUCCACUGGGCGUGCCAAUUUUGUAAACACGAAAAUUCCUGUAACAAAUGUUCUUUUACAAGAAUUUCCUCUUAUUCGAACUUCGACGUCGAUUUGAUCCAAAGGUGACGAGCACUUGAUCUUGAAUCGAAUGGUUUUAGUUUGGACUUCUUGUCAUGUUGAUGAUUUGUAGAAGUUGAUUGACCAAGGGCCGUAGAGGCUUGUUCUUGAUCGAACUUAGGCCACGAGCGGUUUCACGUGGUGAACGUUCUUCGGCUUUGAUGGCGGAUGAAUCGGCACGUGUGUUUAGUGCUUGUUGAUUCUCUACGAGCUUGUUGAAAAACUUGGUAGAAGUUUUGAUUUGUUGAAGACUUGAAGACAAGGGUUGAUGAAGGGCUGCUGAGGCUUGAUGUUGAUCGACUUUGGGCACGAGCGGUUUCACGCGGUGAUUUGUUCUUCGUCUUGAGGUUGAUGAAGAAUCGGCUAUUUGGCAGCUUGAUGAUUCUUCAAGGGUUUUGGGAGGCUUCUAAGCUCUCAGGAGUAAUUUUUCUCUCUUGUCCGGAAGUCCUCCUCUUGAUGUGAGAGAGGGUAUUUAUAUUAUCAAUGCUUAUCCGUAUAUGGAAUGCGUUGAAGUCACCGUUUUAAUUUUGUUUCCUUAACGGUAUAAUUAAAUCAAUCAGUCUUGAUUGAUUGAUCUAAUUAUAAUUAUUAACAUAAUUAAAUCAAUUGAUAUUUAUUGAUUGAUUCGAUUAUGACUAAUAAGGUAUUUUGCCGAUUUGAUUAAAUGCCCGACUUAAUUUCCGAUAAUCAAUUUAAUUUAAUUGAAAUCUGAUUACCGAUUGACAUUUAAUAUCUGUUUUUGGUCAUGAUUGAUGAUUUUUGUUGUCGACCGACCAUUCACACGUCGCCACGUGUCAUUUUUGAAGACUUUUCAACUUUACCGACUUACGAGCUACGUAUGUAAUUUAUCAAGUCCAUACACCGUAUAAAUAAUUUAAUAAUUAUUAUUCUAUUUUAUCCGUGUCUACGGCUAGAAAUUCACUCAUCUCAUAAUUCUCGUGUGUUUCCACUUUCCAGACCAUCACAUCAUGUCGGCUUUCUAGAUGAUUCAUUUUCCCACUUCCAAUUUUAGGUGCAUGGUGAUAAUAGCAAUAGGGGAGGCAUAUAUGAUGAUAAGGUUCAAUAUAUUAUUUGCUUUUCAGGUUUGAGCUGUUUUCCAUGUGUACCAUAUCUGGGAUCAAAAUCAUCAAAUAAUUGCAUGCAUUAGAAAUAGGUCCCCAGCCUUUAACCCCAAGUUAUUAAUUUUUUUUUUAAUAUUGUCAACCAAUUCUUUUUGUUAGUAUAUCCAGUACUAUCCGCUAUACUCGACUAUUAUAUGAACAGAUCCAGGUAAUUUAGAUUAAAUAAAAGUCGCAAGAUUGAGCAAAUAAUAAUCGGGUAAACUAGUGAAGAAAAUUGUCAUGAUACUAAAGUAGAGGAAAACAAAAACCUAAAACUCAUAAUUAAUUCAUAAAACUGACUAACUAACUUGCCGAUGAGCGGGAGAAAAAAAAAAAAAAAAGGUACUCUCAUGUCACAAAAACAAUCGAUGUUCACACGAACACUAUACAACUUGGUCCAAGACAAGCUAGACAUGCACAACAGUUGGAUGAUUUACAAAACCUCGAUCAUCAGAGUUGAGACAAGGACAUCAAUUCUUGUUCAUCCUCACUGAUCAUUUCACGAUGAUCUCCAUCUCUUGUGGCAUUGCUUGACCUUUGAUCUGGUAUUGCACUUGGAUCAAUGAAGGAGCAUUGCCUACUCCUAAUCUGGCUGGGAAGUGCUCUUUGAUCAAUGAACGAGUUUUGCCUACUUUUCGGGUGGUAAGCCGGGAUUCUUCUUCCUUUGGAAUCGUAGAUCAUAGCAGCAUCGUCAUCUUCAUCUGGCACUCUAUUUUUCUCUCCUAAUAUGAUCGUCUUCAUCCAAAUCGAUUCUUCCUGUUUCGUCAUUGACGCCAUGGACGUCACUGACGACAUUGACAACUUUCUCCCGUUGUUCUUUCGUUUAUUAAAGUUAGCCUCGUCCUUACUUUUCUCUCCUCUUCUCGCCAUCGACAAGCUUCUCGGUAGCUUGAGGCUCAAACUCGACAGCAAUCGUCUAUCCGAAGCCGAUUUCUUCAUCUGAGACGUCGUCGUAUUGGCAUUGCUUGCAUUCCAAGAAUUAACCGCCUGCGCUCCUAUCCCUGACGUCUUCAUUCCUGGUGGAAGCGGGAGUUCUUUGUUUUUUAAAUCAUCUCCAUCUUCAUCUUCCUGAAUAUCUUCUGUUUCGGGUUCUUGGGGCGCUAUUGUCUCGUUCGACAUUGCUGCUGCUGGUUCUUCUCUUGUUUUCACAUCAGCCACACCCUCCUCUUUCGUUUUUAACACGUCCGGAGAUUGUAGAAUAUCCUCAUGAUUAACAUUACGCUGCGCUUUUCGUCUAAAACUACAAAGAGCUGUGAUCAUGGCAAAGGUGGCUGCAGCCAUGCCAGCAGCAAAGAGUGAGAAUGAAAGCACCGGAGGAAUCAGCAAGUCGUUUUCAUCCGUGGGAAUGGUUCUUCCCAUGAGUAUUCAAACAUCAAAACCAAUAUUGGCCGGGGAAGUUGAACCUGUAAACAUUCAUUGUUAAAGCUUGUGAUCCAUUCAUUGGUGGUUUUGAUGUGUUGCCUAGCUUUGUGAUUUUGUUUCAGAUCCCCUAGCUUGGUUCUUCGAUUUUUGGAUCGAGGUUUUGAAAUUCAAAAGGGGUUCCCCUAGCUAGCUUCCCUUCUACAAUGUUGGGUUUGAUGCUUGUUUUCCUCGAAGAAGAGAGAGAACCAGGGCAAUUGGAAUUUGGAAAUGAAGUCAUUCGUAGCAUCAUCCGAAACAGAAUGCUUGAGUUUAGGAAAUGGGAGGAAAGAAACAGCUGUGACCAGUCCUACUUUAGGUUAAUCUGGUUGUUAAUUAAGGUAGUUAUGUUAAGGUGUUACCCAAUGUUAUAUGAGUGAUACACCAUCAAAAUAGAUGGUGGCAGCAAGCAGUGCUAAAUGAGUAAUGAAUAUCAAUUUGACAUAACCGUUUAACAUAUAUGGUGUAAUGUCAAUAUGUAAUGAAUAUCAACUCCUUUUUUUGUUUUGUUUUUUUCAAUGAAUAUCAACUCCCUAAAGUUAAUAUAACAAAAUAUGUCAUCAAAGUCAUUAUGGUGUGGUCGAAAUAAAUACAUAUUUGUUCAAUUUUAAUUCAGUUGCUUUAUCUUGUGAUUAUUAUCGUUAUAUAUCAGGACAACUCAUGAAUGUGUUCAUAUUUUCACAUUCGAUUAUGAAAAUAAAGAAAAGAUGAUGUGAAAUAUAAACCGCAUAGAUAAAAGUUUACAUUUUAUUUGUCGUAUCUUUAUAAACUCACUUGAAAAGUACAAAUGUCAUACCUAAAGGCUAAAGCCUUUGUACAUAAUCUAUAACAAGGCCAAACAAGCAUAAAGAUUCGCUUGGACCAUUAUGAAUUUUGAUACUAAUAAUACAUAUAAUCCAAAUAGAUUCCGUAUGAAAUAGCCAGGAUAGUGGUGGAUUAAACUUAUUUUGGUUUCAAUUAUUGUCCACUAAGUAAACGUUUCAUCAUAAUAUUAAAUUAGUACAUUACAAAAGUAGUCUUGUGCACGUCAAACCUUCCCAGAGCCUAUACUCCUAUACACUAAUCUGUCCAUUUUGUUUGAUCUGGAAGCGAUAAAAUAAAACAAAGAGAUUACACUAUUUCAAUUUAAAGAUUAACUCUUUUUUAUUCACAUAAUCUGAUAUAGCCGACAAAAGGAAUGGCUCCCAUGGGCCUUGCUUGCUUCACUCUGUGGAGUGUGGAUAUAAAAAUCGAUCACCUUCACGGUUCUGAUUGCUCUUCAGUUUUUAUACACCAAAUUAAGAUCGACCCAGUUGGCCUUAUAAAGAUCCAAUCUUUUACUUCCUCUCUUCCUAUCUCUCUGAGUCUGCAAAAAGCUUUGGGAUUUAGCUGUUAGAGUAAGAUAGAAUCUGCAUAUUACAUAAGAUAACAACUAGCCUUUUUUUUUUUUUUUUUUUUUUUCCUUGUAUUGGUCUUGUUUGGUUCUACUCUUUAUCAAAAAGAGUUUGGGAUUGACAACAAAACAACUGUGAAUGGAAGAGAGCAGCAAGUUCAAGAGGAUUUGUGUGUUUUGUGGAAGCAACUCUGGCAACAAACAAGUCUUCAGUGAUGCUGCUCUUGAAUUGGGCAAUGAACUGGUUUGUUUGUCUGUUUGUUGUCUUAUAGUUUUUAAAUCGUUAUUUUAUUGCUAUAUAUCGUUUAAAUAUGUAAUCUUGGCUUGGAUGAUUAUGAAUUCGUAUUGAAGAUUCCAUAUUCAUAAAGAACUGUUGUUUUCUGGGAGUUUUGGUGCUUUGGAUAAUGUUAUGGGGUUGUUCUGGUUUCUACUUUUGAUUGCUUCAAACACGCUCAUCUUGGUUUUUCUUGUGCUAAAUUUAGAGUUGUUGAUUGGUUAUGUAAUGUCUUGAACCGGGUUUUGUUCUGUUGGGAACUGGCCACUUGGGCUGUGAUUUAAGAUCAUGAGCAUUGUUGACUUCCUUUUGACAGUAUAUUACUUCAUGCAAAUCCAUCAAAAAGGCAUGGAAUCAGUGUUCAAUGCAAUAAACAGGAGUAUUAUGCGGUUUCGUCUCCUAUGCUUAAUUUUCACUUUAAAAAGAUGAUGUAGCAGUUACUUAUCCACUUUGUUGGUGUGUAUUUCAGGUGAAAAGGAAGAUAGAUUUGGUGUAUGGUGGAGGGAAUGUUGGGUUGAUGGGUUUAGUAUCCCAGACGGUGUUUGAUGGAGGCUGCCAUGUUCUUGGGUAUUUCUUACAAAACAUUUACCGUUGUGAUUCAUUGUAUUUGUGUCUCUGAGUGAUAAUUUGUUGAUCACAAGUUAUUUUUGCUCUUUACAUGCAGGGUCAUUCCAAGAGCUCUCGUGCCUCGAGAGGUAAUGGUUGUAGAUUAAAUUGUUCUUAUCUUGAUUUGAUGCUGCUUUUCCUGUUUUCAAAUAUCUAGAAUCUUGUUAGGCUUACAAUUACUCUUAAGAAGCAGACUUUAUAAGAUUAAACAUAUCGGAUGAUUUCUAACAUCCCUUAACAUGCUUGAUGUCAUGCGCUGAGUGAUUUUCUCACGUCUUUAAAAUUUAUCAAUGUAGCUUAGGGGGUUUGGGGAGAUAUUUGCAGUUUUUUGUACUACCAGUUUUACCACACUUUUCAAAGUUGAGUUCAGUUGAGUAUCACAGACUUUUGUGGACAAAUUUGACAGAUAUCUGGUGAAACUGUUGGAGAAGUAAGAAUAGUUAGAGACAUGCAUGAGCGGAAAGCUUCUAUGGCUGAGGAAUCUGAUGCCUUUAUUGCUCUUCCUGGUAAUUACACGAAUUAUCCCUAAAAUUUCAGAACCACAGCAUUCCUCCAGUAUACUGUAGCUAUGUAAAUAGUUCUUAAGCAUGUGAACUGGAUACUUACUGCAUUAUUGCGUUUGGUUUUAGGAGGAUAUGGAACGCUGGAAGAGACACUGGAGAUGAUAACAUGGGCCCAACUUGGGAUUCAUAAAAAGCCGGUACCAAUUUUUACCACCGGGAACUAUAUUGUCUGCUUCCUAUUAAUGGGAUUUGUAACUUGAUAUUACACUCUUUACAGGUUGGUUUGCUAAAUGUAGACGGGUACUAUGACUGCUUGCUUUCACUAUUUGACAAUGGUGUUGAUGAAGGAUUCAUCAAGCCAGCUGCUCGUGAUAUAGUUGUCUAUGCUCCAACCGCCAAAGAACUUAUGAUCAAGAUGGAGGUAUAGUACUAAACUAACUUCCUUGCAGUUCAUUAAAAGGUUACAUGUUUUUUUUAGUGAUUAAGUUUUUCUGGACAUAUUAAAGCCUUAACAAAUCCACAAUUUGUUUACUUUUGCAGCAAUACACUCCUUCCCAUCAAGCUAUUGCUUCUCAUGAAAGCUGGAAAAAGGCACAACGAGAACUAGCUUCAAGCGAUGAGGGGCCAUCACUUCCAUGGUGAAAUAGUUAUUGGAAUAUUGGUGUAGGCACCAAAAUUGUUUCCUGAUUUGAGUUGUUGGAAGAAUGUAUUUAUAUGGGACCAGACCCUUUAUUUCAGUGUACUCUUCAAUUCCUUGUAAUUUGACUUCAACUGAAUCCGUCCAGUCUUUAAUAGCAUAUUUCAUUUAAGAUCGACAAAAACACUAUUUGAUUGUCAUAUUUCAUUAUUUUCAUAUUUUGUUGGUAUGGAUGAGAAGUAGACAACAUAGUCGUAGUAUUGAACAUAGGCAUCCCAUGAAUGAUGGCAUGAGCAACUUCUAAUCAGUCACCAUUGUGCUAAAAGGUUUUCGAAAGACCUUCUAAAUGUUCUUCACAAAGCUCAAAGCAGCUAGUGUGUCCUGACUCCUUUCCAAAAGAGUUUGGGAGCAUUGUAAUUCCCCCUCACUGUUCUUCUCAAAGUUCAGCUGAAGAGUGGAAUAGUAAUGCUAACAUUGUUUGUCCUAGUCCCAAGACAGCUGAUUGUAUUUCCUUCCAUUGUUCUUCAACAUUCUUCUUUUCCAUUUCAGUUCCUUUGACACCUUCGAGUUUGAGCCUACCUUUCGCUGAACUCCAAACGGGCAUCUCUAGAAAGUAGAAAAAGUGUUCAUUAAAGUUUCAGGAUCAUCUUCUGGUUACUCCACCUUAUCCAAUGAGUUAACCCGGAUUCAAGUAUCAGAUAAGUGCACUUGUAAUCUACGUACUAAAGAGAAUCUUAGGCAACCAUCGAGAGUAUAUUCCUACUGCUAGUUCUACCGACUCUUGAUAGUGUUCUUUUCUGUGAUGUACAAAAUAAUUUCAAGACAAAAUCAAACAGCUUUUGGUAGAAGGCUAUUUCAUUCUGGCUCCCCAUGCCCUCCCCUUGUGUUUGGCCACCUAAAUAUCAUUCUGGAUUCUAGUGUUUUGUUAAAGAUUGCUUCCUUUUCGACAAGGAGGAAACGAAAGCAAUUAGCUACUGGCACUGUUUUUGUAACUUGUUCUUAAAGUGAAAGGCACAGUACUAUACCAAACUCUAGUUCAUAAUAUUGGCUGGGGUACCAAACACAUGCAUUUCUCAGAAGGUAGCCUACUGAUUAGUUAUUUCUUUUUCUACAAAAAGGGAAGUGCUGGUGCGUGACAUAAUACUUCUGCUCUAACUCAGCACAAGAAGCUGCCCCCAUCCUGGUUGCUUUAGGAUUUUGCAAAAUGGGUCUCUCAGUAGUGGUUGCUCAAGACUCAAGAACAAUGGUGGACCUCAUGGUGUAGGGGCUAAGCUCAAAGUGGAAGUUAGUUCUGUGGAGUAGUGGGGUGGGUGAGCCAGGCAUCCCAUAAUGUAGAUGUAUCUAAACUGUUCACUUGUGUCUUUCAAGGUCCCUCCAUAACUAUUUCAUCACUAAAUUCUCGCAGACCUUGUUUUUGGCAUCAUUCUGCUGCCUAUCAGAAACGUUAAAUGCUGAAAGAUUGAGAAGGAUUAUCCUAAAGUACAAUAACUUGAGCAUUGUUUAAAUUCGUCCACGGUGGACAGUUAGUGGGUAUCAAAACCUCGAAACUGUCUUGUGGAGAAGGUAAACACAGUGAACAGAGUUUAAAGAUGAACAAGACUACGCGGUGAUGACUGUGUUUCUGUAAACAGAAAGCAAUUUUCAGUGAAGGGUUACCUGCACAUUUUCAGUUCUCAAAGAUGAUGUUGGGAUGAGGGUCCUCAUCAGCACUCUAAUUAUUCAGCAUAUUACUGUCAGAGGAUCAAAGACGAGCAAUUUGUUCUCGCUCUACUGAGAAAUUUAGACUUGAUUAAGAAUACAUUGCAACACUUUAAAGAGGAGAAACCAUCACUCACGAAAUGAAUAGUAAGUAAGAGUGAGUUAUUAAACAGUUUCAGAUAUGAAUAUGUUAACACAUUGCGGUGUGGAAAUUUUUUCCAGGAAAGGAAUGAUGUCAAAAAUGUCAUGCCCUCCGUUAAAAAUAGUGAGCAAACUCUAUCUACUAUACACCAGCUUUGCCCAACCAAAAUGAUCUGCUUUUUCAUGGUACAUUCGUGUCUAUCAAUGUAAGAACUUUUAUGCAUAUACAAGAAUCUUCCUGCUGUCAUCAGAUCAAGCCUUCUCUUUAGAAGACGCAGGCAUCAAAUGAUGCAAAGUUGAUGCCUGGAUAAUAGUGCUAGGGUUGGAGUCCCUACCACGGGUGGAUCCAGAUUUUCUAACGUUGAAGCUCUUGUCAACAUGUCGUAUAGACCGAGGAAGGUAAGGCACCAACCGUGUUGAGCUCACAAGUAGAAUCACCCCAACAAUUAUAAAUGCCCUGCAGCAAAAAUAGUUUAGGAUCAACAAUCUUAAUGCUAGCAUCCAAAAUCAAACUUGUAUUACUCAUUUCAUCUUAAUGACAACAGAUGAACCAUGCUUAAGUGAGGCCUAAAUUGGCAUAUACACCAUCUGUCAACUAUUUGGUUUAGUAUGGAAUCGAAAAAACUAUUUGGUUCAAGAACAUCCUUAGGCCCAAACUAAAUAAAUUAGGAAGGUAUAGUUAUUAGAAACAAUGUACAAAUUAAAAAUUAGUGUCUGAAUUUACCAUCCAAGCAGUAGUGUAAGACGAGCUGUGGGCGCUGAAGGCAAUCUUUCACCCAAAGCAAGCAUACCAGCAAGAACACCAGUAACAAUUGAUGCCACAGCAGCACAUGUAGAGACUACAAUCGCCCUCCCAUGCUUUAAACCCCAAGUCUGUUCAAAAUAACUCAUCAUCAUCAACAACAAUAACACCUUAUGCCAAAAAUAUAAUAAAAUUUAUAAGAAGAAAUGCAUUUUCAUGUGGCUGAGACCUUCUAUUCACAUGUACAUAUGGAGAUGAAUCUCUCAGUCUAGUCAAGUGUUUUACAUACCUGGUAAUAGAACCCAGUACCGCUACAACAUAUGCUGAUUAUCAAGCAUAUAGGAACUAAUAUGCUGGGGAAACCCUGCUCCAAGAACACAAAGCCCAUCUUUGAUAUUACAGAUGCCAUUCUGCAAUUAGACAUGUAAUAAUUAAUGUAUGAUUUUAAGCAUGAUUUACAAUCUACAUGAGUUUACCAAUAGAUGUCUUUGUAUCCUGUAAUUGAUCUUUCCGAAUCAAAAAAGUAUUUGGCUCAGGCAUGAGAAAAUUUGAUUAUAGUAUGUGAAACAAUGAUUAUAGAUAUAACUAGUCCAAUUUGCCACCAACAAAUCUAUGAGGCUAAAACUUUGUCGUAACAUCGGGCGCUACUGUACAUAAAAGUCGUCUUUUCAUACUAACAAUACACAUGAAAUGACAUGCACUAGCGCACACACAACAUUAAUUCCUGCAAUCUGUCAAACUCAACAAAGUGCUAUGACCGUGUUGACAUGGGGCGGAAUAUUGCAUCUCAACUAGUGUGCAGACAGAAGAAUAAUAUGUUCUACUUUCCCUCCUAAUUUGAAUUGUGAGAGGUAAGACUUUAUCUGACAAGGAACAGUGUCACCAACAAAACCGACAAAAAUAGUGCAGGAGGGAUUCAUACCCGAACAAAAUGCCAGAUUCCAAGCCAUAUAUAAUUUCUUCAACAACUUCAUAUUCCAUCUGUACCACAAACAGAUGUCAGGAAAGGGCGGAUAAAACCAUCCCCAAACACUGUAAAUAGCUGAAAAGCGUAAAUCAACCUACCAGCUCCUGUUCUUUUCGUUGACGUCUGUAGAUUCGUAACCAACCAUUAAGGAGUACCUAUAUCAAAGGAUAUUGCAGGCUUAGAAUCAUUAGAUAAAUUAUCGGAUUGUAAAUGGAUCCAGCAGCAUUAAAUUUAUAUACUUGCUUCGGUAACAAAAAAAGCCUAGCAAGUAUCAGAUGAUCCAUGGGACAAGGUACCUACAAACAAGAUGGCGACCACAAUUGCCAACCAUGGUAGAUGGAAGACAGAUAUAGCAGAAGCCUUUUGCUCUUCACCUCCAGCACCAACUCCUGCAAAUAAAAUCUUAUACUACUCUAAACAAUACUUUGAAUAAAACACACAAAUCAAAAGCUGAUAAGGUAACAGUUCUGUACGAUUUAACUUUCAUACAUAGAUACCUUACAGUUCAGUAACAGAAAUUAGCAACAUUGGUAAUCCACAAACUGAACAAAGAGAAUCAUGCAGAACUUACAUUACCUAUAGUGCCAAUGCCUGCUAAGGUAAUCCCCAUCCAGUCAACAGCAUUCAUGAUUUCCUUCAGAUAAAAAUGGGAAAAUAUCGAAAGGAUAGCAAGUCCACACCCAGAAACUGGUUGGAUGACAGAUACCUGAAAGUACACCAUCAAGAUUCUCAGCACACAUAAAACUGGACAAGAUCAAACACCAACUAGACGAAUAAGCAUCUUAGCUUGACCCGACCAGAUUCUGACCCAGAGCCACAUUGACCAAUACAAGUUCAAAUUCAGGUUCUUUUCAACAUGCAUUUCAAUUAAACUGUACUUCAGCAUAUAUCAUAAAUCUCAACUAGACCAAGAAUAUGAAUCAAUGCACAAACUGAACGUUAAGCAAAAUGUAAAGAAAAUAACAAACAAAUAGAGCUUGGAGCUGAAACACUUACAGGAGCAAGAGACAAUGCUCUCAACAUGAGCAAGGCUCCAAAUAUAUCCAUCAGAAAUCCUAUCAACCAAGCUUUGUUCAAGGCAUACGCCCUUAUCACCUACAACAAACACAGACCCAAUUAGCAAUCCUUUCAAAUCUUCAUCAUGCAACACCAACAUUUGCUUGCAACAAAAUCAGAAACCCAAUUGGCAACUCAUCCUGAAUCCAAUUCCAUAAACCCAAAACACAUUCUUGGCAAUCAAUACCAAUCAUAACACAUGCAAUGAAGAAAGGGGCAAAAUGGGUAAAGAGAAGAGUGCCUUGAGCUUCAAAGAGAGAGGGGGAAGAAUGACGGUGCCCUUCUUCUGAAGAAUUUUGCCGAUGUUGUUUCCGGCCGUCGCCGCCAACGUCAGAAAGAUCGACUCCCACAUCGCUUCUCCAAAUAAAAAUCGAAUCUUGAUUAUUGGGGUAUGAGAAAAAAGAAGAAAGACUGUGCCUUUGCCCUUUGGGGUGUCUGUGAGCUUUGGUUUUCUGCUGUCUCACGCUACCAUUUUUGGUUUUGGUUUUUGGGUUUACGUUGAAAAAGAUGGGAUUUUUAUAUUAACUUUUAAUGGGAUAUUAACAGCAAAACAGGUCUGGCAAUUAGCCAAACGCCAACAAUGUGGAUGCUCCAGAGAGCGAGAGAGCGAGAUUGAUACAUCAUCUCCGUCGAUGAGUUGUGAUAUGUUGGUUGUUUAAGUUGUCAUCACACCGUAAUUGUUUAAAUUUCAUAAACAUCAUAAAAUAAACUGGAUGAAAAUAAAAAUGAUUAGUUGUACACUUCCGUUUCUUGGUUUUUGAAGCAUGCAUUUUACUUUUGUUACAAAGUAUGUUCUUUACAAUUUUUGAUAUAUAAGUAAUGCUUUAUGCUCAAGUAGAUCCAUAGAUCUAGGUGAAGUACAACAAAUUGGCAUUAAGGAAUUUGAGGUCCAUAGAUCUACCAAAUAGUACAUAAAAUAGAGCUCAACUAGAGAUUUGGCCCUAGUAGCUAGUUAAUUACUGCACUUUCUUGCCAUCACUUUUCAUGUGUCUCUUUUUGGUUUUUUGUGUGUCUAUGAACUAUGAAGCAAUUUGUGGCUUGAUAUUUGGUACAGUUGCAGCUCUUGAGGUUAUUAGAUCUGACAAGGAUUGACCAACUAACAAGACACGAAUCUCUCAACCUGCAUUUAUAUAAAGUGAGAAUGUCAAUGUCAGUAACUAUGAGGAUCUUGAAAGGUGCAAAAUAACUCGCAAAAUUUUGAUUUAUUAGUUAACCAGUACUAAUAACUAGCUAGAAACCAAAGUAGGUGAUUGAUUUGACACUUGAACUACAUUUGACAACUUUGUUUAAAACUCAGAAGAGGUUGAUUUCCAAUUUGGUUUACUGUGAAUUGUGUGUAAAUGAAGAGUUAUGUAAUGAGGUUUGUUAACUUUUUGUGAUUAGACUCAUAGUUCAUACCUAGUCAUGCCUGUUGUUUUCUGAGUUUGAGAAUGUAUUGGUGUGCUUCAUCUUUCUUCUGAUCUAUCAAUGUCAUUUUCUUCUUCAGUGAUUCCAUAUCCCUUUCAAUAGUCACCAGUUCUCUCUGAACGUCACUGAGUUUUAGCCCAAGACCAAGAGCCAGCUGGGUUUUCCUUGAUUCCUCUAUAUUCUUACUGGCAAGCUGCUUAAUCAAUUGUGACAGAAAAUUAGUUACACACCAGAAAGGCAGAGAAACCAGAAAAACUUGUGCUACAAAUUAAUGUCUGUGUCCUAUUUGAUGAGUUACCUUUAUUUGGUCCUGUAAUUUAUUUUUUGUUACCAAACAAGUCCAAGUCUUUCCCUUCACAGGAGUAGGAUUAGCAUCUGCACUUCUAUUGAAAGCAAGUAGUGUUUUAUCUGCUUUCUUUUGCAAUAGUGGCAAUCCUACUCCACAUGUUUCUAUUCUCCACUCGAGUUCUCUGAUUUCUCCUUCGCGGUCUUUGAUAUCUCCUUUGCUGAUUAGGAAUGGCAUCUGGUGUUGCAACCACCAAGUCUGUUUCAAAGAAUGCAAAUCAAUGCGGACUAUCCCAUUCCCAUACCUUCUGUAUCUGAUAAUCUGCUUCAACAGUCAGAAAAGCCAAAUCCAGAGAAUUAGAAGAAUAUAAGGUAACUGGUGCUUGAUUAUUCAACUUUUUUUUUUUUACUUAAUCUUACAUUUUCAGACGCAUUUGUCAAAUCGUCUUCCCAUUGAGUCCAAAAUGAAGCAAAACCAUCCUCCGCUUCAUUCUGGCUCACUUUCAUCUCUUUCAGAAGCCUCUUUUCCUUAACCAAACUCUUGCUUCCAUGUUCCAUCCGGAAAUGCAAGUUCUGCAUCAAAUUUCAUAAAUAAAUGUUUGCAUUGUUACAUGCAUACAUUGUCCAUGACUAUACAUGUAUAAUUUGAUUAAUUUCUGAUCCUUACAUGUUUACUCAUCUCUUGUGCAGACAAGCAUGACUUGAUCGGUUUCUUUUGGUAAGUGUUGUCUGCGAAACGAAGCUUAUGUGGAAGUAGUUGCAGUAGAUCCAUCUUCCUCCUUUGAUGAAUCACAGAAUGUACGAGUUCUUCUUUACGACAAUUGAGGUCUACCAACCGAGACAGCAAACAUCGAUGAUCAAACUAUAUGCGCACAGGAAAGGUUAGUUUGAUCAUUGAAGUUGUCACUAGAUAGCUAGCACAUACAUACAAUCAUAUAAACAUACAGCUAUAACCUGUUUAACAUACCAUCAUCUGCCCUAGUGAAUCAGUGAGCUGAAGUUUUUCUCCACCUAUCAUUGCAAUCAAUUUCUCAGCCUCUUCAAUUUCGGCUUUUAUACUUGUUUCCAAUUCCAGCUCCAUAUAGUGUUUGCUUUGGGCCUUUGGCUGAUGGAACACAACAAAAGUUCUGGGUUUUAGUCUUUUAGUAACUAGAUAGAGCUUCUAAUUCACCUUACCUCAACAAAGCAGAGACUAUAAACGUGAAAUAACAUAGUAGACAAUAAUCUUUUAUCAGAAAAAAGAACAACAUUGUAGAUAAUAAUCAAUAAAAUCAAUGUGAUAAAGCGGUUCAUGAAUAUACCUGAAGUGAUUCAAACUGUUUGAUUGGGAAUAAUUUGCUGUGUAUUGCAUGAAGUGAUGAAGGGGUACAAGUCUUCGUAUUUUUAUAAGCAAGAGCCUCUUGCACCCCACGCAAAGAGUAGGUUUAGGUCAACUCUAUAACCUUCUAAAGUUUUAACUAAUUAGUAUCAUAAUCAUCAAGCCAAAACCUUGUCAAAGGAUUCUUCAUGAUCGAUUCAAAGCUCAGCAAAUGGAGAUGGCGUGUGAUUGAUGUCCACCAUUCGAAAAUGGAAAAUAAAAAUAAAAUAUCAGUAUGGCUAUUGCUUGUAUCAGUUGUAUGCGCAAUUGUUCAUUACGCUUUGGUUGGAGUCGGACCUUGUAUAUGUGAUCUUCAUGGCCAUUCUGUUUCUUAUUUUCUGUUCUCUUAAGACGAUUCGUUCUUCUUGAUAAACAAACAAGAUAAAAAUCUUAAGAUAAAGUCCUCAAUCCGAAAAUUUAUCAACUUGAUGUAAGCUCUUGCUUACUGGGCAACUGUUUAAUCAUUUGUCUACAUCAUUUGACACUGGAAUUAGAAACAUAUAUAAACUGUUGAGAUAUCAAUCUCACAUCGGGAAUAUGAGACAUUGUUUGUGGGUUUAUAAGGAUUUGGGACACUCUACCCAUUACCUAUUAGAUUUAGAUGUGAACCACAUACUAAUGAGACUACUUUAUCAUAAACGCACAGAUAGCACUAGUGGUAUUUCAUUCACAAUGAUAGAUGAAGCUAGUCACAAUAAGUUUGGGUUUAUUAUUCAUCCAACCUACUACAACAGAGGCUCAAAUAUAUAUGGGAAAGAAAAAUAGUACAAGAAGAUGAACAUGGUACUGUACUUAUAUGUACAUGUACCUGAAUUAGAGAAUUGCUAGCUAGCAUUUUUGAUGAAAUAUUGAGCAUCAAAAAUAUAAUUCAAUGUUUAAGUAUUUGCUGAGAUGAGAUUGAGUAUUUGGUGAAUGGGUGUUGUAAUGAAGUUUAUUUUGUGAUCAACGAGUUGUGUUCAUUGUACUGUGCCAAUUGCCUCAUGCCUCACAGCUAGUCUUGUUGUUUUGUGAAGAGUUCCAGAAUGCAUUGGUGUGCUUCACUUUUCCUCUGAUCUAGUCCCGGCAAUUUCUUCCUCAGUGAUGCCAUCUCCUUUUCCACACCCACCAAGUUUCUCUGAGCUUUACAACUUUUUGGCCCAAGGCCGAGAGCCAAUAGGGUUUUCCUUGAUUCCUCUAUUUUCUUACCAGAAAGCUGCAAUAUGGCAGAAUAAUAGUUACAUUACCAAAGACCAAAAAUAAAAGAAGAAAAACAAAAAUUAAGCUACAAAUUUUGUAUCUUAAUUCAUGAGUUACCUUAAUUUGUUCUUGUAAGGCCUUUUUUGAAACCAAAGAAGUCCUAGUCUUUCCCCUCACGAGAGUAGGACUAGCAUUUGCAUUUGUAUCAUCAGCAAUUGGUGUUUUAUCUGCUUUCUUUAGCAGUACAACUCCACAUCUUUCUAUUCUGCAUUUAAGAUCUCUGAUUUCUCCUUCGCGGUCUUUAGUAUCUCCCUUGCUGAUCAGAAAUGGCAUUCGGUGUUGUAACCACCACAUCUGUUCAUCACGAGCAAUAUUCCACCACCAAUUAGGGUACCUACUGUGCCUUGUAUAUAUGUUCCCAAUCUGUUUCAACUGUCAAACAAACAAAAUCGAAAGAAUAAGUUCAUGAAGCAUAUUUAAGUAACUGGUCAGUAUGUACUGACUUUAAGCAGUGAUUUAUCUUUAAUUUUCAAUCUUACAUGUUUAGUAACAUAUGCAAGAUCUGCUUCACAUUGAGUACAAAAUGAAGCAAAACUGUCAUCCUCCUCCUGCAGCUUCUGGCUCCCUUUAAUCUCUUUCAGAAGCCGCUUUUCACUAGCCAAACUCUUGCUUUCAUGUACCAUCCGAAAACGCAAGUUCUGCGCCCAUCAAUUCUUACAUUCUGACAUGCAUACAUUGUACAUGUGUUUAUGAUUAUAUAACAAAGAAGUGAUUCUUACAUGUUUCUUAAUCUCUUGUGCUGACAAGCAUGCCUCAAUUGGUUUCUUUUGGUAACCAUUAUCUGUGAAACGAAGCUUAUGUAGAAGUAGUUCCAGAAGAUCUAUUUUCUUCCUUUCAAGGAUCACAGAAUGUGCGAGUUCCUCUUUACGCCAAUUCAGAUAUAGUAAACCACCCCUAUCAAGCUAUUGACAGGAAAGUUAAUUUGAUAUCAUAUACGUGUUCACUAGCUAGCAGCUGCUAGCAGCUAGCACAUCAUACCUUAAAACAUGUAGAGAAUUUAACAUACCUUCUUUUGCGUCAAUUUUUCAUUGAACCAAAGUUUAUCUUGACCCAUUUUUGCAACCACCUUCACAGCCUCUUCAAUUCUGGGUUUCAAACUAGGUUCCAAUUCCUCCAUAUCUUGUGUUUGUUGCCUAGCACAUAUCAAAUUCUGGGUUUCAGUAACUGAAUUCAAGAUUUUAGUUAUCCCCCCAACAUAGCAUCAUAUAUAAAUGUAGUCCUAAACAGUAAGCAAUGAGAUCAAUAUGAUAAAGCCACUUCAUGAUUGGGACUUCGAGCAGAUGUCUAUUACAUACAGAGGUUUAAGGCUUUCUAUUUAAGACAAGAAACCUCUUGCGCCCCACGCAAAGAUGUCUUGUAGGUCAACUCAACCAUUCUAUAACUUUUUAAAUUGGUGUCUGAUUAAAUAAUCAAACCAGUAAAUUGUCAAGGGAUUCCUGUUUAUCAAAUCAAAGCUAAUGAGAUUAUUGAAGACUAAUUAUGCACAUACAUUGAUACAUAUAGAUAGUUAUAUGCAAGUAGAUGGUAUCUAUAGCUCUUGUUCUAUCUAAUUUAACCAUACAGUUGUUGCUACACCAAAGCUUUAAAUCGAGCAGUAUCCAAUGAUGUUGGCCGAGGAACUUUGGGAUGUUUCCUAUCUUAAACAGGGAUUAGUAGAAUCAAGAAUGCACCUUAACAUUCUCACUUUCUGAUCAGGAACACAAGGACAUUUGCACCAAGUGUAAGAACAUUACAAGGCAGUGAUGAAUCAGGUGAAAAUGAAAAAUUUACCGGAAGCAAUUGCGGUAGAUUGAGUGCACCACAAGUUUGGGUUUAUAUUCAUCCUUAAGAUCUAGUUCUAAGUAUGAUCAAAAGUUCUUCAGUGCACCAAGGUUCAAGUGAACCAAUAGUCACUGACCAAUCAUAAUCAUUUAUUUAAUGCAGUCAAUUACAUGACACUAACACCGAUACUAACACACCGUUAGAUAAUUGAGACAAAAAAAAAUAUCCAAUCAACAUGGUAAAAAUAGGUAAGGCUACAAUAAAUAUUACAUGGGCAAUUAAUUCCAAUAUCAAUGGGAGAGAUUAUCAAUGCUUGACUUUUAUUAAUUUUUAUUUUUUUGUUUUUGUUUUUUUGUUUUGGAUACACAAUUAAGUCUUUUUAGUGAGAGUUUUUAUUUCCUUUUUAGUUUCUGGAAAUGCAAGGAGGGAUUAUUAUUAUUCUUUUUUUUUUGUUAAAAUGUAAUAACUAUGAACUUUACCUAUUUACCCAUUUGACUAAUGUGGAUCUCUUAGUGCUCAUAUAAGGGGUAAACGUGUAAAUUAUGCUAUCAGGAUUAGGAUUAGGAUUAGUUAUGAUAUCUAUUUAUUAUUUUUCAUAAGAAUUGUUUUAAUCAUAAAUAAUUUAUUUUAAUUAAUAUAUAAAUAAUUUUAUAUAUCCCACCAUACAACGUAUCCUCAGAUUGCGAAUAUGUACCGCAAUGUUUCACGUUUUAGGUUAUAUUGGUCGAACCAUCAAGAAUUAAAAUAAAGUAUGAACAUUUUAGAACGGAUGGCCAUAUAUCAAUCCUGUGACGUAUGUCAUGUAAGUUUGAACCAUCAGUAAACUCUUAUAUAUUAUUGAUUCGUUUUAACUAGAUUCUUUAUUUUAGUGUCCUUUUAUUUCUUCAAUGAACUUCAAAAUAAGUAAGUAAACGAAUUACAUUUUUAAAGGGAAUAAAAAAAAACUAUACUAGUCAAAUAAAUUAUCUCUUAUAACUUUGGUUAUUAUUUUCACUUUGUGGGUUUGAGCCAACUCAAAUGACAUGUAAUGUAUUUAUACAUGGGCUUGGUAAGACAAAUAAUUAGCUUGAGAAUAAAAAAUAAAAAAAUUAAAGCACCUCUUUGCCAAUGAGAUUAUGGCUAGGAGGUUUAGGCACCUUCAUAAAACUUAGCUUCAUGAGCUCUUCUUUUUGGCUUCAGCUUUGACUUUGACCAUUAUUGGAUCUGUUGCGCAUAGAUGUUCAUCAUAAUCUUUGAACUCACCAACACAAGAGAGAUUGUGAACGACUUGGUGCCGUCGUCGAUGGAGGACAACUCCAUGAAGGAGGAUCCGAUGGUCUUCUUCGAGAACAAAGAGGAGAUCAUCGCUUGAUCGCUUGAUUCAUUGCUUCAAAUUAAUGUCGUAUCAUUUGAUAUAAGUGAAAUUUCUAUUUAAUAUAACUUAAUCAUAUGUUUUCAAACGCAUAACUAAAGUGGAGUCAUCUUGUUGCUCCCAUAUGAGAUCAACUUAUCAAUGUUCAAGAUUUUUUUAAUCACUUGUUUUCAAAUGUGAGAGCAAACGUAAAAGUGGAGUCAUCUUGUUACUCCCAUGCGAGAUCAACUUAUUAAUGUUCAAGACUUCUUAAACCAUUUGUUUUCAAAUGUGAGAGCAAUUGAGUUAUCUUAUUACUCUUAUGCGAGAUCAACUUAUUAAUGUCCNNNNNNNNNNNNNNNNNNNNNNNNNNNNNNNNNNNNNNNNNNNNNNNNNNNNNNNNNNNNNNNNNNNNNNNNNNNNNNNNNNNNNNNNNNNNNNNNNNNNNNNNNNNNNNNNNNNNNNNNNNNNNNNNNNNNNNNNNNNNNNNNNNNNNNNNNNNNNNNNNNNNNNNNNNNNNNNNNNNNNNNNNNNNNNNNNNNNNNNNNNNNNNNNNNNNNNNNNNNNNNNNNNNNNNNNNNNNNNNNNNNNNNNNNNNNNNNNNNNNNNNNNNNNNNNNNNNNNNNNNNNNNNNNNNNNNNNNNNNNNNNNNNNNNNNNNNNNNNNNNNNNNNNNNACUUCGUCUUCUUCCUUGCGCUCGGCAGCAACAGAGCUUUUUCUUCUGCAAAAAAAGCUCGCUCCGGCACUUUUUCUUGCUUUUAUUAAGAAAUAUUGAUUUUGAGAGAAUUGCUAUCAUUUCUUUGAGGUAGAAAUUACUAGAUCCGAAAACUUUAAACCCAUAAUUUGUUUGUUCGAUUAGCACGACAUCUGAUUCGAGUCGAAAAGUUUCUGGGAGACGAGAGAGCAAUGGUCUGGUUCGAUCAAAGUCUUCCCACAAGUUAAUGGUAAUUUUGAUUUUUACUGUACAUCGAUACCACUAACCAGCUAACCUCAGUUAGAGAUCUGUUAAGGCACGUGACUUUCUAACUACUGGUUCUAGUGCAUCAUGAUGCACUGAAUCCGCUCUAAAGUAUGAUAUGGAUAGUUUGCGUUGAGCUAGAAAGCUAUCAGGAAAAAUUGAAAACUGGGUUCUCUAGAUAGUGUGAGAAAAGAGAAAUUUUAUUAACACAUAUCUAAUUACUAGAUACACAUUUCAUACUUAAUACAUUACAUAUUAACUUUUUUUGUUUUAACAUUUUACUAGAUACACAUACCCAGACUUUCUACUAUACCUUCAUUUAACAUACACAACUUAUUCACUAAAUACACAACUCAUUUACUACACAUAUUUUUUUAGAUCUGCUACUCAAUUUAUUCAAAAAUCUUUAUUGUUUCACUACACAACUCAUUUAACAUCCUCAUUGUUUCAUCUCAUUAACAUAUUCCUUGAAGGUUUUUAUUUUUUUCUCUAAAGGGUUUCACCUUGUUAAAAUCUUCUCCGAGGGAUUUUCCCUUUGUUAAAAUCUUCUCCGAGGGAUUUUCCCUUUGUUAAAAUCUUCUCCCAUCAGUUUUGCUCGACAAAUUUUUUUUUCAAGGAGCCUCUUACUCAAAUUUAUUUCAAAAUUUCUUGAGCCUACCGAAUCAAAACAAAACAAGACAAUACAUCACUAAAGUCCUUAACGGAACUUUCAGCAUCAAAAUGUUCAAUCUUGUGUAAAACUAAAUUAAUCGAUUCUUGGGAACCAUUGCAUAAUAUUCAUAUGCGGUGUCACAAUAUUAGUACUCGAUUCAAACUAAAAAUUAAAAAAGUGUUUGAAGUACAAUAGUUAAUAUGAACGUCUUAAACAAGAUAUUUUAUUUCAACUAAGUUUCUUUAUUUUUGAUAUGAAUGUCUUUUUUGGUAAUUUUAUGUACCCACAAAGUCUUAUAUAAUUUAUAUAAAAAAAGAGAUGUGUAUCUAACAUUUAGAGAUGUGUUAAUAAAAUUUCUCGUGAGGAUAUUACAAGAAAAUGAUGAAUACACAUUUGGUAAACUGAGAAAACCAAAAUGAGACAGGUUAGCAUACCCACCAAUCUUGUAGAGUCUUCAAUUCUUAUUAUACUGACCUCGGGAACCUCAAUAUUGACCUCGGAAACCUCAAUUUUAUAAAAGCUUAUGUGUUACCCAUCUUAUCAAAUUUCAUCUAAUUUGAACCAAAAUGCGUUGUUAUAGCCUAUAACCCACGAGUUUUUGAGAAAUUUCACAUUUUUUGAACCUGUGGUUUUUUUUUUUGUCAUUCUUGUGUGCUUAGACACUUCCUAACAUUUAAUAAAUCAUUAUAACAUCAAAAGCUCGUAACAUUUAUCAUUCUACUUGCGAUCGAGCCAAAAUGACUCACGAGUAUCGUGUUCGGUAAAGUUGUUGGGACUGUUACUUUCAGAGGAAGUGAAUGAAUUGUCAAUCUUGUGGAGUCUUCAAUUCUUCUCAUACUAACCUCGGAAACCUUAUUUUUGAAAAAGCUUAGGUGUUACCCAUAUUUUUAAGUUUCACCCAAUUUGUGCCAAAACCCUUUGUCCUAUAGCCCACGAGUUUUGAGAAAUUUAACAUUUUUUAGAUCUCUGUUUUUAUUUUUUAUUUUUAAUUCAUGUGUGCUUAUAGACAUACCCUAAGAUCUAUUGAACCAUUUUAGCAUUAAAAACUCGUGACGUAUAUCAAUUUACUUGUAUCGAGCCUAAAUGACUCACGACUACCGUGUUCGCUAAAGUUGUUGGAACUGUUAUUUUCAAAGGAACUGAGUGAAUUUCCAAGCAUGUGAAGUUUUCAAUUCUUCUCAUACUGAUAUCUGGAUCCUCAAUUUUGAAAAAGUUUACGUGUUACAAAUCUUUUCAAGUUUCACCCAAUUUGAGCCAAAAACACUUGUUAUAACACAUAAGUUUUUGAGAAAUUUCACUUUUCUGAACCUCUGGUUUUUUCUAUUUGUUAUAGACCUCAUAACAUCUAUUGAACCAUUGUAGCAUCAAAAACUCGUGGCAUUUAUCAUUUUACAUACAAUCGAGCCUAAAUGAAUAACAACAACCGUGUUCGGUAAAGUUGUUGGAAUUGUUACUUUCAGAGGAACUGAGUGAAUUUCCAAGCCUGUGAAGUCUUCAAUUCUUCUCAUAUUGACCUCAGGAUCCUCAAUUUCGCAAAAAACUUACGUGUUACACAUUUUUAAAAUUUCACCCAAUUUGAGAAAAACCCCUUUUUGAGAAAUUUCACUUUUUCUGAGCCUCUGGUUUUUUUCUAUUCAUGUGUGCCUAGAGACAUCUCAUAACAUUUAUUGAAUCAUUUUAGCAUCAAAAGCUCGUGGCAUUUAUCAUUUUACUUGUGAUCGUGUCUAAAUGACUCACAACUACCCUAUUCGUUAAAGUUGUUGGAACUGUUACUUUCAGAGGAAGUGAAUGAAUUGCCAAUCUUAUGGAGUCUCCAACUCUUCUCAUACUGACCUCGGGUACCUCAAUUUUAAAAAAAUCUUAGGUGUUACCCAUCUUUUCAAGUUUCACCCAAUUUGUGCCAAAACCUCUUGUUAUAGCCUAUAGCCCACGAGUCUUGAGAAAUUUCAUAUUUUUUAUAUCUCUGGUUUUUUUCCAUUAAUGUGUUCUUAUAGACAUCUCCUAAGAUCUAUUGAACGAUUUUAGCAUCAAAAGCUCGUGACCUUUAUCAUUUUACUCGUAAACGAGCCUAAAUGACUCACAACUACCGUGUUCGGUAAAGUUGUUGGAACUGUUACUCUUUGAGGAACUGAGUGAAUUUCCAAACCUGUGAAGUCUUCAAUUCUUCUCAUACUGACCUCGGGAUCCUAANNNNNNNNNNNNNNNNNNNNNNNNNNNNNNNNNNNNNNNNNNNNNNNNNNNNNNNNNNNNNNNNNNNNNNNNNNNNNNNNNNNNNNNNNNNNNNNNNNNNNNNNNNNNNNNNNNNNNNNNNNNNNNNNNNNNNNNNNNNNNNNNNNNNNNNNNNNNNNNNNNNNNNNNNNNNNNNNNNNNNNNNNNNNNNNNNNNNNNNNNNNNNNNNNNNNNNNNNNNNNNNNNNNNNNNNNNNNNNNNNNNNNNNNNNNNNNNNNNNNNNNNNNNNNNNNNNNNNNNNNNNNNNNNNNNNNNNNNNNNNNNNNNNNNNNNNNNNNNNNNNNNNNNNNNNNNNNNNNNNNNNNNNNNNNNNNNNNNNNNNNNNNNNNNNNNNNNNNNNNNNNNNNNNNNNNNNNNNNNNNNNNNNNNNNNNNNNNNNNNNNNNNNNNNNNNNNNNNNNNNNNNNNNNNNNNNNNNNNNNNNNNNNNNNNNNNNNNNNNNNNNNNNNNNNNNNNNNNNNNNNNNNNNNNNNNNNNNNNNNNNNNNNNNNNNNNNNNNNNNNNNNNNNNNNNNNNNNNNNNNNNNNNNNNNNNNNNNNNNNNNNNNNNNNNNNNNNNNNNNNNNNNNNNNNNNNNNNNNNNNNNNNNNNNNNNNNNNNNNNNNNNNNNNNNNNNNNNNNNNNNNNNNNNNNNNNNNNNNNNNNNNNNNNNNNNNNNNNNNNNNNNNNNNNNNNNAUUCAUGUGUUCUUAUAGACAUCUCCUAAGAUCUAUUGAACCAUUUUAGUUAUCGAAAGCUCGUGACCUUUAUCAAUUUUACUUAUAAUCGAGCCUAAAUAAUUCACGACUACCGUGUUCGGUAAAAUUGUUGGAACUGUUACUUUUAGAGAAACUGAAUGAAUUGCCAAUCUUGUGGAGUUUUCAGUUCUUCUCAUACUGACCACGGGAACCUCAAUUUUGAAACAGCUUAGGUGUUACCCAUCUUUUCAAGUUUCACCAAAUUUAUGCCAAAACCCCAUGUUAUAGCCUAUAGCCCACGAGUCUUGAGAAAUUUAAUAUUUUUUAGAUGUCUAGAUUUUUUCCAUUCAAGUGUUCUUAUUGACAUCUCUUAAGAGCUAUUGAACCAUUUUAGCAUCAAAAGCUCGUGAACUUUUUCAUUUUACUCGUAAUCCAGCCAAAAUAAUUCACGAUUACCGUGUUCGGUACUGUGUUCGGUAAAGUUGUUAGAACUAUUAUUUUCAAAGGAACUGAGUGGAUUUCCAAACCUGUGAAAUUUUCAAUUCUACUCAUACUGACCUCGGGAUCCUCAAUUUUGAAAAAACUUAAGUGUUACUCAUCUUUUGAUGUUUCACCCAAUUUGAGCAAAAACCCGAUAUUAUAGCACAUGAGCUUUUGAGAAAUUUCACUUUUUCUGAGUCUCUGGUUUUUUCUAUUCGCGUGUGUUUAGAGACACCUCCUAACAUCUAUUGAACCAUUGUAGCAUCAAAUGCUCGUGGCAUUAAUCAUUUUACUUGUGAUCGAGCCUAAAUGACUCACGACUACCAUGUUCGGUAAAGUUGUUGGAACGGGUACUUUCAGAGGAAGUGAAUGAAUUGUCAAUCUUGUGGAGUCUUCAAUUCUUCUCAUACUGAUCUCGAGUCCCUUAAUUUUGAAAAAGAAGCUUAGGUGUUACCCAUCUUUUCAACUUUCAUCCAAUUUGUAUCAAAACCUCUUCUUAUAACCUAUAGCCCAUGAGUCUUGAGAAAUUUCACAUUUUUUAGAUCUUUGGUUUUUUUCCAUUCAUGUGUUCUAUCUUAUAAAAAUCUCCUAAGAUCUAUUGAACCAUUUUAGCAUCAAAAGCUAGUGAUCUUUAUCAUUUUACUCGUAAUCAAGCCAAAAUGACUCACGACUACCGUGUUCGGUAAAAUUUUUGGAACUAUUACUUUCUAAGGAACCGAGUGAAUUGCCAAUCUUGUAAAGUCUUUAGUUCUUCUCAUAUUGACCUCGGGAACCUCAAUUUCGAAAAAGCUUAAAUGUUACCCAUAUUUUCAAGUUUCACCCAAUUUGUGCCAAAACCUCUUGUUAUAGCCUAUAUCCCCUGGAGCUCUAAACUUUGGAGUGGGCUUCAUGGUAAUUGGGCCUUGGCUUCUGUUUUGGCCCAAUCCUAUUUUUCAUUUCUGCUUUGUUUUAUUUUUCUAUUUCUACAAAAUUUCCUUGCUUUUGUAAGGAGCUAUAGGUAUUUAGCUCAGCUAUAUUUACAAAAUUUCUUUGCUUCUGUAACGAGCCAUAGAACUUAGUUUCUGCCUAUGUCUAUGCAUUUUAGACUUCAUAGUUUUAGGCUUUAUGAGCUUAAUCAUAUAUGGGGUGGUGCUAGUAUACCAUGUCCUUUAAUUUUUUCUUGUUAGCAAGGAAAAAUAUGUAUUAUUGUCGUCUCAGACAUUUGAAAUUGAAAUGAAAUUAUAAUUAUUAUUCAAAAAAAAAAACUGUCGAUGGUGUUUAACUCUAUUAAGAGCAAAAAUAAACUUCCUGAAAAGAAAAAAGAAAAAAAAGGUACAGUCAACCGAUUCAACCUCUUUAUUUAACAAAGGAAAAUGAUUCUUGGUCUUAAUAAGGCCUAAGAUUUGUGGCCUUAAUCUUAGGUUGACAUGUUAUGUCACCUAUACACAUCACCAAUUAAAAAUAAUUAUGCCAUGUCAUUUUUAAGUCAAAAAGAACAAUCUUAUCAUCCAAAUCCAAUGGCUCUACAUUAUUUAUCUUUUUAUUAAGAGAAAAAAAUUGGUUUUUUGUCUUUCUUUUAUAUUUAAAAAUAUAUAAUUUCUAGCAUUUUAUUUCUCUUUUCCUUUUCAUCACUAUCAUGCUUAGAUUGAACACUAAAAUACAGUGUGAAAAUAUAUAUAAAUAUGAGAAUAUAUUUGUUAAAAUACACGAAUUCUUAUGAAAUAUAUAUAUAAUUGGUCCAAGAAAAAACAAUUUCUUACAUAAGAAAAAAUUUACAUAUAUAUAUAUAUAUAUAUAAUUCGUCCAAAAUAAAGUUUAUAUAUAUACGUAAUCAUCCAAAAGAAGUUCGAUAGAGAUUUUUCUAUUUUUUAUUUUAUUUUUAAAAUUCGAUAUAGAAUAUAUGGCAUAUAGAUAUCAUAAUUUUAUUGUGCAAAAAUAAAAUAUUAAUAAAAUUGAUAAGUUAAAAGUCUAGAACUAAAUUUCUAUUUACAAAGAUAGAAGGAAAUUUUAAUAAAUUUACGAAAUUAAUUUAUGGUAUAAAAGCCUAAUUUGGUAUGAUUAUUAACUUGGUCAUUAUUAAUAAAUUAAUUAAAUUUGGUAUAUACGCAUCCAUAUUAAAAUGGUAAGAAAAUAUUUCAUAUUAGUAUGUAACAUCUAUUAAUUGUUAGGGUUAAUAUUGUAUUUUUAUCUAAGAAUGAAAUGUCAUGAUUUAAUAAAUUGAUGAUGUGUCUAUGUGACAUGGCAUGCCACAUAGGAUUAAGGCCAUAAAUCUUAGGCUUUAUUAAGGCCCUCUAGCACUACCCUUUAACAAAUAAGUAGAAAUGUAGAAUACAAGAUAGUAAGUACUCUAGAUUGAUGUUAUAUGAUUUAGGCAAGCGACACUUUAUUAAAUUUAUUAUAUUUAGUUAAGUUAACAUGUAUCUAGCAAUACAGAUUUUCACCAGGAGAAACAUUAAGUUGGGUACAAUAGUCCUUAUAAUAGUUGAUACGAGCUUGAACUUUGUCCGGAGCUUUUCCAUCACAUUCAACGGCACCGUUGAUGGCUCGAGUUGUGGCUCCGAAUCCUUGGCUUAUAACAGAGUGAACAUUGUUCAUCCAAAACCACAACCCUGUCUUGAACGCCACCACGGAGUCCGAAGCCACCGUUUCCGGGGAGUUUAGGCCGUCAAAGCCAAUAGCAGUUCCGGCGGCUCCGUAGUUGUAGUUCCAGGUGAGUUGGAGUGGUCCACGGCCGUAGUACUGCUUGGCAGGGUUGCAUGGGUAGUUUGUGAAGGAUGUGUCGCAGUAGGUGGCCUUUUCUAUCUCUUCUACGUAGCAAAAAUCUGCAUCGAUCCAUCAUUAACAAAAUAGUACUUAGAUUUGUAUCCAAAAAAAAAACUUAGAUACAGACACAAGAAGUUACAGUUAAAAUACUACAUUGGAUGAUGAGAGACACAUGAUAUUCUUACGGCCAGUCUCAUGCGUGACAUGAGCAAAGAAAGCUGCAAUUUCCCGCUUAUUGUCAUCAGCGGAACCGGUGGUAGCGAAAUCGGUGUAAGAGCCGAGGGCAUCAAGAAAGGCCUGUCUAGUGUAGAAGCUCUUGCCGGCACAGUCAGAGCCAGCCUGGUUAAUAAUCCCAUUGAAGAAGUCGGUGGUGACGAUAUCCGCUACUGAGCUACCGCCGGUAGUUGGUGUAGGAGUGGUGGUGGUAGUACAAGGUCCUGCUUGACAACCCUUGCCGCAGUAGGCAUCGCCGGUGCCGCAGUAACCAAAUUCGCUGCAACACAGGUCUGCUGCACACCCGCAGUUUUGAGCUGUUGCAAUUUGGGCUACAAGUGCUAAGCCUAGGAUGGUGAAGAAGAAGAGUUUUGUCCUAAUUGUAACUUGUAAAGCCAUGUUAACUAACUAUGGACGGGUCGAUCAGCUCUAUUUGUUAUAUGUGUAUAAAAGCAGGUAUAUAUAGAACUAAUUAAGAUGAUGGUCGACUUGGAUAUUUAUAAGCACCGUAUGGAUGAUCGAAUAACAAUUAGAAAUGGUCAUUUGCAACGACGUGUUGAUCUGACUACUUACAAUUUGGUUUGGCGACUUGACUUUUUACAAUUUUUAGAAGUUUCUAUCACUUUUAAAUGAGUGUGUCAUCACAAUUAGCUAGUCUUAACCGACCCGAGACCCUCUUUUGUACUCCAUCAUCCACAAAUCCACUAAAGACUUUUUAACCAACUUAUUAUCUUACCUUUUAUCUUAGUAUCAAUUUGUUAUCCUAUUUUUUAUUUUAGCCAAUUUGCUAUCCUAACUUUUCAUAAUUAGCCAAUUUCGUACCCUAACUAUUAUUUCUACCAAUUUGCUACCUUAUGUUUUCAAAAUUAGCCAACUUGCUACAUUUUUAUCAUUUUAUUUUAUUUAUUUCUUCAUCCAAACAUGAAUUAAUUCUAAAAAUCGAAGGUUAAAGUUAGUCAAUAUUGAAAUUUUGAUAAGUAAAUUGGUUAAUCUUGAAAGUCUAAAGUAACAAAUUUGAUGGAAGAGUAGCAAAUUGACAAAUUUAAUAGUUAGGGUAGCAAAUUGGCUAAUUAUGAAAAUGUAGAGUAGCAAAUUGGCUGAAACGAAAAUUAAGGUAGCAAAUUGACAGCAAGAUGAAAGUUAGGGUAACAAAUUGACAAUUAUACCUAUUAACACUGUCUUUCUUUUUAAAAUACCAUUCAUAGUUUCAUAUUGGAUGCCUUGACAAAAACCAGGGACUUUGUUGUUGUAAGUGACGACAGUAGUUAGACGCAAUGAAUAUUAUCAGAGUAGCACAAAACCUAAAUAGUUGUGGUAUAAAACUUUGGUACGUAUAAUAUUGUAGGCUGUGCUCCAUUAAUAGAGAAGAAAGAGCAAGUCUCUGAUUAGGAUGUGUGUAUUCAUGGACUAAAAACAGAUGACUUAUUUUGCACACGUUUUUUUUUUUGCCCGGGAGACGAAAGCCUGUUUUGCAGCCUAGCAACAUUCCAGCACGCCAAAAUCGACACCUAUAAACUAAGAAAAAAUCGAUAUUUUCGACGAUAUUUCGUCCGAAACUCUCGAUAUUUCGAGAUAUUUUUGAAAUCUCGCCGAACUUUCAAAUUUCCCCACUUUCCCGCCGAAAUUUGACUCCUCCGUCUACUUUGACCACGGCCGCCAUGUUUGACUCCUCCAUGUACUUUGACCAAAGCAAGACUUUGACCACGCAAAAUGUGUUAAAUUUUGCUGCCAAGGUGAAUCGAACCUUGGUUAAGUUGGUACAAGGUUAAUACCUUAACCAACCCAACUAACCAUCUAAUAUGUUUAUAAUAGUAUCUUUAUAAUAUAUAUUUGUUUUUUUUUCCGAAUAUGAAAAGUAAAAAAUUAGGUAUAUGUCUAAUUCCCAACUAAUUUUUUUUACCUACAGUCAAUACAUGCAAAACUACAAAUGUGAGGUAUCAUUUAAUGACUAUUCUUCACAAUACACUAAAAACUUUACACAAAGAGACGAUAAAGAUAGUGAAAAUUUUGUAUCUCAUGGGUCUUCUACGUGGUUUUAAAGUACUCAUGUAAUUCUAUGUGAAAUGUAUCAUAUGUAUAUAAGGCGUGAUGGCCUAGCCUCCUUUUAGGUUUCCAGCCAUAAAAAAUAAAUAAAAAAUAUUUAAAGUAAACUUUUAAGAAUUAUUAACGGUUCAGCACUAACAUUUUCACUUUAACUUACUACAACUCCCUAUAGAUCAAUAUUUAUUCAAAGUUUUCAUUUCAAAUAUAGUACAUAAUAUAGAACACAAGCAUCUCUUAAAGUUUGGUUUAAAAUUUCCUUGUUUUUCUUCAAAUUUUCGUCAAUUUUCUCAUUUUUUUACUGCAAUCGAUAUUUCCCGGAAAUUUUCAUCGAAAUUUUCAUAUUUUAGAGGGUCGAAAUUUCCGUAAUCAUCAAAAUUUUCUUUCUUGCUAUAAACUGAUAUAGUACUGGCCUGCAAGCCUGCAAGCAAUAUGCAAACAAAUCACUGGACUGGAAGAUAUAACUUGAGGUGCUUGAUUUGUUGCCAUUGGUGAUUAUGAGGAAGACGAUCCAGUAUUGUAUGUCUAUGAAAAACUGGUCCGAGAAUGCAUUAAACCCUCUUGGUACUACAACACUACCCAUAACACCUAAAAUGUUGGUUUAAAAGUCUUUUUAGAUUUGGUUGUUAACUUUAGGGGGGUGUAUUCAAUCUAGAGUUUAAAUGAUUCUGUCUGACUUUUUAUAAUCUAUGGAAUCUUGUAGAUUUUGAAGACUCCAUAAAUUGUUUUAUUUCUAUAUGGAUUUGUAUAGACUCUAUCGUAUUGCAUUAGCAAGAUUUGUUUGGAUUCUAUCGUAUUCUCUUUGUAACUUUUUUCACAAAUGAGCAAAGCACCAUGCGAGGCAUAUCUUGUAUUAUCCUUGGUGCUUCAAGUACGAUUGACCGACAGCCUUUGAAUUACUUGUCAAAGUGAGCAAUACCAAUUUAACAAAUUCUAGCAGUUGUCAAAAUGAAGCAACAAUACCAAUACCAGCUUAACAUUUGAAGCAAUAUAAAAACGAAACGCAACUUCUUCAGAGCUUGAAGAAAAUUAACUUGAUUCUAUUGAAGUGCAAAACCAAAAUUUCAGACAAGUAAACCAAACAUCAUAUCAAGUAUGAAAACCACAACAGUGUUACGCCCCACACAAAGCAGGGACUCUGGUUCACUAUUUUUUUCUCAAUUAUUGACAACAAUACACUUUGAAGGACUUGGGUCAUGAAGACUGAUCAUAUUUCCAACACAAGUUAAGAGAUUUGCCGGGACUUUCUCUUGAUCACAUCCUCAUACUUGAUCUGGAACCGCUUCAUGGAAUUCGCUUUCGAGAACCUAUGCCGCAUUCCAACACAAGACUUGCAUCUACGGUGAAGAGCCACACAAUUAUCUCGCCACUCCAAGACAAAAUAGAAAUUCAUUUCAUAAAUACCAGUAGAAGGAUCAUACCCGAAGAAAAAGUAACUACUAAUGAACAAAAGAACAUAAGAAGCAAGAACCAAAGAUAUAAAAUGAACAUAUAAUUAAAGAGUAAUCCCAUAUGAUAUAUCAAGUAUGACCAAUAUAUCUGACAAAAAGGGGAGCAUACAACUGUUUAGAUAAUAGUCCUCAAGUUACUAUGGGUUCUAAAUAAUGAAUUCAACAUAAGAGUCUGAAAGUGCCAGAAAACUCAUAAAUCACAAUUCCUACUAUGAAAAUGCAGCAAAUAAUUCCAACUUCCAAAUAACAUGUAGGUGACAACAACUUUUCUUUUUCUUUUUUUGAAUAAGAGAAUUAUCUAGACAAACUCAUGAAAUAUACACUAUUGUACUCGGACCACAAAAAGAUUAGAUAAUAUACACAGGAUAAAAAGCUCACGCAUGAAAUUUUUUGCAAAUGGUAGAUAAAAUUUUCUACAGAAGAAUACAAUGAAGAACAAAGAAAGGUAAAACACAUAAAUAAAGUAUAUAGAUGCCGACUAAUAUGCACAUAGGAUAACGAAAAAAACUGAAGCAUCUUAUCAUCCAAAGAAAAGGAAAAAAAGAAGAAAAGAAUUGAAGCAUCUACAGUUUAUAGUUAACAAGAGAUAUCGAUCAGCUUUAAAUUACAAAGAACUUGCUAACAUAAGUACGUUAACUACAAGAUAUAUAUACUACCUAAAAAAGUAACAAGAUAUAUAUAUAUAUAUAUAUAUAUAUCGAUUAAUCAAAAAUGGUAUAAAAAUGUCAGAAUUUGACUAUUAAUCCAACUCCCAAGUGAACCAAGGAAACUCCAAAUUCACAUAUCACCAACUUUUUUUUGCUUAUGACUACCACCAACUCCAAUUUCACCUAUCACCAACUGUUUUUUGUUUAUGACUACCGUACCACAAAAGAUUAAAUUUUUGUUUUAGUAGGGCUUGCAACUAUGACUAAUUUUUUGUUUAAUUCAAGACUUUGUUAUUGAACAUCAGAAAGCAACAUCAACUAUCAGUUUCAAUUUUUUGCUGACAUCAAAAAUCAUCGUAACUAUGUGUUCAAUUCUAAAAACUUCAAUGUUCAUAUAUAUGCGACCAAUGCAAAUAGAUUUUCAAUCAAAGCAGCAUAUAUCAUCAUCAUCAUCAUCACAAGUAGUACAGUCCAAAAGUGGCAUGAUGAGUAAAAAGAACUGAGCAACAACAUAGAUGAAUAGCAGUGGAUGUACACCAAAUGCGCCACAGCAGGUGUCAAAACAAAUUACAGUAUAACAUAAACAUGAACACGCUAAAUCACAACAGGUUAGAUAAACCCAGGUGUUUGAUAAAAUACCAGGACAAGCAAUAAAUCAAAAGAUAUCAAUAAUCAUAGACAGAACUCAGGACGAUAGCCAGAUUUGAACAUACUGUAAAUCCCAAAGCUAAGCGAAUAUGAGGCUUUGCUGAGAGAUUGUAUUAUUGAAGCCGUGACCUGCAAAUCGAAGCCCAGAAGCUCAAUCGAACAAAUUAGGGCACAAACCGCAGCGUGCUAAUGGAGAACCCAAAGAGGUAUAUGCAUGCUUGAAUCAUCGUGUAUGCCAGAGAGAAGGACCCAAAUAACCAAUUCCCACUUUCAAUCAAUUGGAGACUUGAGAAAAAUGAAGAUGAAAGUGGAUCAGAUUGAGAGAGAAACGAAAAACGUCAAAAUCUGUUGAUUGAUCGUCAUUCUCCAGAUUUUUUCGUUGGGAUACGAACUUUUCCAUAGAAUCUGGUUCAGUGGUACCAUCUGUUCGUCGUCUCCACUCUGCUUGAGCUCUUUCCAUCUUCAGAUACGAAAAAGAAAUCGUUCAAAAUCUCACCUCAUGAGGCCAGAUUUCAGAUGGUGUUUGGUAUUUAUACCAAGCCUCUUAGAAUCCUACAAAGUCAGGCAUCUGUUGAAAUCCUUGAAAAUCAGUGAAUUUUUGAAUACCAUCAAUUUUUCUAUGGAUAUUUUAAAGUCUGAAUCGAAUACCACGAGAUUUUAAAUGAAUUUUUGAAAUCUUAAUUGAAUACCUAUGGAGUUUUAAAAUCUAAAAAAAUCUUAUAGAGUCUUGAUUGAAUUCACCCCUUUUAGGGUGUUGAAAUUUGCACACCUUUUUUUACUAUUUACACACCCUUUGAAUUUUUUAUUAUCUCUUUAUCAGUUCAUUAUCUUUUUCUUCCAAUAUUAACCCAACCUGUCUCUCUCUCCUCAUAAUCCUUCUGCAUCUUUGCGAUCGAGAAGGCCAUGGAAUCCCAGCGUAGAUGAAAUCUCCAUUCCAAAUUGAAUUCGACGACACCGAAAUCCAACCGAAACAUUUUAUGUCUUCAAGAGUAUUACCCACUUUUUCCAACCACAAUUAAUCUCUCUCUCUCUCNNNNNNNNNNNNNNNNNNNNUUUAAUGAUCCAGAGAUAGUCUGCAAGCUUCAUAAAUCUAUUUAUGGCUUAAAGCAAUCUCCACGUGCUUGGUAUGCCAAACUGAGUUCAGUGUUGGAAGAAGUCGGGUUUUGCAGAAGCAAUGCAGAUUCAUCUCUAUUUGUUCGCAUUGGCUCAACAAGCAAGCUUGUAGUUCUAAUCUAUGUUGAUGAUCUAAUUGUGACCGAUGACAAUGUUGAAGAGAUUAACAUUCUCAAACAAUCUCUCCAUAGCAAGUUUGCUAUAAAGGAUUUGGGGCCACUUGAGUACUUUCUUGGCAUAGAAAUGGCUACUUCUCAUAAAGGUCUGUUUCUAAAUCAAAGAAAGUAUGUUUUCGAUUUGUUGAAGGAUACAGAUAUGUGGGAUAGCAAACCAGCUAGCACUCCCCUGGACAGCAAGUUUCAACUUGAUGUAUCAAGUGAACUCCUCUUGGAUAUCAGUUCGUAUCAAAGGCUGGUUGGUAAGCUUAUUUAUCUUACUAUUACACGCCCUGAUAUAACUUAUGCAGUGAGCAUAGUUAGUCAAUUUAUGCAUGCUCCUACCAUGGCUCAUGUCCACAUUGUCAAGCGUCUUCUUCGCUACUUAAAGGGAUCUGUUGGGAGAGGUAUCCUGAUGAAACAAAAUGGCAACACAGACAUCAUGGGCUACACAGAUACUGAUUGGGCAGGAAAUUCUCUUGAUCGUAAGUCCACUACAGGUUUUUGUACCUUUGUAGGUGGUAACUUGGUUAGUUGGCGAAGCAAGAAACAAACUGUUGUUUCUCGUUCUAGUGCCGAAGCUGAAUAUCGAGCUAUGGCUUCCACUGCUUGUGAGCUGAUAUGGCUAAAGGGAUUGCUGUCUGACUUGGGAUCCCCAACUCGUCAACCAAUAUCUCUUUAUUGUGACAAUCAAGCUGUUAUGCAUAUUGCUUCUAAUCCGGUCUUUCAUGAAAGAACCAAGCACAUAGAGGUUGAUUGCCAUUAUAUUCAAGCUCAAGUCCAGUCCAAGGUUAUUGAAACUUUUUACACUCGAAGCCAAGACUAGUUGGCUGACAUUUUCACAAAAUCUCUUUCCGCUGCUCAGUUUCAUCGACUCUUAGGCAAGCUUGGCUCAAUGAAUCCCCUUGAUCCAGCUUGAGGGGGAGUAUUGGAAGUAGAAGCAUGGUGGGAUUAAUCCAUUGUCUUUUGGUUAAUCUCAUGUCUUUAUUUUUUUACUGUUUACUGUACAUUUUCACUGUAAAGGAGAUAAAGUCUGUUUUAUCUCAGCCAUAUAUACAUUGUAGAUCUGAAAAACUCUUGUUAUCAAGAAAGUAUCAGAAAACCUUCCACAAAUCUGUGUCAAGUUUUCUUCACAAUCUAGCUAGCUAUGCCUAGAGAAACAAUGAAGAAAGUGAGCUACAGUUUCUUUCAUUUUCAGUGGAAUUUGCUAGUCUUUGAGGAAAUUAAUUUUAUUACUUUGAUUAGUGUAAUGGGUUAUAUGAGGACUGGCCAUGGAUGCAAGCAAGAAUCUGCAAGGUAAACAAGAAAGGUUCAAGCUUGAAUUUCGGGGUUUUGAGUUUUUGGUGAUGAGUUUGAUGUAAGAAUUGAAGUGGGUCUUUUACUUUUUAAAAGAUUAAAGGUAUAACGCCAAGGAAGUCUCAAGGGGGAAGUUUCUGGUGCGGAAGUCUCCGGCAAAGUCAGCAUGUACCAUUCUCUCUCUGAAAUCACAAGUUGGGUGAGAUGCGGGGAUGUUUCCGGUAGCAAAGUCAAUAUUGCUCUGUUGGAGAGAGAGAGAGAGAGAGAGAGAGAGAGAGAGAGAGAGAGAGAGAGAGAGAGAGAGAGAGAGAGAGAGAGAGAGAGAGAGAGAGAGAGAGAGAAGAGAGAGAGAGAGAGAGAGAGAGAGAGAGAGAGNNNNNNNNNNNNNNNNNNNNNNNNNNNNNNNNNNNNNNNNNNNNNNNNNNNNNNNNNNNNNNNNNNNNNNNNNNNNNNNNNNNNNNNNNNNNNNNNNNNNNNNNNNNNNNNNNNNNNNNNNNNNNNNNNNNNNNNNNNNNNNNNNNNNNNNNNNNNNNNNNNNNNNNNNNNNNNNNNNNNNNNNNNNNNNNNNNNNNNNNNNNNNNNNNNNNNNNNNNNNNNNNNNNNNNNNNNNNNNNNNNNNNNNNNNNNNNNNNNNNNNNNNNNNNNNNNNNNNNNNNNNNNNNNNNNNNNNNNNNNNNNNNNNNNNNNNNNNNNNNNNNNNNNNNNNNNNNNNNNNNNNNNNNNNNNNNNNNNNNNNNNNNNNNNNNNNNNNNNNNNNNNNNNNNNNNNNNNNNNNNNNNNNNNNNNNNNNNNNNNNNNNNNNNNNNNNNNNNNNNNNNNNNNNNNNNNNNNNNNNNNNNNNNNNNNNNNNNNNNNNNNNNNNNNNNNNNNNNNNNNNNNNNNNNNNNNNNNNNNNNNNNNNNNNNNNNNNNNNNNNNNNNNNGAGAGAGAGAGAGAAUUUUAGUUCGCGCAGAGGGAGGAGGAAGGCAGAGGAUGAAAUAACCAACUAUAAGGGUAUUUUGGUAAACUCAGUAUAAGGGGUGUGUAGAUAGUAGAAAAGGGUGUGUAAAUUUCAGUACCCUAACUUUAUCUCUUCUUCUAAGUCAAAUAGAACAUGAAAAAUAAAGGUGUUAUAAAUCAUAUUGAAAAGGUGAGUGUAUUUUGGUUUUUAAGUCUAGUCUGGCUAGGUUUGUAAGCUUAAAAAGGUAAUUUCUUAUUGUCGGUCUUUAUGUGUGAGUUAUCUUGAUAUCGUUGCUGAAUAAUAUAAUUAGUUGACUUUCGACUAAAAAAAUAAUAAUUAUAUUUUACAUGCAUAUAUAUUGUUAACAUAAAUGAGUCGAGUUUUAAUGAAUGGGCCGAGCUUUUAACGAGCUCGAUCUACUCAUAUAAUAUAUGAGCUACCCAUGAGCUAAACAAGCCAAAUAUAUCAUUGUUUAAGCUUGGCUCUUUUCUUUUUUUAUCAAGCUUAAUAUUGAGCUCAAACUCGGUAAUUUGAUGUUUUUAAUGCAACUAACGUGCAAUAAUAGUACGGUCAUGAAAGAUAGGGGAAAUAUUUAGACCCUAAGUAUCGUAUCACGGGGAUUGAAAAGCUAACUCCAAUCCUCGGUUUUCCGAUUACUAAGUCACAAACAAUUUCUACAAAGUGAUAUGAACAGUGUGAAUGAUAGAGAAAGUUGAUUUUGGUUUUGGGAAACUAAAACUAAAAUUGAAAAUAAAAUAAAAAUAAUAGAAACUAAUCAAGGAAUGAGAAUUAGGUCACUAGGGUAUCCUCCUAGCCAAAUCUAAUACACAAAUGUGUUUUCAAUGGUCAUUCAAUUCCUAAUGGCAUCAAGAACCGUACCCAAGGCUUUUCAAGGCUCAAGGGUCAUUAGAUUCCUUAUGAGUUAUUCCUACUUCGGUUCAAGGGGAGUAGAUACUCGAUUGAGACAAUCUAGAGCCUUGUUAAGGCCUCUAGAUGAACCAAAAGGCGAAGAGUCCUAUAAUCAAGGUUCCCAAGCUAGCCAAUACGGCAAUCGGAAUUGGCAUUGUAACUAACCAUGUACUCAGCAAGUGUCAUAGUCAUAAAUUAGAGAAGUGAUUAAGUCCCCUAAUUUGUUCUAGACAUGCUCAUCUACACAUUCAAGAGUUAAUCAAGCUCCUAAUCAUGCAUCUAAGCCAAUAGUAAUAGAAUAGAACAUAUGCCUAAUAUGAAAUUGAAAUCCAUUGAAUCAAAACACAUUCAUUACAUUAAAUCCAAGCUAGGGCUCAAACCCUAGUUUCCUAAAUAGACUACUCACAAUCCAUCAACAAAUCAACAACAAAGUACAUCAAGUAAAGAGGUAAAGGUGAAGAGGAGUGAGAAGUAACAAGAACAAGCCACAAAUUGCUAUGGAGCAAUUGUGAUAAGCUUGAUUUAUAGUUUCUCACUUUACCCAAAUCUCAAAUAUAGAUGCCCUUGAUGCUCCCUUGAACUGCCUUGAAAUAUAGAUGGGAAUUUGGUGUAGAUGGAGUGAGAGUAAAAGGAUGGUGAUGGUGGUCUUGAGUAGUAGAAAAUGGUAGAGUGAGAGGAGAAUGGAGGCAUGGUGGCCUUGAGGAGAACUGAGGAUGAGAUGGUGGAAUGCUGAUUCGGUGGUGUGAGGAGAAGAGAGAAUAGGAUGGGAUCUUCUCCCUUCAAGUGAGGUUGUGCAGUGUUUAUCAAGGGGAUCCCCCAAUUAGGUCCCACAAGUCUUGAGAAAUUUCACAUUUUUUAGAUCUCUAGUUUUUUUUUUCCAUUCAUGUGUUUUUAUAGACAUCUCCUAAGAUAUAUUGGACCAUUUUAGCAUCAAAAACUCGUGACCUUUAUCAUUUUACUCGUAAACGAGCUUAAAUGACUCACGACUACCGUGUUCGGUAAAGUUGUUGGAACUGUUACUUUCUGAGAAACUGAAUGAAUUUCCAAGCCUGUGAAAUCUUCAAUUCUUCUCAUACUGACCUCGGGAUCCUAAAUUUUGAAAAAACUUAUGUGUCACCCAUUUUUCAAGUUUCACCCAAUUUGAUCAAAAACCCGAUGUUAUAGCACACAAGCUUUUGAGAAAUUUCACUUUUUCUGAGCCUCUGGUUUUUUUAUUCGUGUGUUUAGAGACACCUCCUAACAUCUAUUGAACCAUUGUAGCAUCCAAAGCUCGUGGCAUUAAUCACCACUACCCUGUUCGAUAAAGUUGUUAGAACUGUUACUCAGAUGAAGUGAAUGAAUUGUCAAUCUUGUGGAGUCUUAAAUUCUUCUCAUACUGACCUUGGGUACCUUAAUUUUGAAAAAUCUUAGGUGUUACCCAUCUUUUCAAGAUUCACUCAAUUUGUGUCAAAACCUCUUGUUAUAACCUAUAGCCCACGAGUCUUGAAAAAUUUCACAUUUUUUAGAUCUCUGGUUUUUUUUUCCAUUCAUGUGUUCUUAUAGACAUCUCCUAAGAUCUAUUGAACCAUUUUAGCAUCAAAAGCUAGUGAUCUUUAUCAUUUUACUCGUAAUCGAGCCAAAAUGACUCACGAUUACCGUGUAUGGUAAAAUUGUUGGAACUGUUACUUUCUGAGGAACUAAGUGAAUUGCCGAUCUUAUAGAGUUUUCAAUUCUUCUCAUACUGACCUCGGGUACCUCAAUUUUGAAAAAACUUUGGUGUUACCCAUCUUUUCAAGUUUCACCUAAUUUGUGCCAAAUCCUCUUGUAAUAGCCUAUAGCCCACAAGUCAUGAGAAAUUUCACAUUUUUUAUAUCUCUGUUACCCAUCUUUUCAAGUUUCACCUAAUUUGUGUCAAAUCCUCUUGUAAUAGCCUAUGGGAAAUUCUAUGGUACCUACCUGUAUGUGAUACCUACAUUUACACAUGUGACAACAUAUUUGUAGUCAAAAUGGUAAUGCUGAGUUGUAUUGUUUGUAAUCUUGUUCUAAUAAUUGUAAUUAUAAAAUGUACAACCAUUUUACAACUUUUUGAACAAAUUGUUCUCAUAGUUGUGAUUUUGUUUAACUUCAUGUAAAUAGUGAAAAUAAAUUUGGUAAAUUUGUUCUCAAUGUUGUAAUUUGAUUCAUAACAUUAUAAUUUUUGUUCAAGUACAUGUAAAAUAAAAGUAGGAUAUACAUUCCAGUACCAUAGCUCAUCUCAUAGCCUAUAGCCCACGAGUCAUGAGAAAUUUCAUAUAUUUUAUAUCUCUGUUACCCAUCUUUUCAAGUUUCAUCUAAUUUGUGCCAAAACCUCUUGUUAUAGCCUAUAGCCCACGAGUAUUGAGAAAUUUCACAUUUUUUAUAUCUCUGGGUUUUUUUUUCCAUUCAUGUGUUCUUAUAGACAUCUCAUAACAUCUAAUGAACCAUUUUAGCAUCAAAAGCUCGUGACCUUUAUCAUUUUACUUGUAAUCAAGCCUAAAGAACUCACAACUACCAUGUUCGGUAAAAUUGUUUGAAUUAUUACUUUCAGAGAAACUGAAUGAAUUGCCAAUCUCGUGGAGUUUUCAGUUCUUCUCAUACUGACCUCGGGAACCUCAAUUUUGAAACAACUUAGGUGUUACCCAUCUUUUCAAGUUUCAACUAAUUUGUGCCAAAACCCCUUGUUAUAUCCACGAGUUUUGAGAAAUUUCAUAUUUUUUGGAUUUCUGGUUUUUUUUCUAUUCUUGUGUGCGUAUAGACAUUUUCUAAAAUCUAUUGAACCAUUUUCGUGGAAUUUAUUACAAAUGUUUCAACAAAAUGUACUUAUGUUUGUAAAAACGUUGGGAAAGAUGUAAUUAUUUUCUCAAUACAAAAUACAUCACCCAAUUACGAAACUGAGUGAAUUUCCAAGCUUGUGAAGUCUUCAAGUCUUCAAUUUAUUACAAAUGUUUCAACCAAAUGUAAUUAUGUUUGUAAAAACGUUGGGAAAGAUGUAAUUAUUUCUUAAUAUAAAAUACACCACCCAAUUACAAAACCGAGAACAAUAUUACGUGAAUGAGGACAAAUUGUCUAUUUGGUCUGAGUAUGAAAAUUUACCAUCUCGACAACACAUUCGUCCUCAAAUUUGUAAAAUUGGUCAUAAAUCUGUAAAUUUGGUUCAGAUCUCGUAAUUACAACAUAUGGAUAUGUAUUACAAAACUUUCAACCAAAUGUCCUAAUUCUUGUAAAAGCGUUGUGAAAUAUGUAAUUAUUUUCUCAAUACAAAAAAACACCAACCCUAAUUAACAAAAACCAAAUAAACCAUAUUACGUGAAUGAAGACAAAUGAUCUAUUUGGUCUAAAUAUGAAAAUUUAAUCAUCUCGACAACACAUUCGUCCUCAAUUUUGUAAAAAGGGUUAUAAAUCUAGAAAUUUAGUCCAGAGCUGGUAAUUACAACAUAUGAACAUUUAUUACUAAAGUUUUAACCAAGUGUCCUCGUAUUUGUAAAAACGAUGUGAAAAAUGUAGUUAUUUUUUCAAUACACAAAAGACCACCCAAUUACAAAACCAAAACCCUUAUUACGUGAAUUAAGACAAAUGCUCUAUUUGGUUUGAAUUAGAAUAUUUACCAAUUUGAGAACACAUUUGUCCUCAAUUUUGUAAAACUCUUCAUAAAUUUGUAAAUUUGGUCGAGAUCUCGUGAUUACAACUUAUGGACAUUUAUUACAAAAGUUCUAAUCAUAUGUCCUUUUGUUUGUAAAAAAAAAAAAAAAAAUACAAAAAAAUCACGGUAUAGGAAAUUGAUGGUUACUUUAGAAUUCACCUCCUACUUCAACAAACUGAGGCUCAAAUAUACAUGGGAAAAAAAACAAAUAGUACAAGAAGUUGAACAUGGCACGUACUUAUCUGUACAUGUACCUAAAUGAGAAAGUCGCAAUAGCUAGCUAGGAUUUUUGUUGAAAUAUUGAGCAUCAAAAGUAGAGUUCAUUUUUGUUUAUUUGGAGAGAUGACAUAAGGUAUUUGGUGAAUUGGGUUAUUGUGAUCGUUGAUGUUUGGUUUGUGAUCAAGUUGUAUGUGGUCAUUGUUUUGUGCCAAUGUGCCUAGCUCAUGGCUCAGAGCUAGUCAUGCUUGUUGUUUUGUGAUAAGGUCCAGAAUGCAUUGGUGUAAUCCAAUUCUCUUCCGACGCAGUCCCGGCAAUUUCAUCAAGGGAUCACUGAGCUCCUUUUCCACACCCACCAAGUUUCUCUGAGCCUCACCACUUUUUGGCCCAUGGCCGAGAGCCAAUAGGGUCUUCCUUGAUUCCUCUAUUUCCUCACCAGCAAGCUGCAGUUAAUCAAAUAUGACAAGAGCAAUUUGUUACAAUACCAAAAUCAAUGCUAAAAUAAAAAAUGAAGUGACAAAAUGAAGCUACAAACUUCCUAUCUUGGAUUCAUGAGUUACUUUCAACUCCAAAAAAAAAUAUAAAAAAAUAAAAAUCAUGAGUUACCUUAAUUUGUUCCUCUAAGGCGUUCUUUGAAACCAAAGAAGUCCAAGUCUUUCCCAUUACAAGAGUGGGACUAGCAUUUCCAGUCUUAUCAUUAGCAGUUGGUGUUUUAUCUGCUUUUUCUAGCAGUACAACUCCACAUUUUUCUAUACUGCAUUCAAGAUCUCUGAUUUCGCCUCCGCGGUCUUUCGUACCUCCCCUGCUGAUCGUAAAUGUACCUUGCACCCACUCAAACUUUUGAUAACGAGCAAUAUGCCACCACCAAUUGUGAUACAUACGGUGCCUUGUAUAGUUCCCAGUCCUUCUCAACUGUCAAACAAACCAGAUCCAAAUUAAGAAUAAGCAUAUAUAUACUUCAACCAGUAAUUUAUCUUUGAUUUUCAAUCUUACAUGUUCAGUAGCAUAUGCAAUAUCUGCUUCACAUUGACGACAUUGAGUACAAAGUAAAGCCAAACUAUCCUUCUCCUUCUGCUUCUGAAUCCCUUUUAUCUCCUUCAGAAGCCUCUUUUCUGUAACCAAACUCUUGCUUCCAUGUUCCAUCCGGUAACGCAAGUUUUGCAUCCAUCAAUCCUUACAUUAACUAUGACAUGCAUACAUCGUAACAUGUGUUUAAUUAUAACUACACACACAGUCACACACAUAUAGUAACUGAUCGACUGCUUCUUACAUGAUUCCUUGUCUCUUGGGCUGAUAAGCCUGCCUCGAUUGGUUUCUUUUGGUAAGCAUUAUCUAUGAAACGAAGCUUAUGUAGAACUACUGCAACCACUUCCUUGCUUUCAUGGAUCACAGAAUAUACGAGUUCCUCUUGAUCAAGAGAUAGUAUAUCGCCUCUAUCAAGCUAUAUAUUGACAGGAAAGUUAUAAUUUGAUAUCAGUUUAAGUGAUCACAAGCUAGCAGCUAACUUGUGGAGAAUCUAACAUACCUUGUUUUGCAUCAAUGUUUCAGUGAACCAAGGUUUAUCUGGACCAAUUGUUGCAACCAUCUCCACAGCCUCCUCAACUCUGGGUUUUAAACUAGCUUUCAAUUCCUCCAUAUGUUGUGUUUGUUGCCUAGCACAAUCCAAUUCUAGUGUUUCCUUACAUUCAAGAUUUUAGUUCUUUCCCCAACAUAGCAUAUGAAUAUGUAUAAAAAGUAGACUAAAACAAUAGCAAUGAGAAAAGAGUUUAUGAAAUACCUGAAGUAAGUUAAACUAUUUCUUUCGAGCAGAGUUGUCUAUUACAUACAGCAGUAUAAGACUUUGUAUUUAUUAAAGGAAGAAAUCAGGUACAUGAUCUCUUGUAUCAAUGGAUUGAUUCCAGUGGUUAUUCUAGAGUAAUUGAUGGAUCAUGGAGUUAUUCUAGCAAUCAUAUUGGAGUAACUCAUGGAUCGUGACUAUGUGUAAUUAGUUGAUUGCACUUUUAUAGCUUUCCUAGAAUAGCUCUACAUUCUCCUUGUAUAUAAAAGUUGUUGUAUCAUUUGAAGAAAAUCAAUACAGAAAUAUAUUACAUUCACAAUUUUCUUAUGGUAUCAGAGCACCGAUCUUAGUGACUCACCCAUCUUCCGCAAACACAUCAAACACUAUCAAAACUAGAACAUCACCAAAUCAACGUUAUGGCCUACACAGAAGGACACACUGUCCAAAGCCACACAAACAAACAUGACGUACCUACUUAUCCUACAUCAUUCCGACGCAUAGUCACACCUACCUGCAAUAUUGCACAUACUGAUCCUCAUUCGACAUUAUAUUGGAUCAUGGACAGUGGAGCAACGGACCAUGUUUCUUAUCUAUCACCUACUCACAACAAAAUCACCGCAUCUCAUGAUUUUGUUGGUCUACCUAAUGGUGGGAAAGCCGCAAUUGAAAGCAUUGGAACUAUUAAGUUGUCAACUGAUUUGAACCUUGAUGGUGUUCUUCAUGUGCCUAAAUUCCGAGUAAAUUUAAUAUCUGUGAGUAAAUUGACUCGGGCAUUGAAAUGCAUUGUGAUUUUUUAUCCGGAUUUUUGUGUUGUGCAGGACGUGGAUACGAGGAGGACGAUUGGACUGGGCAAGCAUUUUAACGGACUCUACUACCUCACACCAAGACAAAACCCUCACCUAGCCAGCCAUGUUACUCGUACCUCAGACCUUUGGCAUCAAAGACUUGGGCACCCAUCAUCCUCACCCCUCCAUUUUUUGUCCCAAACCAUUCCCGAAAUUAUGUUUGAUCCCCAACAUGUAUGUGAUAUUUUUCCUUUAGCAAAACAAUCCCGUUUAUGUUUUCCAUCAAGUUCUAUAAAAACGGUUGCACCUUUUGAUUUGAUUCAUUGUGACAUUUGGGGUCCACAUAAAACUCACACACAUUCUGGUGCUCGUUAUUUUCUCACCAUUGUUGAUGACUUUUCUCGUUUUACUUGGGUCCAUCUCAUGCGAUUUAAGUCUGACACACAACCAUUGAUCAAAUCUUUCUUCUCUUGGGUCAAAACUCAAUUCAAUCGUGACAUCAAAAUCCUUCGUUCUAAUAAUGGAAAGGAAUUUAUUUCACUACGUUCCUUUCUUGACGAACGUGGUACAAUUUUUCAACAUACUUGCGUCUACACUCCUCAACAAAAUGGAGUUGUUGAACGCAAACAUCGUCACCUUUUAAAUGUGGGUCGAGCUCUUCGUUUUCAAUCCAAUUUACCUUUAAAGUUUUGGGGAGAAAGUGUUUCUACUACUUGUUAUCUCAUAAACCGACUCCCUACACCUCUUUUUUCCCACAAAUCACCAUACGAGCUCUUACAUGGGACUUCACCUACUUACUCUCACCUUCGAGUUUUCGGUAGCUUAUGCUAUGCCACCAACCUCAACCCCAAACACAAAUUCGACAAACGUGCACAUCCUUGCAUAUUUAUUGGGUAUCCUCUUGGAGAAAAAGGCUAUCGAGUGUAUGAUCUUGAGAAAAAGAAUUUUUUCACCUCUCGAGAUGUUGUCUUUCAAGAAAACAUUUUUCCUUGUUCUGCACUUCCUAAAGAGGACCAAGAGGAUUAUCUAAUUCUUCCCAUCAACCCAACCCAACACCUUCAGCCCAACCAACAGGCCCAUUCCCCUCAACCCAUCCACAUAACACCAACUCCUUCUCUAUCCUUACCAACGACAACAGAUCGGGACACCAGACCAACCCACCCUCCUUCGUCACCGGCGCUCCCUCAAAUCCAGUCAUCACCGGCGUCGCCCUCAUCGGCGCAUCCCACUCCACCCUCCCCGGCGCCUCACACUCAGCUGGCCACACCGCUGGAUCCCACCUCAGUGAACCCAGAAAAUCUCGCCGGAGACAUCUCAGCCCUCACAGAUGGGCUCCCGUCGCCGGCGUCGCCCCGACCUCCACCACUCGACCCCGCUUCUGUCACCACUAACCUCUCACCACCGCCAUCCAUCACUCCUUCCCGACCUCUUCAAACACAUCACCACCGACCUCCAAUCUCGGCCUCCACAGAUCCAGGACCGGCCACCUUACCGGAACCACCAUCCUCUUCGCCCAAUUGGCCUGUUGCGCAAACCCAAAAUGCCAUCCCCGACACUCAGACAUCACCACCACCUACAGCUCCAUCACCUGAGGUAUUACGUCGAUCUGAUCGAACCCGCAACCCACCACCAUACCUCAAUGACUACCACACCAAUCAUGUCGUUUUGCUUGGCCCAGCCGUCGGUCUCUCCACCACGUCCGGCACUCGUUAUCCCCUGCAGAGGUACAUCUCUUACUCUGGUUUGUCCACUGGCUAUCGAUCAUUUGUUAACAAUAUAUCUCAAUUAGUGGAACCAGCUACUUAUGAACAGGCCAGCCAUGAUCCCCAAUGGGUUACAGCGAUGAAUAAUGAGAUUCAGGCUCUUGAAGAUAAUAGAACAUGGUCACUAGUCCCUUUGCCUCAAGGUCAGCGUCCAAUCGGCUGUAAAUGGGUUUUCAAGAUCAAAUACAAUUCGGACGGCACUGUUGAACGAUACAAGGCGCGGCUUGUUGCCAAGGGAUUCAAUCAGAGAGAAGGGAUCGAUUACAAGGACACUUUUGCUCCGGUGGCCAAAUUGAUUACUGUACGUUGUUUGUUGGCUGUUGCUGCUGUUCGGCACUGGCCCUUACACCAGAUGGACGUCCAAAAUGCGUUCCUACAUGGAGAACUCACUGAGGAGGUGUAUAUGAUGCCACCACCAGGUUAUUGUCGACAGGGGGAGAAAUUAGUUUGUCGACUUCACAAGUCCUUAUACGGCCUUAAACAAGCAUCCCGCAGCUGGUUUCAAAGGUUCUCAUCCUCUAUUCAAGAAUUUGGCUUCCAACAGUCUCAUGCUGACUAUUCGUUGUUCACUCAGGUUUGUGGCAAUUCAAUUACUGUGGUGUUGCUUUAUGUGGAUGAUAUGAUUAUCACAGGAAACAAUGAAGAGGCCAUUUUAAAUCUCAAGCAAUUUCUUAAUAGCCGUUUCAAAAUUAAAGACCUUGGACCUUUGAAAUAUUUUUUGGGCAUAGAAGUUGCACGUUCCAAGGCAGGGAUUACAAUAUGUCAGCGGAAAUACACAUUAGACAUUUUGGAGGAAGCCGGAUUGUUGGGAGUGAAGCCUGCAACAGUACCUAUGGAGCCUAACUUGGUAUUAACGACAAAGGGAAGUGAUGCUCUCAAAGAUCCAACUAGAUUUCGACGUCUGAUUGGGAAGCUAAUUUAUUUGACAAUCACCAGGCCAGAUAUCACAUUUGCAGUCAAUUCAUGCAAGAACCAAAGUUACAUCAUCAUAAGGCAGCCCUUCGUCUUCUCCAUUAUCUAAAAUCUGUUCCUGGCCAAGGGUUAUUCUUUUCGUCACAGAAUUCACUUCGUUUGAUUGGGUACUGCGAUGCAGAUUGGGCUAGAUGUCCACUCACAGUCGCUCUGUGACAGGUUUUUACAUAUUUCUUGGACAAUCACUCAUCUCAUGGAAAAGUAAGAAACAGGUCACUGUUUCUAGAUCCUCAGCUGAAGCUGAAUACCGUUCGAUGGCUGCAUCUGCUUGUAAGCUUUCUUGGCUUAGAUACUUGUUGACUGACUUGCAUGUGAUUCAUCCUCAGCCAGCAAUAUUAUUCUGCGAUAAUCAAGCUGCUUUACACAUAGCAGCGAAUCCGGUUUAUCAUGAGAGAACAAAACAUAUCGAGUUGGAUUGCCAUACUGUUCGGGAAAGAAUUCAAAAGGGAGAACUCAAAACGGCUUAUGUACCUACUGGGAAUCAAAUAGCUGAUAUGUUUACUAAGUCAUUACGUGCACCUGCCUUCCACGCACAUCUUAGCAAGUUGAGUGUCAUUGAUAUCCACACUCCAACUUGAGGGGGAGUAUUAAAGGAAGAAAUCAGGUACAUGAUCUCUUGUAUCAAUGGAUUGAUUCCAGUGGUUAUUCUAGAGUAAUUGAUGGAUCAUGGAGUUAUUCUAGCAAUCAUAUUGGAGUAACUCAUGGAUCGUGACUAUGUGUAAUUAGUUGAUUGCACUUUUAUAGCUUUCCUAGAAUAGCUCUACAUUCUCCUUGUAUAUAAAAGUUGUUGUAUCAUUUGAAGAAGAUCAAUACAGAAAUAUAUUACAUUCACAAUUUUCUUAGUAUUUAAGCCAAGAAAACUCUUGCACCCCACGCAGAGUAGCUGUAGGUCAACUCAAUCAUUCUGUAACUUUUUAAAUUGGUAUCUAAAUGAUCAAACCAGUUACUUUUCAAGGGAUUCAUGUUGAUGGAUUCAAAGCUAAUGAGAUUAUUGAAGACUAAUUAUUCAUUAGCUCUGUCAUUAUAUCUAAUUAAUUAUAUAGUUGUUGGAUCGAGCGGUAUCCAAUGAUGUUGGCAGCAAGAACUUCGGAUGUUUCUCAUCUUAAGGCUGCGGAGUCUGCCUGUUCGGCCUAUCUACCAGAGAGUACAGGUUGGUUCCCUACAUACAAUUAAAUCUAACCUCAACAUUGAAAAUUUGAAAUUAUCCACAAGUCCCAGAGCUACUGAAAUAGGAGAAAAAAGUGAAUCUGUGAAUGUUUUGUUACUGAUGCUUUUGUGAGGAGGGUCAGUGUUCUAAACUGAAAAGAUUGGUGCUAUUGAUGAAUUCUGUUGAUUAGUGCUUGUUUUUGCUAACAACAGAAGCUGUUAGAAUCUGAAACAUGCUUAUCUGGGUGUUGUGUAUCAGUUAGCAUUAGAGUGAAUAAGAUUGAACUUCACAGAAUAGUAGAUCUCAGUAAUAAUAGACAUUAUGACUAGCAUAUAGUAGAUCAAGUAUACGAAUCCAAAUGCACUUACGCAAAUAAGUCGAACACAUGAGCUUUAUGUAUUGUAUUGUGCCUUAUGGCUCAUACUCAUAUAGUCAUGACUUGUUAUCUGGGCAUCAUAAUGCAUUCUUGUGCUUCAGUUCUUCCUGUGAUCUAGUACUGGCAAUUCCUUCCUCAGUGAUUCUAUAUCUUUUUCCACAUCCACCAACUUUCUCUUAGCUUGACCAAGAGUUGGACCAAAAGCCAACAGGGUUUUCCUUAGUUCCUCUAUUUUCUUACCAGCAAGCUGCACAUAAUAAAAUAAUAAAUCCUGACAGAAUAAAAAAAUAGUUACAAGAGUAGGACUAGCAUUUGCAUCAUUAUAGCAAUUGGUAAGGCUACAAAUUAAUCAAUUAUGCAAAUAACCAAAAGAAAAACAUAAUUAAGUGACAAAUUUUCUUAAUUAUCUAAUUUCAUGACCUACCUUAAUUUGCUCCCGUAAGGCUUCUUUCGAAUCCAAGGAAGUCCAAGUCUUUCCCUUCACAAAAGUUGGACCAGCAUUUGCAUUAUUCUUAGCAAUUGGUGGUUUAUCUGCUUUCCUUACCAGUACAAUUCCACAGCUUUUGAUUCUGCAUUCGAGCUCUCUGAUUUCUCCUUCACGGUCUUUGGUAUCUCCCUUGCUGAUCAGGAAUGGCAUCUGGUGUUGCAACCACCAAAUAUGUUCAUGCCGACCAAUUUGCCACCACCAAUUCUGGUUCCUUCUAUAGUUCCCAGUCUGUUUCAAUAGUCAAACAAACCAAAAUCCAAAGAAUAAGCUAAUGAAGCAUAUAUCCUUACAAUUAAGGUAAUUGGUUAAGCAGUAAAUUAAUUAUCUUUAGUUUUCGUUCUUACAUUUUCAGGAACAAAUGUAAGAUCUUUUUCCAAUUGAGUCCAAAAUAAAGCAAAACUGUCCUCCCUCUCAUCCUGCCUCUGGUUUCGUUUGAUCUCUUUCAGAAGCUGCUUUUCCUUGGCCAAAUUCUUGCUUCCAUGAACCAUCCGGAAAUGCAAGUUCUGCAUCCGUCAAUCCUUACAUUAUGACAUGCAGACGUAUAUUAAUGUGUGUAUAACCAUAUAUACAGUCAUUCUUACAUGUUUACUCAUCUCUUCAACUGACAAGCAUGCCUCAAUUGGUUUCUUUUGGUAUGCAUUAUCUGCGAAACGAAGCUUAUGUAGAAGUAGUUGCAGUAGAUCUAUUUUCUUCCUUUCAAGGAUCACAGAAUAUACGCGGUUCUCUUUAUAUGUAUUUAGAGAUAACAAACGGAGCCUUUCAAGCUGUUGACAGGAAAUGUUGAUUUGAUCAUUUACUGAAUUAGUUAUUGUCACUAGUUAACAGCUAGCUAGCACAUACUGGAAAAUAUGUAGAGAAAUUCAUGAUACCAUCUUUUCAUCCAUUGAAUGAGCGAACCAACGUGUAUCUUUUACCCAUUGUUGCAUUAACCAGCUUCAUAGCCUCUUCAAUUCUGAUGGAGCAAAGAUCAAAUCCUGGAUUUUAGUAUCGAAUUCAAGAUUUUAGUAGCACUCUCCCCAACAUUAAAACUAAAUACAAAACAAAGAAAUCAAUAUGAUAAAACAGUUGAUGAAUUACCUGAAGUGACUUAAACUGUUUGAUUGGGACUCUGAGUAAAGUUGUAUCUUACUGUAUUACAUACACCAGUACGUUAAGGCUUCCUAUGUAUUUAAGCCAAAUGUGGAUUACCUUAACUGCUCAGAUGAUCAGGCAGUACAGCAAGAGAUUGGAAGUACUUCUGAUUUGGAAUUUGAGUAGGCUGUGCUAUCAGUGCUAUGACACAAGAGGUUUAUAAUACAUAUAGGUGUAAGUAUGCAUCACUGUAUCUAUAGUUAAAGACUUCUUGCAUCCCACGCCAAGAAUAAGUCAGCUCGAGUUAUUAAUCUAUAGCCUUCUCAAACAAUUCGUAUUCAAUAAUUCCAGGCAACAUCGCGUCUGCAAGAAAUCAAGAAUACAUGCAACUUGAAGAACAUAAAUCAAACAACAAGUUAUGAUCUUUUUAUUUCUUGAAGAGAUUUUAAGUGAUUGUACCAAACAGAAAUCAUUCACUUGUUUUUUGUUGAUCCAUAUAAUAAGAGUGCCUCUAUGAAUGCUGCUGCAGAAAAUGGUUUAGUCCUACUCUAAAUUCAUCUCAAUUUUUUUUAUUUAGCACCAAUAAGUGAUUCAUACCAGAUUUGUAAGAACUAAGAACAAACUCUGCAAGUACAUAAUGGCUAGAGAAGUAAAAUCGAAAACAGGGAGCUUUUCACUAAAUAUUGCAAGAAUGUUACAUGAAGAUGGUGAAUAAGUGAGAUUUUCCCAUCACCUCUUACAUUACAGUGUGCCAAUAAAAACACUCAACAAAAGGCUUAAAUAUGGGAAAGAAAAGUAGUACAUUAAGCUUAACAAGGUACAUACAGCCUAAAACCAUGAUACAGAAACAGAAACAAACCCUCUCUUUUCAGGUUGUGCAAUAUCACUUAGUAACUGGUACUAUUUGAAUUUUACUACCUCAAAACUUAUAUAGUUUUGAGUUCUGAAAGAGAAGACUUGUCCCAAGUAGCAAAUUACAGGCACCUUGUCAGCUCUUUUAUUUACUUGUGAAGGAACUGGCUUCAAUUUGUGUGAGUUCCCCUUGAUGUCACAUCAGACGAGAUAACCUACUGAAUCAGUAGUAAUAGUAGUAACAGUAUGAUAAAGAUUCCAACCUGGAUUCAAAUGAAAAUAAAAUGCCAUCAAUAUCAGUAACAAUACGAAGAUUCUAGCUAAGAUGUCAAAAAUCAGAAAGUCACAAGAAUUUGAUGACCAUUCUACUGCUAAUAAAUGAAAGAGAAACUAGAACGAAAGAGUUUGAUCCAACACUCCAACCAGCAACCUUGACAAACCUCAAAGCCUGUAAUUGCACACUUGCAAUUACUACUGACCACUGGGAUAAUUAGUUGGGUUAUUGUGAUGAAUUUAUUCUGUUAUGAAUUGUGUACUAAUCGUUUGUUGUAACUUUACCUCAUGGAAUUCACAUCACUGUGUCUCCAAACGUUCUCGUAUACAAUCUGAUAUGGAAAUCUCUUUCUCCAUGAAUCUAUACCCCUUUUCAUGGCUUCUGAUUCUCUCUCAACUUGACUAAUUAUUUUCCCAAGACCAAGAGCCAGUAGGGUUUUUCUUAAUUCUUCUAUUCUUUCAGAAGCAACCUGCAAAUGAAUUAUGAAAGGAAAUAUAAACAAGUUUGUUAUAUAACUGAAAGUAGAGGCAGAAAAACUAAUAUAGGACUACCUCAUUACUCAUGGAUCCUAUUUGAUGAGUUAGGAGUCUAUAUGUUACCUUAACUUUCUCCUGUAAGGCUUUUUUUAAACCCGAAGAACUCGAAAUUAUUCCCUUCCAAGCAGCGUUAGCAUUCACAUUAUUCUUGACCAUGGCAUCAUAAUCACUUGCCUUACAAUUCCACAUCUCUGUUGACUCCAUUGUUAUUAGCAAUGGCUUCAGAAUCACUUUCCUUAACUGCAUCUCCUGUAAUGAUCCAAAUAUAAGAAACACAUAUACAAGGUAAUUGAUCGGAGGCAAUCGAAAUAUUAAACUUUUGUUCUUACAAGUUCUUGUUCCAAUUGAGUCCAAAAUGUAACAAACUUAUCAUCCUGCUGGCUCAGUUUCAUAUCUUUCAAAAGCUGCUUUUCCUUUGUCAAACUCUUGCUUCCAUGCACCAUCUGUAAUGAAUAUUUGAACCGAAGUUUAUCUUGAGACAUCUCUGCAAUCAGCUUCGUAGCCUCUUUGAUUUUGACUUCUAAUUCAGGAUCCAUUUUCUUCACAGUGUAUCGCAUUGCCUGCAGUGUUGAUACAAAGGUAAAAGCAAAGCACGUUAUACACUAACAAUAACAAUACAUGAUAAACCAGUAAAAUGACUGUUCUGAUAUUUACCUCUACUGCUCAGAUAUUCAGGUGUUACAGCAAGAGACUGAAGCACUUUAACUGGGAAUUUGGGCAAACUAUGUGCAAUACGUACUAGUAUAAACCUUCCUGUAUAUGCAAGCCAAAAGACCUUGCUCCCCAAGCAAAGAUUAGGUCAACUCCAAUCAUCAAUCCAAAAAUACCUUGUCAAACAAUUCUUAUUCAAUAAUAGUUCAGGGUCGUGAGACAUUGAGAAACAUUAGAAUGAGCAACUUCAUAUCAGCUUAAUGAGUAAACUUUAGAUCGGACCAGGAUUCCAUUAUACAUUUUCUUAAUUUUUUUUUUUUUUUAUGGUUCAUAAAUCUGACCUAAGUUUGUGAUUAUUCCUUUUACGGUUUUAAAACCAGUAGUAAUAAAACCAAUAGUAAUAAGCUUUUGAUUUCAACCCUUUAUAAUUGAAAAGUUAUCAGAUUAUAGUUUGAUGGUGGAAGAAUGUCCAGCCAAGUAUUGUUGUUCAUCUAAGAGCAUGUAACUUCUCCAUAUUGUAACAUACCAAGGUUCUUCACAACCGCAGUCAUCCAACCAUGGAGUUGUCAGGUACCAAACAAGCAUUGUUUUCGGUCUAGGUGUUCGAGAACAGGAGUAUUAGUUGGCUCAAAGACAAAGACAGGAAGAAAUGCAAUGGAUUGAGACAAUCACUAUGCACAUGGCUUGCCAGAAACUUCAUGGGAAUGAAUUAUAAUAUAGCAUAGAGAAUCCUAAGGGGAGAAGUUGGUCACAAAUUCAGCAAAGCCUUCCAAAUUCUUGACAGGCCAGUUUGUUUAAAAACAAAAUGCUUCCUUCACUUAACAAAACUCAAAUCCAAAGUAGCACCCUUGCAGCAAAAUAUAAAGCUUCCCUGUCUCUCUCUUCUCCCUGCAUUGGUUAGCUACUUCAUGGUUCAAAACUGAUGUUAAUCUAUUGAGGACCAGUAAUUGAUCCCAUACAUAUAUGUCAAAAGUGCCAGACUCCCACACAACCACCUCACAGCACAAGUCUAAAGUAAAUUCUGCUGAAAAAAUAUUGCAUAUGAAACUAGAGUUUUUCGGUAAAAGGCUAAACCAUGAAGAAACUAGUAGCAUCAAGCUCAAAAUGUUACAGAUAACCUAAAUUUGACUGGUACAGAUAGAGAAUCAAAUCUCAUAACAUAAAUGUGGAAUAGCAAUUGUCAAUUAGGCAAUACUUACAAGCAAACCAUAUCAGCAAAACUCAAAACUUGUAUUCUAUCAAAAAGAAAACUCAAAACUUGUAAUUUUGAACAAAACCAACAUGGAACUAUAAUAAAAGUACAUAACUUGAUUCAAAACCUGAAAGAAGAGGAGGCAAUAUAGUACCAACAUCUCAUCCAAUUUACAUUUCAAUCAUUUGCACCGAUCCAAAUCAUGAUCCUUAACAUCACAACUACUACAUCAUCUCACAGCUCAAUAAAAACACAAAAUACAAGACUGUCUUUCAGGACUUGCAAAUAAAACUUGAACAAAAAGCUAAAACAUCACCUACAACCAAAUCAAAGGCCAUAAAAGAAUUGGCUGUACUUAACCUUAAGCCACCUGAAGCUUUUCCUGAAGGAGCCCUUCAUCUUUCCCUCAACAGCAUACAUCUUGUAGCUAGCAACCCUCUUCUUCCUCUGCAACUCAGGAUCACUCAGAGCCCAAGAAGAAGACUUUGACCUAGACACUGUAGCAGCCUUCCCCUUCUUCAAAUCCCUGUUGUUGUAGUUAUAUGGAUAAUUCCCCAUCUGAGCCUGAGCAUAGGAGGCACUGUAACUGGUGAGCUCAUAAGAAGUGGGUGGUGGUGGUGCUCUUGGGGGUCCAUAGUAGUUGUCCAUCUGCAUGGUCCCGCUGCCACCAUAAGACUUUGAUCUGUUAUGGUCUCCCAUUGAAGGAGCUUCCCAGAAGAAGAAGCAAAGAAUAAGCACCACUGGAAAAUGGACCCCAAAGGAAUGUGACUUCCUUCUGGCUUUGGUUGUUUUGGAUUUUGUUUCUUGCUCAUUUUUAUAAGGCGGUAAAGGCUGACUUUUAUAAUAGAUGAUUUCAGUGGCGUGUACAGCAGGGAAUCAUUUUGUCUAUGAAAUGUGUUUCUUUUUCUUCAUUUUUUUACCCACAUCUAAUCUCGAUAAAUCUUGAGCCCUUAAAGUGUGUAUUUGAGGCUUUGAGCAAAACCAUUUCAAAACUACAAGUUCCAAGAUUUCUUGUAAAAUUUGAACAAGUCUUUUGGGUAAGAAUUUCACCAAAAGGAGGAGAAAAUGGACAAGUUUUGUUUGUUGUGAAGGCAUUCUAUCCUCUUCUUGUACAGUACAACAGUUAUCUUGCAGGAUUUAACAAUGCUGAAAGGUACAUAACACCUAUCUUGCUCAGAUUGAACAAUGUUGAAAUGUACCUGAAAGAGACCCAGAGAAAGAAAGCAGUAAUCAUCUAACAAAGCAAACAUUCUAGAUAUACCUAAAGAAGGAUACAAAAUAUGCAACGUUUAAACAAACAAUGAGAAAUUUCUACAUAAUAUUACCUCAUAACCAAGUCUUAGAACAAUAAGGGCAAUCCAAAAUAAGUUAAUACUGCAAACUUGUCUCGAAUACUAAACAAAAUUUUUAAGUGGUUUAUCCACACCUGAAAUGGGGAUGGAAUCCAGUCACAAACGGACAGGACCACUACCCCAGUUUCAAGUAAUCCAUGCUAAAUAACAGCCCUUACACCUACAAGGAGGAAAAUAAAUAUGGCUUUCUGAAUUACAAAGCCAAUUACCACACCAAACCAAAACCUUGCUUACAGAAGAUCAGCAACAUUAGCAGGCAGCUCCUCAAUUACGACAUUGUAGAACUUCUGGAUGUCAAACAACAUCCUUUCAUCAUCCUUGGUCACAAAGUUGAUGGCAACACCCUUCCUCCCAAACCUACCACUACGACCAAUACGAUGCAGGUAGUUUUCCGGCUGUGUAGGAAGGUCAUAGUUAAUCACAAGAGACACCUGCUGGACAUCAAUACCACGGGCCAACAGAUCAGUUGUGAUGAGCACACGAGAAGAACCAGACCUAAACUCUCUCAUGAUGAUGUCCCUAGUGUUUUGCUCCAUGUCACCAUGGGUGGCAGAGACCGUGUGAUCACGGCUGCGCAUCUUGUCUGUCAGCCAAUCAACUUUGCGCCUGGUGUUCACAAAGAUGACACUCUGGGUGAUUGCCAAGGUCUCAUAAAGAUCGCAAAGCGUUUCAAGCUUCCACUCUUCCUUGUCAACAUUGACAUGGAACUGCUUAAUACCCUCAAGAGUGAGCUCAUCACGUUUCACCAAAAUUCUCACAGGCUUGUUCAUGAACUUCCUGGUGAUAUCAAGGGCUUCUGGUGGCAUUGUGGCAGAAAAAACACCCACCUGAAUUUUGGGUGGGAGCAGCUGGAAAAUGUCAUAGAUCUGAAAAUAUGAACAGAAACGGUCAGUACAGAAAACCACGCACAAAAAAAAGCAUGUAAAGUAAACCGCAAAGACAUAAGCACUACAAAGACUUAUAUACCUCAAGUACACAUAGUUAAAACUCUUUUUAGAAAAACUUGGGUUAACAUAGUUAAAUAUCUUUCCUGGAUAUAACAAGUCAAAUGAUUCAUAUACCACAUGCAGGUCAUACAGAUCAGCAUCAACAAGCACAGUUUUUUAUACAAGAAGUAUCAGCAUGCUUAAGAAACAAAGAACACAUCAGAUAAAGUACCUGAUCCUUGAAACCUCUUGAGAGCAUUUCAUCAGCUUCAUCUAACACAAACAUCCUAAUGCAAUCUGGACGGAGAGACUGCCUCCGCAACAUGUCAAAGACUCGGCCAGGUGUACCAACAACAACAUGGACUCCGCUAGAGAGAACACGUUGAUCUUCACGGACACUAGUCCCACCAACACAAGCAUGAACCUUGACACCGAGGUAGUCACCGAGAGCCCGCAUAACCUUCUCAAUCUGUUGAGCAAGUUCUCGGGUAGGUGCAAGAACUAAUGCCUGGCAGUCGAGCAUGGCAUAAUCAAGCUGCUGCAAAAUUCCAGAGCAGAAAGUGGCUGUUUUUCCAGUUCCAGAUUGUGCCUGUUGGAUAACAUCAAGUCCCUUGCAGAAGGGAACAAUUCCCCUUUGCUGAAUUGCAGAGGGCUUCUCAAAACCUAAGAAAAAAGUAGAUUGAUAUAUCAGUAAGAAAGAACAGAUGAUUUAGAUUCAGUGUACAGUUACAAAUCAACAUACAUAUACAAUCACAUGAACAGCCCUGACCUAUGAACAUAUAACAGAUGGCAAUGUCCAUAACUUUAAAUACAACACAAUUUGCUUCAAACGAAGCUCGCACUAUUCAUUUAGUGUGUAAAGAAUCUUACAAGUUACUGUGUUAGAAGCUACACUGGGUCUUGGACUAUACUUUUUAUUUAGAAUGAAUGCAAGGCACACCCAACAAAGUUGUCCAAAGAUCCCAAUAUGAUUGACUGAUGCAAAAAGAAGCUACGACUAAUAACUGACAGUAAAUUUAUCAUCCUAAAGCAAGCCUGACACUCAUAUAAUACAUCAUCAUUUUGCACUGAACAAAGAGUAAAACUUGUAGCAUAAUUUGAUUUACCAUAUGCAUAGAUUCCCCUAAGAAGGUUUUCCUGCAGUCCCAUGACAUCAAAACUGUCAUGAACCUCGUCAUACGAGGUGAAGAAAUCUUGUCCAUCAGAUCCAAGUCUGCUCCCACACAAAACAAUAACAAAAUUCCAUCAUUCACAACACAGAAUACGCAACAACUAGAAGAAACCGAGGGACAGAAAGACAACUUACAGCUCGGUCAUUUUGGCAUCGUAUUGACGAGUAUCAAACUGAGACCCUUCCGGUGCAGCGCCAGCCAUGACUGACAAAAAUCAAAAACAAAUCAACACAACGCAUCAAUAUAACUUAACUUACACAACCGAUAAUCCAAUACAACUAAAAGGUGCAACUUUCUCCACUAAUUCACCGAUUAAUCCAAAUUAUAAAUCUCAACAAAUCAAAUUCAACAUCAACCUCUGCCAGCGCAGAUCCCCUAUCCUAAUCCACAUGAUUAUCAUACAAAACCGCACAGAUUAUAUACGUAACACAUCUAUCUUCAUCACCGUAGUCUACUCAAUCGAAUCAAAGCUAAAAAACCAAUCGAUCUAUCAAUUAAGCACAAAACGAAUCCACAAAAUCGGAAAAAUCAACAAUCGGAGGCAGCAGAUGUUAAAGCAUUCAAGGAGAAGCUACAGUAAAGAUUUUAAAAGGCGAAACGAGAUCGGAGUUAGAGAGAAAGAGAGUACCUGAAAGCGAGAGAGUUGAGAGGUCGGAGAAGUAAGAGAGUCGGCGACUGAGUUGAGAGUUAGGGUUUUCCUGAACUCCUCGGAUCUCUGUGAUUUGGUUGUGAGGAGUUGAGGGAACGCAGCAGCAGCAAUAAGACUGGGAGAGAGAGAAAACAGAGGCGUGUGAGGAUUAGGUUUAUAUCUCAGGGAUACCAAAUCUUAUGCGCUUCCCAUUUUGCCCUUGCGGUUUCGUCCUGUUUAACCUCCCAUGUAGGGCUCUACGACGCCGUAUUGAGUUGGUGGGCUGGGGGAUAUUAGUGACUUGUGUUUCCCGUUUUGCCCUUGGAUUGUGCGUGUCACGACGCCGUCCGUUGUUGGCUUUGGACAGUCUACUUUUUUUCUUUUUUUAAGUUUUAAGUUUUAAAAUAAACGAUCGAUAAAAUCACAGUGAUGAUGUCUAACGAUAAAUGAGACAAGCUUAUUAUGAGCAAUUGUGUAUCAGUAAAGAGUUUGUGUUAAUGUGUUUUAAUUUAGCUUUAUCUGAAUAUUUUACUUUUGAUUACUCCUUCAUUAUUGAAUACGAUUCUUCUAAUAUAUAUGAUGAAGCACGUGUUGGAUCGAAGUUAAAACUCAACUGGUUUUGCUUAAGAAAAAAAAAAAAAAAAGUAGUGAUAUUGUCUUUUGCUCUUUUGUUAAAUUCGACUUUUCUUUCAAUAAUUAUAAGUUAAAAAGUUAUGUGUUUUCGAACUAAUAUUAUAAGGUAGUAUUAAUUUCAUUGCGUUGCAUGAAGCUACGUCUUUUAAAUUUUGGAAAAUAAAAUGUUACAUGCAUAGUUAUAUACUCACAUAGCUACUACCAAGAAUGCCCUAUGCUGCCACUUGACUUGAAAACCAUGAGUCAAGGAGGAAACCAUGGUUUAUCAUAUAAGGUCACACAUCAACUGGGCUACUUGGGCUACUUCACUGGAUCAGUGGUAAAGAACAUAUCAUGUAAAUGUAUUUCUGGGCCGAGUGUUGUUCUGUCCACGUUGAAAGAUACUGGGCAUAAAGUUUGAGGAUCUUGGAACUGGAUUGGGCUGUAAAGCAUAAAAUGCUUUUCAUUUCAUUCUUUUACUUUUGCCUUGCAGAAAGGUCGAUUUUCUCACAAGUUUGCAACAAGGUUAUUCUGAGUGGCUAGCUAGAAGUCUAAAGCGGACCACAGCUGGGGAAGGGAAAAAGAAAAAAAAUGGAACUUUCUUAACAAACGCUUUGUUAAAGAACUUCACUACUUAUCUAUAUAACGUGAUAAUUUUUAAGGUGGAUACUUUUUAAGUACGAUUACUCUAAGAGGUGGAUAAGGGGUUUUUUGACGUGUCGUAGAGAUAAUACCAAAGAGUUAUCUUAGAAUAAGCUGAUUUGUGACCAAAAGUGUAGCUUCCUGAUCUUGAUCUUCCCUGUAGAACGUUGUCGAUCCUUGCCCUCUCUUUCAAAAGCUAUGUAGAAAUGAUGCUCUUUGGGAAGAAUUGGUGAGAAUUGUUCACGGAGAGUGGUGAUAUAGGAUUGGUGCAAUGUUCCACCUCAUUUUCAAUCGGUAAACUCAUUCAAUUAAAAAUAAAUACAGAUCGAAGUACCCAAUAAGGUCUCGGUUAUGAAAUUUGGUUUUUCAUGAACAGAUCUAAAUAAAUAUCCUUGAUUAAUAGAUUGGUGCAGCACUGCUGGGUACAAGACUUGAUCGUGACUCUGAUCUAAUAAGCUUUUAAGUUCUUCUUUUUUAUGGUUUUUUUGGAAAGGUCAUAUCAGAGUCACGAUCAAAUCAAUCACUGUAUGAGGGGUGCAAAUUUUAAUUUGAGACACUGCUACGGCCUCCAUAGUCGACCAAUACUAGCUUUGUCAUGCAGCCAUAUUCAUUCAAAUUAAUGGUAAAGCUAUAAGCUGCAGGCCAGGUAAAACAGGUAUGCAUAUGAUCAUGCACAUGCCGACCAGCUAGCUCUGAUUCACAUGCCGUUCCUUAAUUUUAGCUGGCGAAAUCGACCAAACCUUCCCCUGCUGCAACCCUAGCUAGGUCAUCUGGAGAGUAAUGGUGAUUGCAAGAUUGAGACUCAAACAUUUAAUUACUUACUGCUCUCAACAUAAACAUUAUAGCAAACUCCUCUAGAUUUAAGGCUUCCUAAUGAAAUGAGGCUCCAAGAGCAUUACUCUUUUACAUGUAAACGAGUAAAAGAUUGUCCUAAACACUUUUGUAAUGUUAUUUCAUUCAACUCAUCUAGAUUUUAGUAUGCGGAAAACUAAAAUUUCAAUUAGGAUUUACAAAAUCGAUUGAAAAUAACUUGUUCACUACUAUUACUGGUUAUUAUUACGAGUCGCAAUAAGUAAUGUACUACUGUUAGGGGCGGAUCCAUGAAUUACAACCAAUGAGACUUGGACUUUAACUAGAAAAAAAAAAAAAAAAAAAAGAUUGUGCAAGAGCAAUUUAUAGAUGAAAAGAAAGAUACACUAGACAUGAGGGACGUAGUGAGGCUUACCAUUUGAAUACAUGUUUAAUGCAUAAAACUCUCUAUAUGUAACACCAAAGAAGCUAAAUACGCAUUUCAAUGCAAUACAAGAUAUAUAUAUAGAUGUAAAACCUAGCUCAACUAACUAAAAUACAAGAGUAAUAGCCUCACGACAAAUGUUUGACUAGGAAGAAAAGAGGACAACAUACUAUAUAUUUUGAGAAGAUAGAGAAACUUAUCUCUUUCUUAACAAAAACAAUAAUAAGUAUAAGUUAAGAACUUAAUUGGAGCAAUUAACGCAAGGUAUGACAUGAGUGGAACUCGGCCCAAAAAAUAUAUGGUUAGUAAGAUUACAAGAUGAAGGAAUUUGAGUGGGACUUAACCCGACAAUCUUACAAUCACACGUAAGAUUAGUCUUAACUAUAUGUAGUAAUUUUUUUCUCAAAAUAAGAGCAUCUCCAGCACAAUAGUUAAAUUUAACAAUAAUUAUGAGAUUAACUAUUGAUAUAAGAAUUUGAUUCCAGCAGUUAUUGCUAUAUGUAAGUUAAAUAAUAUUUUUAACAAAUUAUAAACUGACACGUGGAGAAAAAAAGGAGGGAAAAUAUAUGUAUUCCUUUAGCAAUUCAUGGCUCAAUUGACAAAUUUAUCACUUUCGUUUAACAAUCCUUAAAUUUAACAACCAUUUAUGUAUACUGUUAGAGCUCCUAUUCAUCCGAAAAGUUGAUAAAUUUCAAAAAAAAAUUGAUUUAGCAAUACUACUGGAGAUGCUCUUAGGUGAGACUUGAGUCCCAUCAUGUUGCUAUAUGCUGGAUCCGCCCAUGACUACUGUUUAAGUUAGAACAAAAUCUCUUGAUAACGCAUUACUCAACUUUAACUCUACUGGAUUCGAUCGUUGAAGGUAUUCAAAGACUUCAUCGAAUUUGGAAUGCUUGCAAGGAAUUCAUCUCUCUAGCUUGGAUACGUAUAUAUACUUUGAAUCCAAAAAUGAUCACCGGCUACUUUUCAGAUGCGUAUAAUAUGACCAAUUGCUCAUAAUGGAUGAGAAAUGGUCGGGUGAGAAUAAAGGGCAUGCAGUCGAUUCAAAUAUGACAACCACGAUGGGAAAGUAGAGAGUGUUUUUGGUCAAGAGAGUUGAUGUUUAAAUUCUCGGAACACCAUGACAAAAGGGGUUGCCAUCCGGCCGUUGGUUGAAGAACCACCCCAGCCACACAGCCUUGACACGUAGCCUUGGACCAUACAAAUUCUCUUGAAACCCUAACCCUACAAUCAAAAUCGAUAUUCUAUCUUCUAUUCAAAUUUCGGCCCUCUUUACUUUUGAUAAAGCCAUUGUUAAUCCAGAAAACCCUAGCUCAAUUGGUUACCCAGAUAAUUAGGGUUCCCUGGCCCCUGGAAGCCGGUGCCAAACAAGUAGCCAACCCCAGAACACCACGUCUCAGAGAGAGAGAGAGAGAGACCAGGACCAGGACCAGGACCAGGACCAGGAGGAGGACGAUAAUAGGUAGCUAGUGUUUUGCCGAAAGUGGGCGUGCAGUGCAGGGGAAGAUCGAGAAGAUCAAAAUGCAAGUUUCCAAGACCUCUGCCCUCGCAAGUUGUUGUUGUUGUUGUUGUAGCUCUUGGCUUGGCAUUAGGGAUUAUUAGGGUUGGGGUCACCAGCAGCUAGCUUAUGCGGAAAAAGUGUAAUCCAUGGUCGUCGACCCCCUAGCUAGUCUGGACCAUUGCAGCAGAGAGGAGAUGCGUGCUUCCCUAAUCAUGAUUGCCGAUGCAAAUUAUUCAAAGUGGAAUGCCUCACCAUACUUUUUCCAACCAUAUAUAUGUGCAAUUUCUAACAUUUCAUUUCUGAUCAGUGAGAGAGAGGAGAAAAAAAAAAAAAAAAAUAUAUAUAUAUAUAUAUAUAUCACAACCAUCAAUACUAAAACAACUUUUCUUUAACAAUUAGCAACAAAACUAAUUGAAUUCCCGAGAAUUUAAUCAACAAUAAGGAAUUCUCAAUUUCUUAGGACUGUUUCCCCUGUGGAAUUAGCAAUUUUCAUGAGAAAAUAAUCGUGGAAUUUAGAAACUUAAAUUCCCAACUUGAAUUCCUCACAAAAUAAGUGUUAUUUGUCAAUUCUCUUGACUGAAUUUAGUCUAAAUACAAAUUUUUGUCAUUUUAAAACUCUACAUCAUGAAAUCCAAACAAUAAAAUUCUCAAUUAAUGAAAUUUAAAUUAAUAGAAUUGUAAUUCCCAUGAUUUUGAAAUUUUUAAAAUUGAAAUUACUUUAUCCAAAUACAACGUAGAAGUCUAGAACCGAUGAGAAAAUAUGUUUCUUAUGAAUGAAUUAAUGAGUCAAAUGGUAGGGUGUUCUAUAUGUGUGCGCCUUAUGUUGAUCACUUUUAACAAAAUAUAGAUGGAAAUAUAAAUCCAUUGUAGUGAUUGGUUUGCCCAAUUGGUGAUAUAAUGAGUUCGAGUUUUAAUAAUUAAUUAGUGUUGAAUCAAAGUUGUAAAUUAUAUCGGGUUAUUGAUAAAUUGAGCACUCAAUGGCGUGGCUACUUGUUCGGUUUUUCGCUCUUUGAUGAUAAAUUUAAUAUUUAGUGGGAAAAAUAAUAAAUUACCUCUUAUAUAUGGUUAAUGGUUGAUUUCUUAAAUAACCCGGUGCGUGUUGGUUUGCUUCUUUCCAUUUGAUGCGGGACAAAUGUCUUUUCCUGGUUUGUCCACAAACGUUCUAACUUCUACCAAAGUGACUGCUCCUUCUUCCUGGCCCAUACACCUUUGCCUUGGGUCGUAUCUGUGCCUCCUCAAGCUUGGUCUAUGGGCAUGAUUGCCAUGUUAGUGCUACCGUCUACACCUUGUUUAUAAUCUUUGGCUCCAUCAUCACUGUAAACACUUGUGGUAAACAAAAAGAAGAAAUAUAGCAAGAUCACAUCUCCUGAACUUCGAAGCAGCACGUAUGUAAGCACCUCCCUCAUCUCCCACUCUAAAAAGGGAAAGUCCUAGACCACACAAGCGUACAUGCCCACUUCCAUAAUGGGUGUAUCUCCCUUCCUAGCUAUCCCCACCGCUCUUAUCGUCAAUACUCAAUCUCGAUCUGGUUCCCCCCUACUCAUUACUUGCCGAGCUAGCUGAUCGAUAUCUAAGUAUCUUCGCUUCACGUACUUAAUCAGAAUCAGAAUGAUCAUGGUGAUACGCCUAGCCCUAGCUUAUAUCUCAAUCAUAUGCUAUUAGCAGAAGCCACGUGGUCGGCGACUCGGCGUGGUUUUGAAGAUCGUGUUCUUUGAUUUGAUAAGAAGAUUACGAUCGAAUCUUGUGUAACUUUACUAAAUCAUACUUAGCUGACUAAUUAUGUAUCCUUAAGAUCGGAUUUAGGCUUUUUAUUAGGUCUAUACAUUGUUAUGCAAAGCAUGAAAUCUAAUCUUACUUAGUAUAAUCAACAAGGAAUAUUAAUCAAAGGCCUGCAUGACGUUCCCACAAACCAUGAGACAAAGUCGAUGAUAUAUUCUUUUCUUUUUCUUUUGCAGCAUUACGAAUUUAUUUAAUUUUAAAGCAUAUAUACUUUAAACUUCUUUAGCGCCGGAUUAGUUCUUUUUUGGCGCCGGUUUAUGUCUAUUAUUAUGAUCAACGAGGGUCUGUUGCUCUUUGAUUGGCCCAAUUGCUUGAGUUUUGAAAGCAAAAGGAUGAUUGCUUUAUCCUUUUUCUUUUUCCAGAGUAUAGGGCCUGCCUGCCAAUAUAGUUUUAUCUUCUGUGUUCUUCUUUAUCUCUUAAGCUUUGGUUAGCUUAGUCGUAUAAAUGUGAUUUGCGAAUUCGAUUAGCUUAAUCAAGGGUGAUUAGGGCACGUUUGUUUCUGUCCUGGAUAUUCAAGGCAUUUGUACCCUUUCACAUAUUCUACUCUAGAAGAUGGAUGUUGUCAUGCUGAUCUGCAUGUGAUUUCAGUGACAGCAACAAAGGCCAGUAUAUAGCUUCACCUUUUUAAUUUGGCCACCCCCUUAAAUCCCUCUUACUUUAGAUGAUUAUAUACACUCUAAUUCUGCAAUCUAGCUUCUACCUGUGAGCUAGCUAGCUGUUUGAUACAGUCUGAUGAUAUCUUGUUCAUUUUCAAAAUGCAUGUCAGGAAAUGAAUGUUAAGGAACUUCUGACGCAUUGAGAAACUCAUAAAAGUUGAUGUAUGAAUUACACCAUUUUUGCAAAACGAGACUCUGAUAUAUGCUGCAUUCUGAUGUUUUCUUACUAACAAGCGCGCGUUUGCAUCUGUUAUUCACAAAAGAGGCACUAUGAAAAGAAUCAAAUGGGAAAGGAAACACUGUAUAAGUCCUUAACUAAAAUCACAAUGCAAUUAACUUCUCUGUACGUGAAUGCCACCAAAAAUCACAUCCCUCCAGAAUCUCAAUUAUAUUUUAUCCAUGAACAUGGACCAUCCCAGGCCAAGGAAGGAAGAGAUAGGGUUUGAGAGGAGAGAAGAAGCUAGGUCGACUGGUAUCAAAAUAAAGAGAGAGCAAAGGAUUGCAAGGUCAGGGAUUUAAAAUUACAAGACGCAUCGAUCGGUGGGAGGAACAUGAAGCUGAAUAAAUGUAUGUGGUUGGGGUUUGAAUACGUAUGGGCCGCUGGAAGAGAUAAAGAGAUAAAGUCGUUUCUGGUUCUUUGUUUUCUUUUGAUCUCUGUGUAUAAAAUAAUAGAGAAUGCCCAAUUGAAGAUAAACCCACACUGAUUCCAUACGUGAUGCGUCUCUCUUUCUCCUCCUAUAUAAAGCCCCACCUCCUCCUUAUGUUUUCCCACAUCCAAGGCUCACAGCAAACCGGUGUUCCACUUUCAUACAACAGUAGCUAGCCUAGUUUUGGGUUUGGGGGAAACAUAUAUAAAUAUCUUAGCUAGGGUUCUGGGAUCAAUAUGAUCCAUGCCAGCAGCCUCCAUCUCGAUCGAGCAGCCUCCGUCGAUCUGGUGCUAUAUUUGGGCGAUAAAGGGUAAAGGAGGUGACAGAAGAGAGUGAGCACACACGGUGUUUUCUUGCCUGCUGUGUUUCAUGCUUGAAGCUUUGCGUGCUCACUCUCUAUCUGUCACCCCAAGUUCCUUUCUCUCUCUUCUCUCUAUCUUUCUGUUCUGUUUCAGAAUCGAUUUUGUUUGAUUGAUACUCUUUGUGAACGAUUGGUAUGAUGUGAACACCAAUGAUUCAAAGAUUCCUGUCGUCGUCAGUGAGAUUCAUAACCCAGUGGUCCUAAUUAGAUUGUGUUGAUUCCUGGUUAGGGAUUAGGGGUUAGGGCUUUUAUUUGGUUUUUUUUUUUUAAUUUUUUCUUCUUGAUUUCGUUGCAUUGAAAUCGUAUGCAGGAGAAUCAAAUUCAAGUUUUUUCGAUUACGCUGUCAAAUUUAGGUUUCUUUUGUGCUGAUGUUAUAAAUCAAGUAUGACCAUAUUUCUAGCAGAUUGCUGGGUUAAUUCAUCGCAGCAGAGGAUUAAAGAUUGUUGUUGGCGAGUGAUAACACAUGCUGCUGGAUGCUGAAGUGUCUUGAUGAUUUGAAAAAUUGGAGUUCUUGAUAACGGAGUCCAGCUAUCUGGGAAAUUGUUUAAGCCUUAUAGAUGGAAUAAUAACCAAGGAUUUUGAGUCCAGAUAAAUUAGGAAGAAUUCUGAUACUUUUUGUUUGGUUUGAUAUGAACAGAUCGAAAUCUUGUUAUUUUAUUUUCUGUAUCUUUUUAUUAAGAAUCAAUUAUCAUUCUUGUGUUUUGCUUUCCUGGUUUUAUAUUUUUGGAUGCUGAGUAAAAGAGAAACGAAGAUUAAACCCAACUGAUCAAUUAUUAAUCUUUUGAUUGCAUGGAUUAGGAGGAUCAAUCUAGGUAACAUCCAAAUCCAUGUAAUGAUCAAGAAAAAGUUAGCUACUCAAGUGUAAUGCACCUAGCUAGCUAGUUUUAAAGAAUUGCUAACCUGCAGUACUGCUUUUAACCAUGGGUGUAAUUACUCACUAUUGCACAGAAGAAUUGAGUAUAUAUAAUAUGUUGAAAAGAGAGAAAGAUAAAGUGGUCGAGAGAGAUAAGUAGAGUAAGAAUGAACUAGAUCCUAUAAUUCAUGCUGCUGAUUUUAACUGCUAACAUCGAUCACAUACAUGUCAUCGAAUGCAUAUAAGAAGUUACAAUCAUAGAAUGUGAAACUUCAGUGAGGUAACCAGCUGAUCUUAAUACCAAUUCGUUUGCAGUAAUCUACACUUCCAUAUUUUUAGGUUCUAUGGACUCAUGUUUAACCCCUUUACAGUCUUCUUUUCAAUCUGAAAUAAUAGUUCGAUAGUGCAUAUCGAGAUUAUGGGUGUCCCCAAUUGAAUGUAUCUGCUAGUUGCUACUUGCUACCAUAGUUAGUUGCCUGGUCAUUGUCUUUCGGCUGGGAUAGCGAAGGAUGUUCCUGAUAAGUAGUUUUCUUGCUGAUAUAGGACCACCUGACAUAUAUUGCUACUGAUGAUACAAUAUAUAUAUAUAUAUAGAACCAAAGCAAUGGAGAGUCAUUGCNNNNNNNNNNNNNNNNNNNNNNNNNNNNNNNNNNNNNNNNNNNNNNNNNNNNNNNNNNNNNNNNNNNNNNNNNNNNNNNNNNNNNNNNNNNNNNNNNNNNUUAAUGACCUAACGACAUUGGCUUAACUGUGAGUGCAUUCAUCUUUAGUCAUUGACAUUGUUUUGGGGUGAUUGAAGCGUAUCUAGUGGUGGAGAGAAGUUCCUAGCUAUUGUUUCUCUCAUAUUUACAUCCAUAUUCACUUUUUAAUAUUCUGUUUUCAGCAGUACUUCUGUUUUAUCUAUUUUUGUUCACCAAUCAAACCAACUCCGAAUACCCUCAAAAUUUGUGUGGUAGUCCGCCACUGUGUCUAGUUACUGUGUACUUAAUUUCAUAAUUUUUGGUUGAGUCUAGAUUAGCUAAUUAAUUAGGUUUCUGCUCCUAGGUCGAGUCUGCCAGAUUUCUGGUUUACGCGUCUGUUUGUGUUUCUUAUGUGUUUAAGUCUUAGCAUCACCAAUCCUCUGCGGGUAAUGACCCCUAUUUGCCGUUUACUACAUUGAUAUAAUUGAUUUGAUAAUAGGGUAUCUUUGUAGGUGCUUUUGCGCCUAUCAUCGAGGCAUAGUCAGAGGCUGCUUCCGCUUAUUCGUUAUUCAUUGGUUUUCGUUCAUUAUUAGAUAUGCUCUGAAAAUCCAGUAGUAAUUAAAUUAUUAAAUGUCCUUGUUGUUGGUGGUAGGAUUCUUUUAGAUUAGUAUUUGAUAUUCUGGGAGAUGUGUUGAACUUGGGGAGCAAGAAGGCUCCAGGAGUACAAGGUUGGAAUAUGAUUUUAGAAGUGUGUUGCAAGUUGGUUUUGAUUAGGUAAGGUUGUCCGUUUUCAAGGGAGGUUGUGCCAAAAUUUUUGUUUUGGUAAAAUCUCUCUUGAGGUGGACCCCGCAGGGUUUACCUUGGAUUUCAGGGUGAAAUUCGGGGUGGGUCCUGUCAAUAGAGAUGUUAUUAUGACUACAUUCAUAGACUGCAUGUUCAGUUAUUCGGAAACUACCAAACUGAUAAAGUAGUGGAGUGCAAUGACAUCCAUUACGAGACUUUAUCUCAUCGUAGUCGAUCUCAGUCGUGUUGGUGAGAGACUUUGCGUCAUAAGAUGAGUUUAAGCUCUUGUUCAUACUACACUAUCUAACAAAGGCAUAAUUGAUAGAGUUUCGCUUGCGGUGUCGACAUCAACUGCCCAAUGACCUAUCUCUUUGUUAAUACUGGAUCACAUAUUUCUGUUAGGCCUCAACUAAGUUGAUAUCCAUCAACAAAAGGUGGUUCGAUAGUAGACUCAUUAUCUCACGUCCUCAUGUACAAUAGUGUAAUACUUGUAGAGAUCUCUAUAUGGAUUGGAUUUGACCUUGAGGCGUCCCCCAACGAUAUUCAUAAUUCAGACUUCAUGAGACGGAUUUAAGUAUCACUGAUCAAUGGAUCAGGUUGUGUCAAGCUCGCUUUCUUCCUAGUGUGAGAAAGUAUCGAACCUAAAGGCCUCCCUCCUUUUGGGGAGCCACACGGCCUUGUGACACCAAUUUUGCCACUAUAUGGUGUCACCAUUCAUGGUGAUGGCGUCAAGACCAACUCCUUUUGGUCGCGUCAUGUCCUCCUGAUAGGACAUGAAUCCUUAUAGACAUAUUUGCAAUAUGUGAUCUCGUCAUUUUAACACUAAGCAUUUGGGAUCAAGAUGAGACUUAGUGGGGACAAACCACGACAAUUCACGUCAUUCCACUUGAACACUUAUGUUCUUAUCUCCCCCUAAUGGUGGGAAUAUUGUCUCAUCAAAAUGACAAUCCGCAAUUUAGCGGUGAAUGAGAUCGCCUGACAAGGUUUUUACGUACAUAAGCGGAUUCCAGGUGGAGAUUCAUAUCCAACCUAAACUUAUUCAUCUUAAAUGACUCAUCAUUGAGCACAGUGGCAUUGCGAUUUGACACCUAGAAACAACAUCUAGCCAAGCUCAAGGAUUGGAGAUCAGUUUCAAUCCUGCCGAGCUCAAGGAUUGCAAUUUCGUGUCAAUCCUCGUACACAGUCACGAGCUAUAGUACAAAAAUAUUCAAUGAUGGUGGGUCGUAGAUGAAUAGUAAAGCUGCAUGCAAAUAUUGCAUAUCCCCAAGACGCAAUAGAAAGAUUGGUGCGCAUCAAUAAUGUUCGAGCGACAAGCUUAAGUUGUUUAGUCGUAGCCUCAGUGAGACCGUAUUGCAUGUGAACAUGGGGUACGGGACACUUCAACUUAUAUCCCGAUAAACUUCUUUAAAUAAUGGGUAGUGAGCCCAUAAAAGUAUAAGCAGGAUAAACAGUAGAUAAUAGUGUAACACGUGACCAGUGUGUUAACACUUCAACUAACACCAUAAAGCAUAAAACAGGAUAAGCAGUAAAUAAUAGUGUAACACGUGACCAGUGUGUUGACACUUCAACCAACACCAUAAAGCAUAAAAAGGUGUCUGUAAGUUGGUUGUAUCUAUCUACAUAGUUUGAUGUAAGAAUAGAAUAUUCUCUUUUGUGUCAUUUAGCGUUGGAGGGUCUCACUCCUAAUUUAGCUAAAAAAUAAGCUCUCAAAACGAGCAAUGAGCAUUACAGGGGGCCAAUGAGACAUCGAGAGAAGGCCGGUGCACCUCAAUUGCUUGAGGAAUUGACCGGACGGCCUCUGGGAAGUUGGAGCCAUGUUCGGGUGAUGUCAAUGUCCCCAAGGUGUCGCCAUUUAUAACCAUGGCGUCACCAUCAUUCUUCAUGGAGAAGCUAGAUCCUAAAUGUCUUCAUUUUGAGCGGAAUAAUAGAUGUCCAUGAGAAGUUCACAAAAUUUGGACCAUUAUAUCUCUUUCAGGAUAACCGAUUUGGUCAAACCAAAGCCUAUAUGAGGCGGUGUCCCAAAUAUCAUGUUUGGUGACAACAAGUGAUUUGAUAUUCGAAUCAUAGUGACAUACAAUCCACUAGAUUGACUCAUAAACUUCUCUAAGAUGCAUUUCAGUCCGCAUUAUGAGAAUGUAUACACAAAAUAAUUCUUGUUCAUUCUUGUUCAUUCUCACAAUGUGUUUUCAAAUGAAAACUAUUAACAAGAAUGUCUUUAAAGCUCAACAUGGUUCGGUUGCCUCUCAAUGCAUAGAGGACAUCUGUGACGUUGAUCAUGGUACCAUGAGGCAUCUAGAUUCAAGCUAAAUCACGUCCCUAAAUGACUGGAAUGAUUCAAGUAUUGUAGUCACAGAAGAUUUACAAAGGCACAAAAUCCAAAGAUAGUUGCCGAUUCCUUAUAAUGUUGUGGAUAGUUCCACUAUCUGCGAGGCACUCAAUGUGUCUAUGAGACAGAUUUACAAAAUGGAGUAGAUAGGAGAGUAAAUAGUUUCACUUGAACCAUUUAGAAGGAUUGAAAGAAGCUACAAAAAGCUGCAAUCUCGAGAGUGCAUAAAAAUUUCUGGGCAGAAUGACAUUUGCCCACAAAAAUAGCCAUAACUUCUUCGUUAAAAUAGAUAUGGACGAACUGUAAAAAGUUCUGAAAACUAGACUUGUAGAGCUGUCCAAUGAUAUAAAGCUCACUGUCUAGUUCGUCCGGAGCUGUUCACAAAGCUCAAACGAAGUUGACUAUCCAAAAGGAACAAAUUGCUGUUUUUCGCAGAUUUGGCAUUGGCAAAGCUUUGAAGCUUGCGGAUGCAUGUGGGCAUAAGUCGAAGCAAAAAUGAUGUGUAUGAUCAAAAUCAAGUCCUUUCGGUCUUUCCAAGGUCGUAAACUCCAUGACUACUUAGCGAAAGCUCCCUGACAUGAACAUAAACUAACUCAAAGGACCUAGAGGAUUCGAUUAUGAUGAUUGUCCGGUUUUGAUAAGUCUUCAACGUCUUUUGCAAGACGACUAUUGGUUAAUAGUGUAGGGGAAACCAAGAUCAAAAGCUUUCAGUAACUCCAAAUUAGUAUGACCAGGCAUGUCCGUGCAGGGUCGGUAAUGCAAGGCACAUUUGAAACCAUUAUCUCCUUAAUUUCGAACAAUUCUAAGACAUCACACUGAGGUUGGAUGAGCCUAGUUGAACAGUUGAUGAUGGAAAAUCCGUUAUAGGGUAGAAGACUUAACCGGAAAACACGUGGGCGAUCCUCCUUAAAGAUGCGGUGUCGUGAGUCACCUUCAAAGGAAGAGACCAAAAUCGGCACAAUAUGUCAUGUUUUUAAGGACGAUGUAAGAAUGUACAUCUUGUUUGUAAAUCAAUACGAACCAUAAGAGGAGAAUAGUUUCACUUUGAAAAAAAUUCUCAAGGCAUUCAUUAUUGCUAAUGUGAGUAUAUCAAGAUCUCAAAUAGACGAAGGACGUCGAUACAACGCCUUAUUACAUAUAGCUUGGAACGAAAAUCAAUGUCUAUCCGAUGACGUCAAAGUCAUGGGUAGCUAGAGCAGGAUCCGAAUCUUUGAAAUCCGCGAUCAUAAGGAUAACGUUAUUGUCCUCGUAUCGAUUUUCCGUACCUUUUCUGUAUGCAUUCACUAUUUAAGGAUGAACUUAACAAUCUUGAACCAGUGAUCCGGAGAUCCACAGCGGUUGCAUUGUCAUGAGUUGACAUGAGUAGUUUUGACAGAUUGGUGUCUAGACCGGGAGUGUCGCCAUUAGGGCCAGCGACACCUCCCCCUCUUUUCUAGACAUCGACACGACAUUUUCUGCUGUUGCCGUGACCCAUAUUGUUGUCCCCACAUUAGGGGACAAUCCCAAACACGUUUAUCGCAUUAGCAUAUGUACAAUUCCCGUUUGCAAUUGUAUGAUCAAAAUUAAGUCUCGUUGGUAAUUCCAAACCAACUUGGAGGACCUAGAGAACUUGAUGAUGAUUAAAUCCGCUAAAGAUUAUGAAUCAUGAUGCCACAAAAGAUCAUCGACAAUAUGUAGUCAAUUAAGGUGAUAAGCAAUCCACUUGACUAAUAACUCAACAACAUUUCAAGAAACGUUCCAUGGGUGCAUUCCACAGUACUUUGUGGUCAUUACUUUUUGCACAGAUUACCAUUGAAGGCUUUUGUUGAUGUGGCGCUUCAAAACUUUGAGCGUAAGAGAUGUGAAAUCUCAGCAUCUAGGCUUGUUAGCCUAAGGGUCAAAACAUAUGGUUUAAUCAUUUUCAAUGAAAGGUUCUACAAAUACCAAGCGAAGAUUCGCCUUAAAUAUCGAGUACGUCAAAACUCAAAUGAGGAAAAUGUUACGUUGCUCUUGCAUACAAAACCAAGCUGUUAUGAGACUCGAUAGAGGUCACAAACAAUCCGAAAAAGCUGCAAAUUGAUCAAACACAAUUUGAAAAAAGGCCUCGAAUUGAUCAAACACAAUUCGGAGAAAAGUCGGGGUUGAUCAUACACAACUCUGACAAGAAAACAAGAGUGAUCAAACACACUCUUAACCUACGAAUAAAAUUCUGGGAUUUUUACCUGCACACACAAAAUCUCAAGCAUACAAUGGAGUUGGAGAAAGGAGGAAAGGAUUUUAUGCUCCCCGAGUUAUUGAACUUAGAAAAGUUUAGGGUUUCAAAACAUACCUUUCGAAACUUCAAACACUUGAAGAAGUCAAAAAUUGUAGUCGGAGGAAACCAAAAAUCGCCGGCGGGCGACGGCCAAGGGAUUGGCAACCGGUGAUGUCGGACGGUGGCUGGGAAAAUAGGCGACGACGGCGGCGGCGGUUGGACAUAGGAGCCGAAAAACGGUUUUUUUUAGGGUUUCGGAAAAUAAAUGGUAGACUAUUGGCUCUAGGGUUAGAACAAAGUGUAUGAUAACGUGAUGAAGUAUAAAAGGUAGAGACAAAGAUAACAAGAGAAUCUUCAUCUUAUUCAUUUAUAGGAGCCCUUUAUAUAGGGAAUUAUAAAGUACCAAUAUGGUAAUGAUAAGGAAUACAUAGUCCUAUUCCAACUACAUAUCCUGAUGGCAUAAGGACAAUGCACACAUAUGAAAUAUCCUAGAACAACUAACUAUAUAUAAGGUUUAAAUUACAGGGAUCCGACUCUUCCAAAGUGAGAAAAGCCUAAAGUUAGUAAAUUUCAUCAAAUCUAGAUGCUUCAUAUCAUCUAACGGUUCAAACCAAUUACAAGUCAUUUUAUCAUCAUUUUUCAAUAUUUUAGUCUAAACGCCGCUAACUUGCGGUUAACUCAAAAAAAAAAUUAGGGUUUUGACGUGAUCUUUCUCCUUUUCAUAUGCUUUCAUGGAAACUCAUUGAUGGUUGAAGAAAAGAAUAAUUUUAAUCAUGCAAUUGCAUUCGAGUUCUAGUAAAAAUAAUUUAAACCAUUAGAAUUAAACUUUAAACUCUACAAAUGUAUAAAACCCUUAUCAGUGAAAACCCCCAUAUGCUGAAUCGAAGUCCCUAGUUUGUCCCACCAUACUGGAUGAUUCAUGAUUGAAUGAUUCCUAACUCAAUGGAGUUUAUCAACACAAUUGCAAUUUUAUUAUAAUCGUGUAUUAUAUUAAGACCUGCAGAUCAAUGAAUUUGAAAAGAUUUUUCUUUAGCCAUGGACUAGUUUCAACAUAGCCAAAGAAUGCUGCGUUUGUUCUGUGUAGCGCAUAGAAAGGAGGAAGAUCACGACCAGUCCAUAUAUUUCGGAGUUAAUGUCAAGUUAACGGUGUUUAGACAAAAAUCUCAAAAAUUAUUAGUAUAGUGAUAUGUCAACGGUUAAGACCGUUAGAUUAUAUGAAACAUCUAGAUUUUAUGAAAUUUACGUAAUUUUACGACUUCCUCACUUUAGAAGAGUCGGAGUAGCUCAGGCUAUAGUAAGUUUGUACUGCUUAUAAUCUCUGUCUCUCUGAAUAAACUGCUCUCAUCUAGUUCUUAAGCAUGUCCAACUUUCGUAAUAGUCUUGUUUCUCCUUGUAGUAAAAUGUCAUUGGCCUAAACUUGUGAUCAAAUGUCAGCAUCCGAGUACUUUUCUGACUUCCACAUCAUCCCUUUUCUUCACGAGAAGAAGCAGUCCACCAAGUACUACAAUCACAUGUUUUCUUAUAUAUUUUUGCUUUCGGGCUUUCUCUGCCUACCGCAUCCAUCAAGUUGAAGCUCUUCUCCUUUUAAAAAUACCUAAGCAAGUGAUUAUCUCAUCAAAAUAAUCUACAUGCAACCAAGAUAUAUAGCUAGCAACCAAUCCAAACAAUAUUUUUAUCACGCAAACUCAGAGAGAUGACAAAUCCAUCGCGACUUGGGGCCAAACAGAUUAGGCUUCACAGAUUGUUCUUUUGCUUAGAUAUGUCCACACUAGGGCCAUCAUGCGUGGAAAUUUAUAUGUUAUUGAACUGUUUCUUGCUGACAUUGAAGACCAAGCAUACGUGCGCUUCAUGGAAGCUGCAAUCAUUUUCCUUUCCUUCUUUCCUCUAUAUAAUCUCCGAGUGUUGAGUCGCAUAGUUCUAUAUUACUUCUAUUGUUUCACACUUUGGCCUAUAAUGGUGCAAAUGUUGAGUUCAACCAAAUUCAUGGACACGGUUCCAUUUCCUUUCCUUGUUCUUGUUUUGGCACUUCUUUUUCCAUUCAAAUCAUCUGCAGCUUUUAAUNNNNNNNNNNNNNNNNNNNNNNNNNNNNNNNNNNNNNNNNNNNNNNNNNNNNNNNNNNNNNNNNNNNNNNNNNNNNNNNNNNNNNNNNNNNNNNNNNNNNNNNNNNNNNNNNNNNNNNNNNNNNNNNNNNNNNNNNNNNNNNNNNNNNNNNNNNNNNNNNNNNNNNNNNNNNNNNNNNNNNNNNNNNNNNNNNNNNNNNNNNNNNNNNNNNNNNNNNNNNNNNNNNNNNNNNNNNNNNNNNNNNNNNNNNNNNNNNNNNNNNNNNNNNNNNNNNNNNNNNNNNNNNNNNNNNNNNNNNNNNNNNNNNNNNNNNNNNNNNNNNNNNNNNNNNNNNNNNNNNNNNNNNNNNNNNNNNNNNNNNNNNNNNNNNNNNNNNNNNNNNNNNNNNNNNNNNNNNNNNNNNNNNNNNNNNNNNNNNNNNNNNNNNNNNNNNNNNNNNNNNNNNNNNNNNNNNNNNNNNNNNNNNNNNNNNNNNNNNNNNNNNNNNNNNNNNNNNNNNNNNNNNNNNNNNNNNNNNNNNNNNNNNNNNNNNNNNNNNNNNNNNNNNNNNNNNNNNNNNNNNNNNNNNNNNNNNNNNNNNNNNNNNNNNNNNNNNNNNNNNNNNNNNNNNNNNNNNNNNNNNNNNNNNNNACAAUAUGCCCAUCACUUCGAAGGUGGAUGUCUACAGUUAUGGAAUUGUUGUGCUAGAAAUGCUCACCGGGAAGAACCCAACUGAAAGCAAUCUUCAAUCGGUUGAAGGUGGAGGAGAGACACACAAGAAGAUGAUGGCACAAUGGGUGAUGGAAAAAAUGAAUGGAGCAUUAGCAAAUGCAGAGACCAAAAUGGGAGGUGAAAAUGAAAAGGGUAAGCUGGAAAUUCUUGUUAAAGUGGCGCUCCAGUGUAUAGAGGAAGACAGAAAUGCAAGACCCUCUAUGAGUCGAGUAGUUGAGAUGCUUCUACAUCAUCAAUUUCAGGGGUGACUUUCAUAGACCAACAUGUAAUUUGUAUAUGUUCCUUCAAUCUGUUCUAAAAUUUGUAUACGCUCCAAUUUGUUCAAUUGUAUCACAGUCAUUGUUGCUUCCAGUUUCAAUUUAGUCUGAUCGGGUAAAUUUGCUUUUCAUGUUUUCCAAUUUUGUAAUAGAACAUCAACACAACUCAGUUUGUAACAUUUCCAGAUUCUGAUCCACCCAGUUACUCUUUUUAUGUCAAUAAAACCAAAGGCUCAUCAUCAGUUUGCUCCUCCUCCUCUCUGUACACUACCAAAAUUAUUCCGACUGCUACUAUUAACAAACAAAAAAACAAACGGAAAUUUAACAACAGAGCUUAAUUCUUUGGGCUGGCCUAACUCGAAGGUUUCUCCGAUAAGGGUUUAACUGGGUCCGACUCCUCAACAUUGAUCACCAACUUGGAUCAUAGAUUCAUAAUCCUAGAGCUUGCUGCUACAGUCACUCUACUACACCUUGCUAAUCCCAAUCCGCUUUACAACUGUGUUUCCAAUGGCUGCUUCAGUAUGCAUCAUCAUUCCCUUGUGCUCAAUCCCAGACAUAUAAUUCCUCACUUCCGUUCUGAUCAUCUCCUACAUCACAUCCAAAAACUCCGCGGUGAAGAACUGCUUAUCAAUCCCCACCUCACUACUGUUUUGCUUCCCCACACGCGCCGUCGCUGUUAAGAGUGUAAGGCUAGUUUAGUCUUUUCCUAUUAAUCCCUACGAUGUUACUGUGCACAAAAUUAAUCAGAGAAAUAAAAGAUGUAGUCCCAAAACCACUGCUGCGUUUCUUUACUUUUCAGCUUUGUUCUUACAUUUUCAAUAAACCAUAAUUCAUAUUAGCCGCAACCGCUUCGGCUUCUUGAGGUUGAGCUUGAAUUACACGAGGCUGAUGAACUACUUGAGGCUUGGGGAUCACAAUCCAGCUGGAUCCGGAUCCUGAUUAUGAUCUCUGAUGAGUCGGCCCUUCGUUGGAUCCGGGAAGCGAAACAAGUGUGAGACAUUGAAAGCCCAAAUUGACUCACUGAAAGGUUGGCUUUUGUUGGCUCAGAUGACGGGGCAUGAGCCCAAUAACAUAUUAUCGAGCCCAUAGACAAAGUCCUAAAAAUUCACACUUGUACCACAAAAAAUCUGUUUAGUCAUCUUUGUUUUCAGUUUGUCCAUGGAAUGAGACCCAUUAAGUACUUGUCAAACAUACCAGUCUUCACUUUCACAUAAUAUUCUACAGAUCACAAACCAUACUAGGUAUGUUGGCAGCAAGGAUCAAACUCCAGGAGGGUUCCAGCACUAGUCCUUCCUUACCGGCCUGACAAAAAAAAAAAAGAUUAAAUUAUAAAUUGUUCUCAUCUAGUUCUCUUGUCCAUCUUUUGUAUCGGUCGUUGUAUUUCCUCAUAGCAUGUAAUCCCAUUGGCCUAAGUUACAUCUCUUUUUCCUCAAUCCUCCAAAAUAUUACUAACUAUAUACAAGGUUUAAAUGAUCUGGCUCUGAGGAAAGCGUAAAGUUAAUAAAUUUCAUUAAAUCUAGAUGUUUCAUGUCAUCUAACGAUUCAAACCAAUUACAUGUCAUUUUAUCAUCAUUUUUCAAGAUUUUAGUCUAAACACCACUAACUUGCGGUUAACUCAAAAAAAAUAUUAGGAUUUUGACGUGAUCUUUCUCCUUUCCAUAUGCUUUCAUGGAAACUCAUUGAUGGUUGAAGAAAAGAGAAUAAUUUUAAUGAUGCAAAUGCAUUCGAGUUCUAGUAAAAAUAAUUUAAACCAUUAGAGUUAAACUUUAAACUCUACAAAUUUAUAAAACCCUUAUCAGUUGAAUCGAAGUCCCUGGUUUGUCUCACCAUACUGGAUGAUUCAUGAUUGAAUAAUUCUAACUCAAUGGAGUUUAUCAACACAAUUGUAAUUUUAUUAUAAUCGUGUAUUAUAUAAAGACCUGCAAAUCAAUGAAUUUGAAAAGAUUUUUCUUUAGCCAUGGACUAGUUUCAACAUAACCAAAGAAUGCUGCGUUUGUUUUGGGUAGCGCAUAGAAAGGAGGAAGAUCACGACCAGUCCAUAUAUUUUGGAGUUAAUGUCAAGUUAACGGUGUUUAUACAAAAAUCUUAAAAAUUAUUAGUAAAGUGACAUGUCAACCGUUAAGACCAUUAGAUUAUACGAAACAUAUAAAUUUUAUAAAAUUACGUAACUUUAUUUAUAAAAUUUACGUAACUUUACGACUUCCUCACUUUAAAAGAGUCAGAGUAGCUCAGACUAUAGUAAAUUUGUACUGCUUGUAAUCUUUGUCUCUCUGAAUCAACUGCUCUCAUCUAGUUCGUAUGCAUAUCCAUCUUUGGUAAUAGUCUUGUUUUUCCUUGUAGUAAAAUGUCAUUGGCCUAAAUUUCAGAUCAAAUACUGUGAGCAUCCGAGUACUUUUCUGACUUCCACAUCAUCCCUUUUCUUCACAAGAAGAAGCUGUCCACCAAGUACUACGAUCACAUGUUUUCUUUUAUUCAUACCAGACAAGUUCUUAUUUUUUCUUUCUGGCUUUCUCUGCCCACCGCAUCCAUCAAGUUGAAGCUCUUCUCCUUUUAAAAAAAACCUAAGCAAGUGAUUAUCUCAUCAUCAUAAUCUACGUGCAACUAUGAUAUAUAGCUAGCAACCAAAUCCUUAUCACGCAAACUCAGAGAGAUGACACAUCCAUCGCGAUUUGUCCCUCCAAAUGGGCCAAACUGAUUAGGCUUCCCCGAUUGUUCUUUUGAUUUGUCCACACAAGGCCAUGCGUUGUAAGUUUAUAUGUUAUUAAACUGUGUCUUGCUGACAUUGAAGACCAAACAUACGUACGCUUCAUGGAAGCUACAUUCAUUUUCGUUUCCUUUUUUCCUCCAUAUAAUCUCCAAGUGUUGAGCUGCAUAGUUCUAUUGUUUCACACUUUGGCCUAUAAUGGUGCAAAUGUUGAGUUCAACCAAAUUCAUGGACAGGGUUCCAUUUCAUUGCCUUGUUCUUGUUUUGGCACUUCUUUUUCCAUUCAAAUCAUCUGCAGCUUUUAAUUUGAGCAUGGGAUCCUCUCUUUCAGUAGAAAAUCCAGCUCAAACUUUGAUGUCGCCGGACGCCGUAUUUACCGCUGGCUUUUUUCCGGUCGGCGAAAACGCGUUUUGCUUUGGAAUAUGGUUCUCGGAGCCAACAACCAGUACAGACAACCUCACCGUGGUGUGGAUAGCAAAUCGUGAGGAGCCGGUAAAUGGUCAACGCUCCAAGCUCACCCUGCACAAAAAUGGAAACCUUAUCCUUUCCGACAUCGACCGAUACACCGUGUGGUCCUCCGACACAGCUUCAAACUCAUCGGCCCACUUGCACCUCAGAAACACCGGCAAUCUAGUUCUUCUCGAAGAGCACGGCGUCGUGUUGUGGGAAAGCUUUGCUUCGCUGACGGACACGCUUUUGCCUCAGCAACCGCUCACAAGAAGCACACAGCUCAUUUCUUCAAGAAGCCUCACCAACUAUUCCUCCGGCUUCUACUCGUUUUACUUCGACAACGACAACACUCUUCGUAUACUCUACAAUGGCCCCGAGGUUUCGAGCAUUUACUGGCCCGAUCCAUGGCUUCUGAGUUAUCAAGCAGGAAGAUCCACAUACAACAACACUCGAAUUGCAGUUUUUGACAGCUUGGGAAAUUUUAGCUCAUCUGAUAAUUUUACCGUUUGGNNNNNNNNNNNNNNNNNNNNNNNNNNNNNNNNNNNNNNNNNNNNNNNNNNNNNNNNNNNNNNNNNNNNNNNNNNNNNNNNNNNNNNNNNNNNNNNNNNNNNNNNNNNNNNNNNNNNNNNNNNNNNNNNNNNNNNNNNNNNNNNNNNNNNNNNNNNNNNNNNNNNNNNNNNNNNNNNNNNNNNNNNNNNNNNNNNNNNNNNNNNNNNNNNNNNNNNNNNNNNNNNNNNNNNNNNNNNNNNNNNNNNNNNNNNNNNNNNNNNNNNNNNNNNNNNNNNNNNNNNNNNNNNNNNNNNNNNNNNNNNNNNNNNNNNNNNNNNNNNNNNNNNNNNNNNNNNNNNNNNNNNNNNNNNNNNNNNNNNNNNNUGAUUAUGCCGUCUAUGGCAAUUACACAUUAGAUGAGUGCAAAAGUGUGUGCCUGGACUUGUGCAACUGUACUGGAUUCCACCACAAAUUUGGUGGCGGUCAGUAUCAGUGUUAUCCCAAGUAUCAAAUGCGAAAUGGCUACCGCUCGCCUGCUUUCGAUGGGGAGCUGUAUGUGAAGCUACCAAAAGGCCUCCUCAAUGCUACUUAUAAGGAUUCCAAAAUGUGCUCAGCUAAACUUACAGCACAACUUGACAGAACAUAUGAAAGAAGCAAUCCCAGUGGAUCGAUCCAGUUUAUGCUUAAAUUCGCAUCGGCCGUGGGAGGACUAGAGGUCAUUUGCAUCUUUGUUGUGUGGUUUUUUGUAACGAGAAGAAGCAGCGGGGAUAAAAAAGAUUCAGAAUUAGAAGCACUAGCUCAAGGCUACCUUCAAACUGCCAGUGGAUUCCGAAGGUUUACUUACUCCGAGUUGAAGAAGGCCACAAAAGGAUUCAAGGAAGAGAUUGGAAGAGGAGGAGGAGGAGUUGUGUACAAAGGCGUGUUGUCUGAUCAGCGAGUUGCAGCGAUUAAGCAACUGAAUGAUUGUAAUCAAGGAGAAGCUGAGUUCCUUGCAGAAGUAAGCCUUCUUGGUAAGCUUUACCAUAUGAACUUGAUAGAGAUGUGGGGUUAUUGCGUGGAAGACAAGCAUAGGCUUCUGGUGUACGAGUACAUGGAGCAUAGUUCCUUGGCAAAAGUUUUGUCUUCCAAAGUGCUUGAUUGGAAGAAGAGGUAUGACAUUGCUCUUGGCACAGCAAAAGGACUGGCUUAUCUUCAUGAAGAGUGCUUGGAAUGGGUUUUACACUGUGAUGUGAAGCCUCAGAACAUACUCUUGGACUCCUAUUACAAUCCCAAGGUAGCAGAUUUUGGGUUGUCCAAGCUAUUAAACAGAAGCGAGAACACCAACUCAGACUUCUCGAAGAUUAGAGGAACCAGAGGUUACAUGGCUCCAGAGUGGGUGCACAACAUGCCCAUCACUUCGAAGGUGGAUGUCUACAGUUAUGGCAUUGUUGUACUGGAAAUGCUCACCGGGAAGAACCCAACUGAAACCAAUCUUCAAUCGGUUGAAGGUGGAGGAGAGACACACAAGAAGAUGAUGGUACAAUGGGUGACGGAAAAAAUGAAUGGAGCGUUUGCAAAUGCAGAGACCAAAAUGGGAGGUAAAAAUGAAAAGGGUAAGCUGGAAAUUCUUGUUAAAGUGGCGCUCCAGUGUAUAGAGGAAGACAGAAAUGCAAGACCCUCUAUGAGUCGAGUAGUUGAGAUGCUUCUGCAUCAUCAAUUUCAGGGGUGAUUGUUCAUAUACUGGGAUCCUAACACCAUGUUCUUUAAUUUGUAUAUGUUCCUUCAUUGCUGCUCUUUAAUUUGUAUGUGUACCUUCAAUUUCUCCAAUCCAUAGUGAUUAUAAUUAGUCUUCCAUAGUCUGACUGGGUAAUUUUGCUUUUUCAUGUUUUCCAAUUUUGUAAUAGAACAUCAACACAACUCUGUAUGUAACAUUUCCAGAUUCUGAUCCACCCAGUUACUCUUUUUAUGUCAAUAAAACCAAAGGCUCAUCAUCCCCAGUCUGCUCCUCCUCUCUGUACAUUACCAAAAUUAUUCCGACUGCUACUUUAACAAACGAAAAAACAAACGGAAAUUUAACAACAGAGCUUAAUUCUUUUGGCUGGCCUAACUCGAAGGUUUCUCCGAUAAGGGUUUAACUGGGUCCGACUCCUCAACAUUGAUCACCAUCUUGGAUCAUAGAUUCAUAAUCCUAGGGCUGUUGCUACAGUCACUCUACUACUCCACCUUGCUAAUCCCAAUCCGUUUUACAACUGCGUUUUUAAUGGCUGCUUCAGUAUGCAUCAUCAUUCCCUUGUGCUCAAUCCCAGACAUAUAAUUCCUCACUUCCGUUCUGAUCAUCUCCUGCAUCACAUCCAAAAACUCCGCGGUGAAGAACUGCUUAUCAAUCCCCACCUCACUACUGUUUUGCUUCCCCACACGCGCCGCCGCAGCCGCAGCCGCAGCCGCAGCCGCAGCCGCUUCUGCUUCUUGAGGUUGAACUUGAAUUACUUGAGGCUGAUGAACUACUUUAGGCUUGGGGCUCACAAUCCAGCUGGAUCCGGAUCCUGAUGCUGAUCUCUGAUGAGUCCGCCCUUCGUUGGAUCCGGGAAGCGACAGGCUGAGUGAUGUCGGUGGAUCCACCGCCACCGCCAAAGCCACCGGCUCAACCGGCGGAGCAACAGUCAUCGCCACCGGCCGGAAGGCUGCUUGCGAAUGAGGAAUUACGCCGGGCAGACUAGAAUCGCUCAAGUCGGAUCCGGAUGGGCUGCCCGGGUUCAAGUACAGACCCGAGACGGUGGUACCGGCUCCGACGCUGGCCGAUCUUUUGAGAGGCUGAUGCUCCGGCGACAUGUCGUCGGACAUGGACGAGAAUUUGCGCUUGAGCGUCGAGUUCCAGUGGUUCUUAAUGGCGUUAUCGGUGCGGCCAUUAAGCAACCGCGAGAUGGUGGCCCACUUGUUCCCGAACCGGGCGUGGGCCCGGAUUAUGGUGUCGUCCUCUUCAGGAGUGAACGGCCGGUGCUCCACCUCCGGCGAGAGCUGGUUGCACCACCGUAGCCGGCACGAUUUCCCGGAUCGACCAGGGAUCGAUUUGCUGAUCAGAGACCAGUUCCUCGGGCCGUAGCUCUGCACCAGCCUCUGUAACGCUUCGUCUUCCUCCGGGCUCCACGGACCCUUUAUCCGAUCCGCCGCGGCUUUCUUGGUUGAAGAAGAAGCCAUGGAUAGUCUUCUAGAGCUAAAAAUUUUAAAAAUAAAGAAAUAAAAGAAAAUAAAAACUAAUCGAUAAAUUCUAGAUGGAAAUUUGGAGAUUUUCUGUACAAGAAGCUAGCUAGGGGCGAUGGUAGAGGCGGAGCCUCACCUUGUUCUGAGAGAGAAGAGGGGUGAUACAGGGGCGAGGGGUUUAUAUACGGACGGAAAGGGAAAUUAGGUCACUGGUGAUAGCCGGUUGCGUAACCGGUCUUAGCCGUUGAGAUGGGGAGGGGAUUCUUCCUGGCAAGGCAGUUACUCGCAUACAGCUGUCAAACCAACACGCGUCGCCUCCUAUCCCCUCCAUCUUACACGUAUAAAUACAAAAGCACAAUCACACUCUCUACUCCUUUUCUUUUUAGUAUAAAGUAAAAAAAGAACCAAAAUUAGGUUUCCCUACUCUCUUUUACUGUUUUAACUUUUAACCAGAAUAGUCCUUAGGGUGGGGUCCGGAGCUCAGCUCAUCUAAACUGAAUUUUACUGUGAUUUGGUAACGUAAAAACGGAAAUUUAACCGUUGAGGGAAAAGUAAAAAGCGUAAUAGUUAAACGGCCCAGAGAAUGUGCACCACGUCCCCAAAACCGCGGGCUUUAAAUACUGAAACGGCCGUUUUGGAAGUUAAAGAGAAAACGAUUUGGGAUAAGACUAGAGAGUUGAAAAUUGAUAGUGAUCUUAUCGCGAAGAAUAAGAAGCAAAAUGGAAAUCGAACGAAAUUAAAAAAAAAUAUUUAAAACGGAGGAUGUACGGUUUGGAUGGGAGCGUAGAAGGAUGACUUUGACCAAACAGCCAGGCUGUCUCGCAUUUUGGGUAAGAUAUUUUUUUAAUAAUAAAAAUAAGGGAGGGGGAAAGGGACGCACGGAAGUGCUGAGCUGGACGCAGAAGACGACAAAAUUGGGUAGCAGAAUCGGGGGACGAACGGUACUGGAGUUGUGUCAGUCCAGGCUGUAAAAUCUCAGGCCCACUCGAGUGGGAGCGAGUGACUUAUCUCCCCCUAACGGCCAACCCUUCACCGACACGUGUCGGUCACGCUCCCUCCCUGCGGAAGAGCCCAAACCGACUCCACCGUCUAACCGGCUUUAUUUAUUGCGUUUGCGUCACCUUCCUCGUUGCUUCUUUAACUAAGCUGUUAUGGUUGUUGUGUAAUCUUGUCUCUAAAUCUUCUUAUCUGGUGGAGGUCAAUGAAAUCAACAGCUAAUAUUAACUAGAAUUAGUAGUGUGAUCUGUGGUUUGGCAUAUUGAUUACUUGUUAUUGUCUUAUAGUAACUAGUAUCACGAGACAAAUAUAUGUAAAGCAAGUUUUGGAAACUCGUUAGGCGCUGCUAUGAGAAUUGAUUUGACAAGUUUGGAACAUCUAAUCAGGUUGACGGUCUUAUUUUAGAACAUUGAUAUAAAACUUAAAGAUAAUCAAACUUUUAAGCGAUAAUCAAAUUUCUAAACAUGGAUGGAUGGUAGGUUUGGAGCGUAUAGUAACAGUGCUGGGCGAUUUUGUCUAGUAACGUAACAGAGAAAUUACAAACUAUACACGGAACACCACAUGGUAUUUGAUAUUCUCUAAUACUAUUGGUUUAAGUGUUUUUAUCUUAUUUAUGAUUGGUCUAUUUAUUUACCUCUACUAUUUUUUUUUCACCUUUUGUACCAUCUUAUUAGAAAUUGAGUUAUAUGAAUACUACUUAACAGUGUCACGUGAUGUUCCGGGUAUAGAGAAUAAUUACUCGAUGAAUACAAGGGGGAGAAAUGUGUAGAAGCCUUGUGGUUAUGAGUUCUGACGAAGACAAUCAACCAAAUAUGAGUUCUGACGAAGACGAUGCGAGUGGGGAAGAGUAUGGAAAGAGAAACAGAAAAAACGGGAAAGGAAAGGGAGGAAAGCAACAAAAAACAGAAAGCAAAGAUUAAAAACAGAGGAGGGAGAGUGACGACUAGUCCCUUUGUAUACUGCUGCUACAGUACCACUGGUUCAACAUCCAAUUCAGUUACGCGGGAAACAGCUGUAAACACACACGCAUAAAUAGUGCACCUUCUCACGUGCCAACCCCACCCGUCUCCUACCUAACCUUGUCCUUUUACCCGUACUCCUCACGUGGCUACGUGCGCCACACGAGUGCAUCUCACGUGAGAUCCGCAUCCCCACGUACGGCCAACCCAGAUAUAAGGGGUGGUGAGAGUCUUCUCCAAUCUCACCUGCCCAAGGUUGGAGCCAAUAAUGCUAAUGGCCAAAUUGAUGUUAACGUCGGCGUUUUUAUAAUUAAUAACCCAACUCUAAUACAUUAUGCAUGCAUGUGUUGUUUGAUUUCUUUACUGGCUUUUCUUCAAAGUGCAUGCCUAACUUAAUAGCCUUCUAAGCCAAGUUGACACAAAGAGACAGCAAAAUAUAUAUAUUUGAUUAACGUGGGAUCCAUACGAUUUCAUACAUAAAUGAGAUGCUUAAUACUGUUAAGGCAGAGUUUAAACGAUGCGAUCCUUUAUGGAUGGGGGUUUAAGCCACAGUUCUAGAGCUAGAUGUGUUUGCUGAUUGAAAUUUUGAAAUGCAUGUAUAUAUAUGUCGAUCGCAGACCGCUCUUUAUUUUGAAAUACAUAUUAUUAUAUUAGUCAACCAAAGUCUAAACUCAUUCUGAAGUACUUGUAAAGUUCACUACAUUUCUCAUUCGACAAUGCAGUAAACUUUUACAAGUAUUUCCAUAGUUCUAUAAUUCCAUGUUCAUUAGGUUUAUUUACGUGCCUCUAGAAACGUUAAUGCGGAUUUAGAAAUGGGUUUGGAUUUUGAGAAAUGGGAAGGGCUGGACCAUAGAGUUGAUAGUGGAAUUAGGCUUAGCCAUGGGCCUCAAUAUUGAUAUGGGUUUAGCUUGUAUCAUCAACAACUAAUUGAGAUUGGCCGAGACCAUUUUUCUUUGAUAGAUUAUCAAUCAAAUUUUCCUUGGUUAUUCAAUGAAUCUGGUUAUUCAAAGCAAGUUCAAUAAUACAGUGUCAAUGACUGAUACAACCCUGAAAUAUAAGCUUAUUUGGUGUCAGAUUUCGAUGAAUCUGGUUAUUCCAAGCAGGUUCAAUAAUACAGUGUCAAUGACUGAUCCAACCCUGAAAUAUAAGCUCAUUUGGUGUCAGAUUCCUGGAAAUCUGAUGAAAAAGAUGGAAGCAAAUUCGUCUAAACCAAUGAACAGAUCAAAUACUGGACACAGUUUCUUCUAUCCAAGUUGUAGCAUGGAGCUAGUCCCCGUAUGAACCAAUGAUAAAUAUUUCAAAUUUCCAUGAAAUCUGUAGAGGAGGAUUGAGGCCUCACCAUUUGAAACACGACAACAAAACAAACAUAUAUAGACAACUUUGAUAAAUCCAACUACUAGCAGUUUAUGUUGUUCCAGCUAUACGUACGUAACUUGAUUUGGCUAAAUAUGAAAGGGUACAUUAAUUUAGUUGGUGAAUCGAUCUUGAGGUUCUGGUUUGGACCAUUUUAUGGAUUGUAUGAACAAGUUAAACUGGAAUCAGUAAAUCAACCUUAUAAUGAACACAAAGCUAGUCAAGAAAUAUUCCCUUGAGGAAAUUCGUUAGAUCAGGUAUUAACCAGGCCAGCACCAUUCUAGCUUAGCCAUUAUUUUAAGCCUUGACUUGACAAAUGACGAGUCAUUUUAUAAGUUUCGGUUAUGCUUGCCAAGUGCCAACCACUGAACAAAUUUUUUUUUUAGGAAGAACCACUGAACCAAUUAAAACUAACCCAGUUCUUAAUUUAUGUAAUUGCCAGUCAAUCUAGCUAGCAAGGCGAGCUUCAAAUAGUUGCAGUUGGAGGAGACUAGGAAUCCUCCCUAACUUUGCAUCAUUGUGUCGCAAAGAGAAAGAGAAAGCCCCACAUCCACCCUCCUUCGACAUGAUGAUGCUUUUCGUGUUGUUGUUGUCUCUUGCGUCUCACGCCUCCUCAUCAAAAGAGCAACACAUCAACAGCAUUUUCAUCCUGGCCGGACAGAGCAACAUGGCCGGCCGCGGAGGCGUUGUCAACAACACCAUCACCGGAAUCACCACCUGGGACGGCGUCGUUCCUCCCGAGUGCCGCCCCAACCCAUCUAUCUUCCGACUCAGCGCCAACCUCACGUGGGUGGAAGCACGCGAGCCUCUCCACGCCGACAUCGACGUUGAGAAGACAAAUGGUAUCGGACCCGGAAUGCCAUUCGCCAAUGCGCUCUUUGCCAACCGCGCCGUUAAUACUGACGCGAUUGGUUUAGUUCCGUGUGCGAUCGGCGGCACUAACCUAAGCGAAUGGGAACGAGGGUCAUUCUUAUACAGGCAGAUGAUUGGGAGAGCCAGGGCGACUUCGCUAAAGGUGAAUAGCAAUGGCGCCUCAAUCAGGGGACUGCUCUGGUAUCAAGGUGAGAGCGAUACGACUACUAGGGAAGACGCCGAAUCUUACAAAGCCAGACUGGAAACCUUUUUUGGAGACCUCCGGUUGGAUCUGCAAUAUCCUCUGCUUCCAAUAAUCCAGGUAAUAUUGCAAGUUUUUUCUUGAUAACUGUUGGUUUUGAUUGACAUCGACAUUCCCAAUGCUUUAGAUUCGAAUCAUUCGAUCUACUAACAAUAUCAUGGCAUGUCAUUGGUGUCUGCUACUGUUAAAAAUUAAAACAUGCACAAGUUGAUCCAGUUGCUAACAUAGUUUAUCUUUUUUUUUUUGUUUCUUCUUAUGUAUGAAUAUACCUAGGCAGAGGUACAUAUAUAUUAAUAUAUACAAAUUAAUGACUCGUAAAGUAUGCUAGUGUUUGUUCUUGAGUCUCCUGUUGUUAUUUCAGGUAGGUCUCUUAAUGUGAUUUGUAAUCUGGGGUAUAGGUUCUAUGUCCCCCCAUAUAUUUAACAGUUUCAUCAAUCAAGGCUUGAGGGGCAGCCGCAUCGGCUCUUAUUUCAAAAAAAAAAAAAAAAAAGUAUGCUAGUGUUAUGUUUUAGAACCUCAAAACAUGGAGGAGGAAUUUAAAUUUUCUUUUUCUGUUUUUGUUUAGUCAGAGUUAGACUACAACAUUAAGCUGUUGGUACAAGACUAAAGGUCACACUUGCAUGUGUAACUGUUGCCCGAUGUUGCAGUAGCGUUACACAUAACUCAGGAUUGACCAAAAUUAUGUGCAAAUCCUAAAGGACUUGUUUUGGGUGUGUAGGUGGCAAUUGCAUCUGGGUCAGGACCAUACAUAGAGACAAUCAGAGAAGCUCAGCUGGGAGUUGAACUACUAAAUGUCCGAACAGUUGACGCCAAGGGAUUAACAUUAGAACCUGAUAACUUGCACCUCACUACACCUAGUCAGGUUCGACUAGGAGAAAUGUUGGCUGACGCAUAUUCUCAGUUGAUUCCCAGCUCUAUAAGCAAUCAUGCUCGAAGUAAAGGAUGUCCUUGUUUGAUCACCCAUUUUGUUAUGGGAUUGCUAUGGAAAAUUUUGACUACAUAACUCCAUCAAUCUAAUUUGUUAGAUUAGUAGUCAUUGAUUAAUGUACUCAAAUCUUUAAUAUGUGUUUUUGGGUAAAUGCUAAUCCAAGCUAGUCACUGUCCUAUGAUCAUGGGGCUCAAUAAUAUGUCAUAUAUACAUGUAGGUGAAGAAUGUGACAAUAAGCAUAAGGAAAUGACCGGAAGAACUACUUAAUAGUUAAUGAGCUUUACCUUCUAGGUUUAUACAAUCCCCAAUCCAGCGAUCCACACACAUCAUCUCAGUACUUUUGGAAUCAACUAUACCUACCAGUUUUUUUUUUAAAGGAACUAUACCUAUACUAUACCUACCGGUUGUUGCAGAAAAACUUGACAGAAUUUCAGUAUGGCUGGGGGAAUUAUUCCUACAAAGUUUAGCUAGUGUGAAUCAUCACUUUGGGAAAAGAGUAAAUUGUGGAGGAAAUUGAUGGGGGAUAGGAAAACACUUUAGU
RNAcentral lists this long non-coding RNA (89255 nucleotides) under Fragaria vesca (wild strawberry). Its description in RNAcentral is "long non-coding RNA (FVES_LNC000827)". The stretch from base 66602 to 66689 matches the Rfam family "mir-156 microRNA precursor family". The record is from RNAcentral. Lineage: Eukaryota; Viridiplantae; Streptophyta; Magnoliopsida; Rosales; Rosaceae.